GCCCUGUAAAACGAGUUGGCAUAUCGGCAUGUGUCCAGUAUAUAUAACUGAAGUUCGAUCCUUCUUUGGUUGAUCGGUCUGUCAGAUCCUCUGGAUCAGUGUGUAAGUAGUGUAACCUUAGGUACGUACAGUUCGGCGAAGGAACGAUACAUAUAUUGAUACAUGUCCGGCGUAUUUACGAGCUCGAGAUAAGUACGUGGAGACGCUGUAUGUAUACAGCUGCAAGUUGCAACGUAUAUGUAUGUACCUAGUGCCAUGAGGGACCAUCUUGUCAGUGAGGCACAGGAAACUGAAGUCUGUAAUACGUCCUGUUGAUUAUGUUUUGUGUUUCUUCCGAAUUCUGAUGACAUCAUGCAGUAUAACAAGGACUUGUAACAGAUAGGGAUGCAAUAUCAGAUUUAAGUGGGUGAAUAUGAUCCCACCUGUGAUCUCAGCUGUUCCUUACCAAACUGAUGGGCACUUUCAGAGUUUCCACUGGUUGUUGGUUUUCACGAGAUACUUCACCUGGAAUCAACGUACUGUAUGGUAGCAUCAUCUGCUUCUUCACUCAUCCCUGCCAUGUCUUAUGUCUGAAGGAAAGUAGCGUGUGCCCUGUAAAACGAGUUGGCAUAUCGGCAUGUGUCCAGUAUAUAUGACUGAAGUUCGAUCCUUCUUUGGUUGAUCGGUCUGUCAGAUCCUCUGGAUUAGUGUGUACGUAGUGUUACCCAGGGGCGGAGCCAGGAUUUGAACAUGAAGGGGGCGAGAAAAAUAAUGAUCGCUCAAGAGACACGUCACAAGAAUAGUCUGAAAAUAUGGCACUUAUAUGAAUGUCCUGCCAUAUAUUUCUGUAAUGUAAUGAAAAAUAUACAUUUGUCAGUUCUCAGUUAACACACGCAGACAGGCUCUCGCUCCCGUGCAGCUCCACGGGCCGCACCGGGGCGCCCCAGAUCCGGCCACCUAAGGCACGCCCUCCUCCUCCUCUCCCCUCACCGCCGCCGGAGGGCGUCGCCGGGGCAAAGCCCGGGCGGCGUCGGCGGCGGUGCGGCCAUUUCUCGGCGCAGUGGGGGCGGAUCUGCCGCUCUUGGUGUCCGGCAGCGCUGGUGGUCCAGGGGCUGUGCACGCCGGCGAGUCGAGUUCAAGGCUGGCGGCCACGACGUGGCGGCCUUGGUGGGGUGCUGCGUGCGCCCGCCGGUGCACGGCCAUGGCACAGGGGCUCGGCGGGCUGGGCGUGGAUCUGCGCGUCGGGGCGAGGGUGUCUUGUGCGUGCAGUGGGUCCUGCGGCGCCGAUCUGCUGCCUGCGCGUCGCGGCAAGGGCGCCGGUGCAAAGGGAGUGCGAGGGGAUCGACGGUGCAGUAGUCGCGCUGCAGUGGGUGACGUGCAGGGGCGGCUCCAUGCCGCGGGUGCUCCGGCGCGCAAGGGGCCGUGCAGAGGCACGGCAGCAGCGCAAGGGGACCGUGCAGAGGCACGGCGGCGGCGUGGGGUGGCCCAGCCGGCGCGGAUGUGCCGUGUGUGGGUCGCACUGAGGCGACAAGGCGGCCGCGACAGGGAAGCUCGGCAGGCGGGCGUGAGGGGCUGCGGCUCAGGCGAGGCCGGUCAGGGAGGCUCGGCGGAUGUGCGGAGGAGGUCCGGGCAGCACGGAUCUGUGGCUGGGUGGCCACCUACUCCGGCGUGGUGGAGGCCCGUCUUGGUGCUGCUGCUCUGGCGGGGUGCGUGGUGGAGGGGCUCGGGCUGUCUGUUUGGCGCUCGGGCGGCGGCUUCGGCUACGAGGAUGAUUGGUCGGCUUGUCGGUGCCGGUGCGGGAUGAUGUGCAACCGAGGUGGUGUGGGAGCUCGGGUGAAGACUCUGUCUCGGCCCUGUGUCGUGACCAGCGAUGGCGGCGACUGUGGCCGUCGUGACCUUCCUGGAGGCAUCGCUGAUUUGCUGCCGCACUCCUCUCGCACGGAUCCGGCCAUCUCGGCCUCUUCAGGGGAAACCCUAGAUCUUAUGAUCGGACGAUGACGGCGCCUUGGUGUCGUUUUCCCUCUUGGGGGCUUCGUCUUGGAGCUCGGCAUCGGCAAGCGGGACCGGUGGUUGGUGGCGUCCAGGCUUCUGUGGCAACGAUGAUGGUGGGAGUGAUGUCGGCGACGCGGCAAUGGUUGCGGUAGUCGGCUCUUCUUCGGCGUGUCCACGGUAUUGCCUCGGUUUCCUUGUUGCUAUGGAGUCGAAGCUGCGGCGGCGAGGCCCUGUGGUAUACGAUGACUGGCUGCAGGUUGCCCGUUCGGCGAUCUCCCAUGGCGCCAGUCGUGCCUGGUUUUGUCCUACUGAGUUCUCCGUCAGAGUUGGAGUUGCGCUGGUUGGCCGCAGGAGGCUGAGGUUUUGGCAUCGAUCUUCAUGCAGCUUCACGUGUCCGCUACAGUGUGGGUUGAGUCGACGAUCGCCUACGGCGAAGCGGGAGUCGUUUGCUCAGAGUGUAGGGAUGGCGAUGACGCCUCUAGGGGAGAAGUGAUGACGAUGACGCCUGCGUGCGGUCUCGUGAGGCCCUCUUUGGAGUGGUGUGCAUUGGGCUUUCUAUGUGUACCGCUCAGCGGUUGUGAGGGUUUUAGCCCGGUUCUUCAUAAUUAACUGGGCAAUCUGGUUUUCGCUCGGUUUUCCCUAAUUAACCGAGCAACUCUCUUCUGCUUAAUUAAUCGAUGAGGCAAAACUUUUGCCUUCGUUUCAAAAAAAAAAUAUACAUUUCUGUCAGAUCCUCUGGAUCAGUGUGGACGUAGUCUUAUGUACGUACAGUUCGGCCAAGGAACGAUACAUAUAUAGAUACAUGUCCGGCGUAUUAUACGAGCUCAAGAUAUGUACCUGGCGACGUUGUAUGUGUACAGCUGCAAGUUGCAAGGUAUAUGUAUGUACCUAGUGCCAUGAGGGGCCAUCUUGUCCGUGAGGCACAGACAGCUUUUUUUUUCUAACAUCAGUACAGACGCAAGCGCUCAUAUAUACGCGCAUACACUCAUCCCUAUAAACGCACAAACGCACACCCUACCCCUAUGAGUACCUUCGAGAGACUGAGCCGGUAUGUCAUCUUGAAAUUUACGAAGUCACCGUACGCGCCUCGUCAUCGACGGGAACGUCUCCUCCUACUGAAAGCGCAUCGCCGGUAAUCCUGAAAUAAAUCUAGGAAUAAUGUGAGCACCAGGACUUGAACCCCGGUGGGCUGGUUGGCGUGAGGCACACACAGCUGAAGUGUGUAAUCUGUGCUAUUGAUUAUGUUUUGUGUUUCUUUUGAAUUCUGAUGACAUCAUUCAACAUAACAAGGACUUGUGACAGAUAGGGAUGUACAGGUUGUUUGGUUUGUAACUAACUUUGUCAAAGGUUGCCGCACCAAAGGUUAGGCAAGUUUGACCAAUAGGUUAGUGUUUGGUUCAAACCACACCUUAGAGCAUCUCCAACAGACGCCGAACGCGCAACACGCUAAAUUCUGGUUUACGGCGCGCCCUUCGCCAGGUUUGGCGUGACGUGCAGCGCUGGCUCCAGCGGCAGCGCUAAAAUGCAGCACGCGCGUAGCUCCAGCAGGCGCGCUAAAAUGCAGCGCGCGCUUUCGCACAAACUUUUUUUAAAUAACUUUGCAUAGAUAAAAACGAUACAUAGUUAGUUCACAACAUAGAUAAAAAAGGAUACAAAGAUAUUUUACAUAGUUCCAAAGCAUAGAUAAAUAGAACUAUGGUGCAACUAGAUAGAAAAAACUACGGUGCAACAAAAAAAACUACGGUGACUCCUAGCCGUCAUCAUCAUCACCAUUAUCAUCCUCGGUGGUGUUGUCCGAGGUAUCAUGCCACAUGUCAUCCCAACACAGAUCGUUGGGGGAGAAGAUCGACUGCCCGUCGUUCUCGACGAUAUCGCACUGCGAUAAGGCCAGUGCCUUGCGCCGACGCCUGUCGGCACGCUCCGCGCGGCGCCUUGCCGUCCUCUCUGCCCAGAAGGCGUUCUCGGCGGCGCCGUCCUUCGGGUGGCAACGGCGGCACUCCGCCAUGGCUCGCUUGUCCUCCUCGCCAACGAGGAGGCGGCGCUGCUGCCGAACGUGGUCCGCACGGUCCCGGACAGUGAAGAGACGAGGCGGAGGGGCGAGGUGCUGCGCCUGCUCUCGCGUGAAGACGCCGCGGAAGUUCAUCUGCGACGGGGGCCUCUCCAAGCGCCACGCCGCCGCGUCGUAUGCGCGGGCCGCCUCGUACGCGGUCCGGAACGAGCCGAGGCCGAGCCGGACAUCGUCGGACCAGAUCUCGGUGGAGUACCAGGCGCUGGGGCGCUCGCGGACGCCGCGGUAGCCCGAAGAACCCCGGCGGCGCGGCGGCAUGGUGGCGCAGUGAUGACGGGGAAAGCAGCGAGAAAGAGCGGCGAGGUGGCAAGGAGGAGGGCGCAUGGCAGUGUGGUUGAGCGCGUGGCGAGCGCCGGAUUUUAUGGGCGCGCGUGAAGCGGCGCGCCAAAUCUACCACGCCAGCUGCCGCUUUCUCCCGCGCUCGCAAACGCUUACCGCGCGCGGUAUUUUGCCGCCACCGCUGGAGCACGCGAAACCGGACCGCUGCGCUAAAAACGAUUUUACCGCGCGGGCGCGUUUUUUGGCGCGCCUUAUGGAGAUGCUCUUAGGCAAGUCACUCUAGAGCCUCACAUGGCAUACACAUAAGAAAUGUGACAAGAUUCCCUUACUCUUGCCAACUUGUGGUUCUCAUUUUGAUAAACUAACUUUAUGCAUGCUUGGCAAAAAAGUGUGGCAAAAUGUGACAAUGCAAGGCCUGGAACCAAACGGACUUUUUUACUGUUCUGACCCGUUCAUUGAAGUUUAACACAAUUUGACCCGCGUUUGAAAGUUUUUUCGUAUCUAACCCAUUUCGAGACGCCAUCAACCGUGGCGUCUUGCUUGCACUGAAGACGCCGUGAAUCCCGGCGUCUGGCCCUGGCCCACCUACUGGUCAGCCCAAAUUUCACCCCGACCCUAAACGCCAAGCACCUUGGCGUCUACCUAGCUACAUGCGUUCAUUUACAGCACUAUGCAUGCAAAGGAUUUUUAAACCCAGCAGAUGACACAUGCAUACCAAAAUCCAGCAAGAAAGCACAUAGCCAUGCAACGAGACUUAUCAGCACCGCAUGCAUAAAUAUCUACUGUCUUAGAUGGUUGUCUCAUAUGGUAGUUCAGUGCAGUACAAAAGCUAGCUCGUCCACUAUGCAAGAAAAUGCAUCCAAGAGCAACUCCAACGAGGCGAGCUAAACGGACGCGUGCUUUGUUCGAUACUCGUCCGUUUGGAUCGGCCAAGUGGACAUGCACGUCUGCUUUUUGAUUUGGGUCGGCUGGUGCAACCAGCGUUGGCCUGACCAUAUUUUAUAAACGCUGACUUAAAAGAAAGAAAACCAUCAAGUACGAAAUAAAACAUAAUUAAACAUUAAACAACGGUCAACAGCGGGCCAAAGUCCACAUUAACAUUAAAAAACAUUAUUUAAACUUUUAUAAAAGUCCGCUCAGACUGUGGCACGGCUGGGGUCACGAUGCCAGUCGUGGGAGAGGUUUAUGUCCGGUCGCAGCAGCGUGACACAUUACUCCCAGAGAUAUUGUGCCCGGUGCAUCGGAAUGUACAACCCGUCCCGUGGUCGGCGAGUCAUCCACACCCCCCACCCCCCGCGGCACCAGCGUCCACCUUGUCGGACCGCACGACGAGCUGGCCUCGCCCUUGCCCUUGCCGAAGAGGCCGGCACUCCGGAGGCUUUCAUCAUUGGCUGCCAGGCAGGCCCAAGUUAGAUGGGCGGCAUUAAAUUUAACUGCGGUGGUAGUUGGGCAGCUGACAAGUGGGCCUGAGUCGAACAUUGAGCGGACGCGCAGCGCGUCCGCCGGGACGCAAAUCGGGUGUAAAUUUACGCCAGAAAUGCGUCCACACAGACAACGCGAACGUGAAUUGGGUUUGGAUCGACGCAUCGAGCCAGCGUCUUUGUUCGUUCUGACUCAAGCGGACACCCGCGGACGAAAUGUGUCAGCGCGUGGGAGUUGUCCUUGAGACGUGUGCAUGCUAAUCAUUAGUUUGCUGUUUUUAAUGCUAAUCAAGGAGGUGAUGAACUACUACACUUAGCCCAUGCCCACGUACACUUGCAUGCAUCGAUGCACUGGAUGUACCUAGCCUGCCCACUAGUUCGUAGUUAGGUGCAUUUUCUUGCAUCGUAAACGAGCUAGCUCUUGUACUGCACUAUACUAUCAUAUAAAACAACUUUACUGCACUUUGGUACGCAUGUGUCAUCUGCUCCGGUUAAAAAUCGUAUAUGUAUGUAUAGUACUACAAAUGAGUGCAGGUAGUUAGGUAGACGCCAAUGUCUUAGGCGUCUAGGGUCGAGGUGAAAUUUGCCACGUUGAACAGUCAACUGGGCUGACUAGAAGGUGGGCCAGGGCUAGACGCCUGGGUUCACGGCGUCUUCGGUGAAUGCAAGACGUCACGGAUGUUGGCGUCUCGAAAUGGGUCAGAUCCGAAAAAACUUUCAAACACGGGUCAAAUCGUGCUAAACUUCAGCAAAUGGGUUAGAAUAGUGAAAAAGUCCAACCAAACAGCUGCGUAAUCCCUGUACCUGUCGUGGCACCAGCGGCAGGGGCUAUCUUCAUGUUCAGUACUUGCUGGCCAGAUGAUGUUACGUUUCUGGACUAACCGAAUGCAUUCUCUGCACACACGCACGCAUGCACGUACGCACGCAUGCACAUGGAUUAUUGCAUAACAAGGGUAGCGUCACACGCUGCUUGGGCAGGACACCCAUCUCAUCAUGUCUUUCUCUGGCGGUGAGCCAUGCCUGACUGUUGUCGAAGGGCGGCUUACGGCCAACAGAGGGCAAGUCUCCAUCACACCACAAUAUUAAAGAUGAAGAUCAAACUUUCAUGAUGGUUUGUAAUAGAGGAGGGUUAUCUACAAAAUCGGUUUUAAGUUGCUAACAAUGACCCCCCCACUGAUGAUAGUACUCCCUCCGUUUUUAUUUACUCCUCAUAUUAGCUUUAACUUUAGUAAAUUUUUAUAAAUUUUGACCAAACUUAUAGAAAAAUAAUAUAAAGUUUUAAUAGACAAUAUGUAUGGUGCAAACAUAUAUUCAAUGUUGAUUCUGAUGGUAUUGAUGUCAUGUUGUGGAUGUUAAUAUUAUUUUUGUAUAAACUUGAUCUAAGUUUCACUUGAAAUAAAGCUAAUAUCUAGCAUAAAAAACGGAGGGAGUAGUUCGAUGGGCUAGUCAUGGAGGGAGUAACUUAGCUAAUAACAUAACACACCCCAACGUAACUUUGCUUAUGUGACAUGUAGUUAAUAAGGAGAGAAAGGUUGUUAGUAUCAUUAAUAUGUUACCGUAACAUAGUGUCUUCCAAGAAAAGAUGAGUCUACAAACUAAUAAAGGAAGCUAUCUAUCACAGUACUAGUACUACGAGACUACCCACAGUGAGAGUAACAUAGGUGGUAACAUCACACAUCACUAGAAAAACAGAUGAUGUGGUGGAUAAUUAAUGAGGAAAGAGGGGCAUGUGGUAACAUAGCUAGUUACUGUAACAUCACACAUUCCAAGACAAAAUGAAUCUACGACCUAAUAAAUGAAGUGUUGCAUGACACCACACAUAUGUUACUCGCCACUAUGAAGGUAGUAACAUAUGCAUGUUACUAGUCUAAGUUACUACCCAUUGUGACUAGUCUGAUACUCUCCACAAUGAAGCUACUAGUAUAGUACUUCCUCCUUUCCGGUUUAUAGAGCUUAAUUCAAAAAUCUCACCAACCAAGGUAGAUGGUGAGUGGUGGAAUAUUUUUUGUAGUUUGCAAAAGCACCUAAUUAAUGCUCUUGUUUUUCUCAAAAAAAUUUGUUUAUCAAUGCAUUAAUUGCAAUACAUGCAUGCAUAAAAUACAUGCAUUGGUCAAUUUUCUCUUAAUACUUGCAUGCAAUGAUUUAAUGCACCUUGGAAUCUGAACAUGUGAUGGGAAACAACCAAAUUGAGCCUUAUAAAAUGAAAAAACUAAAAUUUUGAGAUAAGCCCUAUAAACCGGAAAGGAGGGAGUACUAUGAUACUAUCCUCUACAGAGUAGUAUGACCAGCCUUACCAAUUUGAUAAAUCAAUUUCCAAGUUUCCACUAGUUGUGGUUUCCACCACCAUGAAUAAAUGUACUAGCCAGUAGCAUGGGCUCCACAACAUUCAACCAUGCAGAUCAACUGUUUAUUAAUUAUGUAUGUGGGAUCAUACAUAUUACUUACCUAAUAGUAAAUUUGUUUCUAGUGGUUCACAACACCCAAGAAAUAGCAGAAACCCGAACCAGAACAAGCGCCUCUUCCGACCAGAGAGGGAGUUUGAGGGGGACCGUAGUUCAAAGAAGGAAGAAGGGGGCCAGUUAACAACCAACCACGAUCUAAUACAGCUCCAUAGGAGUUUAGCCAUAUGACAGUCGAAGAACACAUGGUUGGUGUCCUCCCUAGCCCCACAAAGUUUACAAAAAUCGGUCCCGUGAUCAUUUCGCUUGCGAAUUUGAUACGUCGUGGAAAGGCGACCACGAAUGGCCUGCCACAUAAUGUUUCAGAAUAGCCUUGCUUCAUUUGUCCAACCAACUUGAAGCAAACAUAUAUGUGAAUGGAAAUACAAUGUCUGCAUGGCUCAAUGUUUCAUGGAUUCCUAAUUUUUCUAGGAGCCAACACAAAUAACUUCAGCACAAACUGGCUACGGAUAUUUAACAAUCCAAUUAUCCUUGGUCUCAUCGGCAACAUUGAUAAAUAUGGGUAAAACUUGAAGACUAAUAACUAGCUUCAAUAGACCAAAUCAAUUCAGACGCUUCGGUAUUAUCGUGUGACGGAGAAAAACAAUCUAGAACAGGAACCCCAUUACUUGCAUGUGCAAGGCUAGCAGGAGGAUGGGGCAUGACGAGGGAGAGAGAGGAUCCGCAAGACCGUUGAUCAUGACCUAUGACGAGGGAGAGAGAGGAGCCGCAAGACCGUUGAUCAUGACCUCUCAAGGACUAGUCAAAGCCAAUGGAGGGCUUGUUGGGAUUCCGUCCACGGGAUCGAUCACAUCAAAUCACACGAUAAGGCUGGCCAUAGUGGGGGUAACAUAAGUAGUAUUAUGCACCUGGGACUCGCAUACAUGCUUAUGUGGCAGGCAAUUAAAGAAGAGAGAGAUGGUUAUAGUAACAUAUGUAGAUACCGUAACAUAAUAAAUGUAAUACUACUAUGUGUCAUGCAUGGCAAUAAAUGAGACCACCUAUGAUACUAAUCUAUGAUAAUAUGCACUAUAGAGGUAGUAACAUAGACUAGUAACAUAUGCAUGUUACUAGUCUAUGUUACUCCCCACUAUGACCAGCCUAAACACGCACUCGAAAACUGAUAGCCAAGGGCUCUUGUCGUGCCCUUUGAUUCUCUUUAUUUUCUGUUUUUUUGCCAUGGUGUUACAACUUGAUCUCACGGCCAGGGCUGUAUAUAUAUACACACCCAGGCGCCUAAAGAUAUGACUCAAUCCUUUUCGUACUUGGACUUUGAGUACUACCUCCGUCCGGGUUUAUUGGUCCCCAUUGUAUUCCGUGCCAAAUUUUGACCAUAGAUUAAACUAACAAAAUGUUCACGCAUGUCACCAAACAUUAUAUUUUUGAAAACUAUGUUCAAAUACGAAUCCAAUGAGAUAAUUUUUCUUGACAUGCAUUAACAUUUUGUUAGUUAAAUCUUUAAUCAAAAUUUGGCACAAACUAUAAAGGGGACCUAUAAACCAGGACGGAGGUAGUACUAACCUAGCAUGACACGGACUGGACACUACGUAGACUAACCGGACUACUAACUCCUAACGUGAGCUUAACUAGUACUACUAGCCGGACACAAAUAAAUCACUUUCCAACUUGUGUACGUUACUACCAUGCAAAGAAAAUAAACCUAACUUUCAAGAUUAUGCUAACAGGGCUAUGGCUCAUGUGCCGUCGGAAAACAAAAUCCAAUACCACUAGGUCUUUUCUCUUAUCAAGUGAGACCCAGCCACAAAGAUGCCAUGUGGAAACACCAAUCUAAGAGCACUGUAGUCUUCUUCUUUCCUGAUUUUCUUCUUUCUUCUAUUAUCACGUAUCCACAGUCAGUCGAGGAGCACCAUCAUUCUCGAAUGCCAGUAGGAUCAAGGCGAUGCUGAGUGCAAAAGUGCAUAGUGGAAACAUGUGCUCAGAUGAGCUGCAAAUACCUGUAGCCGAAGAGAAGCCCAGAACACAUGCAACAUAGCUAGGCGUACCACAUCCUCAUUCUCAUAGAAUGUCAUCAGCUAGCCAAGACUGAUAGAAUCCUCAUUCUCAUAGUUCACAACAGGACUCAAUGCAAAAAAGGAAGUGUGAUAGGUGUGGCCGUCUGCAAGAGAGCAUGAGUAUUAUCGUGCAGGGCGGCGGACACACCAUAUCUGUUUGACGAAUAAUAAUUGGUUGCUGAUUUGGCCAACACCUAUCUCCUGGGCAAGUUUCAUAUCACGGGUGAAUGAUUCCUACAAGCGUGAUUGAUUUCUGUAGAUCCGGCACUGGUUUUGAUGAUAGAACUGCAGUAAGAAAAUUGGGAAAUAAGAGAUUGCUAUGCUUUGAUAUAUGUGUGAUUACGUGGCAUCUUUUGGACUGAGUCUCUCUUGAUGAAAGGAACGACCUGAUCAUAUACGAUUUUCUUUCCUAUGCCAUUGGAGCAUGAGGGCUCACGGUCGAUAGAGGGAAGUCUCCAUGGCGCCACAAUGUCAAAGACAAAGAAAUCAAACCUUUCUGGUGGUGGAUAAGGGAAGAGAAGGGUUAUCUGCAAUACGAGAUUUAUGUGGUUGACUAUGAUCCCACCUGUGCUCUCAGCUGUUCCUUACCGAACUGAUGGGCACUUUCAAAGUUUCCAUUGGUUGUUGUUUUUUCACAAGAUAUUAAACCUGGAAUCAAUUACUAUAUGGUAGCACGUGCUACAAAACAUUCAAUCAUGCAAAUUAAUAGCUUAUUAUUUGUGCAUGCGGGUGCAUAUAUAUUACUCGUCCGUCUUCACCCGAGAAGAAUCAUGGUCUGUUAGGCGACACACACUUUUAUACUCCCUCCGUUCCUAUAUAAGUCUUUGUUGAGAUUCAAAUCUCUACAAAGACUUAUGUUUAGGAACGGAGGGAGUAGCUAUCAUAUCAAACAGUCAUGGAUGGGAAAGGCCAAUGGUAGUAGUACGAAUAUAGAUGAGACGAGAUGGAAAGAGUAUGCAAUACAUUAUUAGCAGGGAAUAGGAGACAUCGGGAAUCAGAACACGGGUCUUGCUUCACCUCACAUGUCUCUAAUGUAUCCCUAAGACUAGGGACACUUUCAUACUUGAUCCCAAACAGACAAUGCACGUGAGGCUUCUCUACCCGGUAGGUGCCUUAAGAGAAAUUGAAGGGAACAAACUCUUCACUUGGUAUGCUCGAGAAUGUAGUUAAGUAAUUAAUUAGGGCAUAUCUAGGACACAUCUAGAUGUGACAUAAUUAUGUCACAUCUAACCUCGUGUCCACUAUGUUUGUGGUUUUGUUUUUUUUGUCCUGGUUUUUUUGUUUUCUGUUAGUGUGUUAUUUAUGUGAGCUUAGAUGUGACAUCCUUAAAAAACAUCUAGAUGUGAAUUAGACAAACUGAAUUAAUUUACGGGCAUGCAACUUUGCAUAUACUGGCAAUUGUAUUGAUGACUUCCAAAAAGACCUGCUCAGAUUAAUCUCUCACCGAAGCAAAUCUCAAGAGGUGGGCUGAUAAGGCCAGCCCCGCGGGCCGCAUUGUAUCGUGGUGGCAACUCCGCCAGAGUAGAGGUUAGACAACAAGAUCUUUUGAGAGCAACUAGUUAACGAGCCCUCUUUCGGGAGCCUCGCAAUGACCAGCGCCACUUGGCGCGCUCUCAGCCAUUCGCCACGUGUCGCGCUCUGGGCGCUUCCUUCGGAUUUUAUUUUUUUAUUUUUACGCACGCGUUAUUGACUUUUUAAACCGUAUUUUUUUCGGGUUUUGGUUUUCCACCGGUCUUCCUUAGCUUUUGAUAAAAAAAAAUUAUGCAAUACAAUUUUUUUUGCGCGGAAAAAUAUGUUUUUUUCUUUUUGCGAGAGUCACGGCCACCUCUCAGAAACAAAAAAAAAACGCAUUUUCUCUUUUCUUUUCCUUCCGCGAAAGUUAUGGUUUUGCUUCCGCGAGAGGCACGGGUGUGCUUUCACGAGAGUCACGACCAUGCCUCUUGGAAACAAAAAAACGUGUUUUCUGUUUUUUUUGCGAGAGUCACGGUUUUGCUUCCGCGAGAGGCACGGGUGUGCUUUUCUAAGAGUCACGACCAUGCCUCCUGGAAACGAAAAAACGUGUUUUCUGUUUUUUUUUCUUUUGGGGGACUCAUGGUUUUGCUUCCGCGAGAGGCACGGUUGUGGUUUAGCGACAGUCACGGUCGUGCCUCUCGGAAACGAAAAAUAUAUGCAUUUUCUGUGUUUUUUCUUUCGCGAGAGUCACGGUUUUGCUUCCGCGAGAGGCACGGUUGUGCCUUCGCGAGAGUCACGGCCGUGCCCCUCGGGAACGGAAAAAAACGUGUUUUCUGUUUUUUCUCCUUUCACGAGAGUCACGGUUUUGCUUUCGUGGGAGGCACGGUUGUGCUUUCGCGAGAGGCACGGCCGUGCCUUCUCGAAAACAAAAAAAAAAUGUGUUCUCUCUUUUUUUUUCCUUCCGCGAGAGGCACGGUUGUGAUUUCGUGAGAGGCACGGGCGUGCCUGUUUCGUAAAGGGAAAAACCCCGUGCUCCCGAUUCGUUUUUUUUUUCGUUUUUUCGUGAAAAAAAUUUCAUCAAAACCUAUCAACAUGGGAUCUAGUUUUGAAAAUCUCGAGACAAGGAAUCCAACGGUGAAAGCGGAUCGAGAUUUGGCGCACGGUUAGAUAGAUAAAACGUUUUGAAUAAACAGAUCUACGAAAAAGGGAAAACUCCCAGGUUGCGACAACUGGCACGAUGCAUGUGUGCCACUUGUUGCAACCUGGGGAAUUGGAGUGAUCCUUGCAACGAGUACUCCUCAACUAGUGAUUUCGAGAUCUCUUGCUUGCAUAAUUGAGGAGGCGGCUCAGUAGUGGACCUUGGCUGUCAUCGACAAUAGGAGGCCCUGGCCUAUUUAGAAACUUAUUAUGUAAUUCAUAAAUAAAAGGUUGCUUCCUUUCUUCAUAAGAGGAACCAUAUACAGUUGUAACAAGGAGGUUUUGGUUUCCUAGCUAAUGGUUUCUAACAUAUGAAUAUUCACUCCAACCGAACUGCCACAUUUUAUUCCUAGGGAUCUAUAGGUUAUGCUGGAUGGGUUGGUGUUUUGCUUUGUCCACCGUACACUCAUUCAUGUCAAUUUGUGUGCUCUAUCUUUUUUAGAACGAAGUCUCAAGGAGAACCCGGUUUUGAAUUAACAAAUCCAUCAACCGGCUAGGACUACAUCAAACAAACAUAUGAACCAAGGAAAAAGAAACAACAAGAACAUACAUGGUGCUGUGUAAAAGCUCUCUGCCUAUGACAAACAAACUCCUGCCUGCAUCUACUACUAUUACUCCACACAUCGACCGACUCCUGCCUGAAUCUAGAGUAUUAAGUUCAUAAGAACAGAGUAACACAUUAAGCAAGAUGACAUGAUGUAGAGGGAUAAACUCAAGCAAUAUGAUAUAAACCCCAUCUUGUUAUCCUCGAUGGGAACAAUACAAUACGUGCCUUGCAACCCUUUCUGUCACUGGGUAAGGACACCGCAAGAUUGAACCCAAAGCUAAGCACUUCUCCCAUGGCAAGAAAGAUCAAUCUAGUAGGCCAAACCAAACUGAUAAUUCGAAGAGACUUGCAAAGAUAACUCAAUCAUACAUAAAAGAAUUCAGAGAAGAUUUAAAUAUUAUUCAUAGAUAAACUUGAUCAUAAACCCACAAUUCAUCGGAUCUCGACAAACACACCGCAAAAAUAGUUUACAUCGAAUAGAUCUCCACAAGAGAGGGGGAGAACAUUGUAUUGAGAUCCAAAAAGAGAGAAGAAGCCUGUGGUAAACUAAUGAUGGACCCGUAGGUCUGUGGUAAACUACUCACAACUCAUCGGAGGGGCAAGGAUGUUGAUGUAGAAGCCCUCCAUGGUCGAUUCCCCCUCCGGCAGAGUGCAGGCGAAGGCUCCAACAUGGGAUCUUGCGGAUACAGAAGGUUAUGGUGGUGGAAAUUGUGUUUCGUCCGCCUCUCGGAUGUUCUCGGGGUACCUAGGUAUAUAUAGCAGGAAGGAGUACGUCGGUGGCCGUCUGAGGGGCCCACGAGACAGGGGGGCGCCCUCCUAUCUCGUGGGAGCCUUGACUGCUUCUUGACUUGCACUCGAAGUCCUCUGGACCACGUUCGUUCCAAAAGUCACGCUUCCGAAGGUUUCAUUCUGUUUGGACUCCGUUUGAUAUUCCUUUUCUUCGAAAUACCGAAAUAGGCAAAAAAACAGCAAUAUGGGCUGGGCCUCUGGUUAGUAGGUUAGUCCCAAAAAUGAUAUAAAUGUGUAAAAUAAAGCCCAUAAACAUCCAAAAGGGGUAAUAUAAUAGCAUGGAACAAUAAAAAAUUAUAGAUACGUUGGAGAUGUAUCACUAGCUUUUAGGGUUUAGCCUCUACGAUCUCGUGGUAGAUCAACUCUUGUAAUACUCAUAUCAUCAAGAUCAAUCAAGCAGGAAGUAGGGUAUUACCUCCAUCGAGAGGGCCCGAACCUGGGUAAACAUUGUGUCCCCCGCCUCCUGUUACCAUUAGCCUUAGACGCACAGUUCGAGACCCCCUACCCGAGAUCCGUCGGUUUUGACACCGACAUUGGUGCUUUCAUUGAGAGUUCCACUAUGUCGUCACGGUAAAGGCUUGAUGACUCCUUCAAUCAGCUACAGCGACGCAGUCCAGGGUGAGGUUUUCCUCCCCGGACAGAACUUCGUAUUCGGUAGCUUCGUACUGCAGGCCAACUCGCUUGGCCACCUGGAGCAGAUCAAUGGCUACGCCCCUGGCCAUCAGGUCAGGUUUGGAAGCUUGAACUACACCGCCGACACCCGUGGAGACUUGAUCUUUGACGGAUUUGAGCCUACGUCACGUGUGCCGAAUAGUCAUGACGAGCAUGACUUAGAUCUGCCGUCGGACGGUGUUCGGGAGAUCACACAUGCAGCCGCCCCGACCCUUAACCCGGAGCAGGUCAUGCCAUCCGAGGACGGGUGGAUGGACCCCUCCAUGGAAGCCGCACACUCAUCGGCGACAGAGCCAAACACAGACUUUGCCUCCGAUGAAGCCUGUGUAAUCGGACCCUCGGACUCGUCUCCGGCCAUAGUCUCCGAAUCAUAUGCAUCCAUUCCUAUCCAAUCUGAUUGGGCACCAAUCAUGGAGUUUACCUCCACUGAUAUCUUUCAACACUCACCUUUGGGCGACGUGCUAAAUUCACUGAAAUCUCUCUCCCUGUCAGGAGACUCUUGGCCGAACUAUGUAUGGCUUGAGUGGGAAGCAGACAAUGAAGAAAUUCGUUCCCCACCCACCACCCUCUUAAUAGCCACUGUCGAUGACUUAACCAACAUGCUUCAUUUCGACUCCGAAGACAUCGAUGGUAUGGACGACGAUGCCGAAGAGGAACAAGAACCACCGCCCACAAGGCGCUGGACAGCCACCUCAUCAUAUGAUAUAUAUAUAUAUAUAUAUAUAUAUAUAUAUAUAUAUAUAUAUAUAUAUAUUUAUGGUGGACACCCCCAAAGAAAGUGAUGGCGAUGAGGUAACGGAGGAUAAUCCCCUUAAGAAGCAAUGUAAGCACCGACGUCAUUGGCGUCGCUCUAAGCCCCGCCAUAGCAAAAAUAGCGAUACCGGCAUAAGAGACAAUAGCACUUCGGAUGAUGCCGAAGACGAAAACAAUCCCGCCCAGCCAGACUCCGAGCAUGCCGAACGGGAGGAUGGGCAAGUUAGCCCUCAUGAACAGGCAAUGGAUGGAGACUUGGAGGAUGAUAAUUACAUGCCCCUCUCCAAAGACGAGGUGAGCCUCGGCGACGAAGAAUUCAUCGUUCUUGAGGAUUCCGUAGAGCAGGAGCGCUUCAAGCGCCGGCUUAUAGCCACUACAAAAAGCCUGAAGAAAAACCAGCAUCAGCUUCAAGCUGAUCAAGAUCUGCUAACUGAUAGAUGGACUGAGGUCCUGGCAGCUGAGGAAUACGGACUCGAGCGCCCAACCAAAAGUUACCCAAAGCGCAGGUUACUACCUCAACUCGAGGAGGAGGCAUUAAAGCCUACACUACCAGCGCAGGAUACGGCCGACCGGCCACCUCGUGGCCGAGACAAAGCGGCGCAUCAGCCCGAAUACUAGCCCACACCCCGUCGCCAAUCAAACAAAAACACCAAGGCCCGGGGCUACAUGCAGGACCUGCGAGACAUAUUGGAAAACAAAGCAGGACCGUCAAGAUCGAUCUACGGCUCACGGGGGCGCGCCCCAACGCGAGACGACAACCGUCACGCCGGAUAUACUAAAAACAAAUCCGGUCGGGAAGAAUACAACAGAACAGACUCAUUUGAACUGCAUCGUGAUGUAGCCCGGCACAGAGGUGCCGCACACCCCCUAUGCUUCACUGACGAAGUAAUGGAUCAUGAAUUCCUAGAAGGGUUUAAACCCGUGAAUACUGAAUCAUACAAUGGUACAACAGACCCCACGGUAUGGACUGAAGAUUUCUUUCUCCACAUUCACAUGGCCCGCGGGGACGAUCUACACGCCAUCAAGUACGUCCCACUAAAACUCAAGGGACCGACUUGACAUUGGCUGAAUAGCUUGCCAGCAAACUCCAUUGGAAGUUGGGAGAACCUAGCAGACGCAUUCCUGGAUAACUUCCAGGGCACGUAUGUGCGACCACUGGAUGACGGCGAUUUAAGUCACAUAACCCAACAGCCCGGAGAGUCAGCCAUGCAAUUCUGGACUCGAUUCCUCACUAAAAGCAACCAAAUUGUCGACUGUCCGGAUGCCGAAGCCCUAGCGGCCUUUAAGCAUAAUAUCUGUGACGAGUGGCUUGCCCGACAUCUCGGCCAAGAAAAGCCGAAGUCCAUGGCAGCCCUCGUAACACUCAUGACCCUCUUUUGUGCGGGCAAGGAUAGCUGGUUGGCUCGUAGCAACAACACAGCAAGCAAUCCUGGCACAUCAGAGGCUAGAGAUAGCAACGGCAAGCCCCGACGCAACAAACACAAGCGUCGCAAAAAUGGUGAUAACACCGAAGACACGACAGUCAAUGCCGGAUUUAGUGGCUCUAAGUCUGGUCAGCGGAAAAAGGCAUUCCAAAAGAACAAUUCGGGCCCGUCCGGUCUAGACCGCAUACUUGGUCGUCCAUGCCAAAUUCAUGGGACCCCAGGAACACUAGCCAAUCAUACCAACCGAGAAUGCUGGGUCUUCAAACAAGCCGGUAGGUCAGGUAACGAAAACAAGGAGAAAGGGUCUCAAAGCGAUGACAACGACGAGGAGCCCCGAUCACCAAACAAAGGAGGGCAAAAGAAAUUCCCCCCGCAAAUCAAAACGGUGAAUAUGAUAAACGCCAUCCACAUUCCCAAACUGGAACGGACGUGUACUCUUCGGGAUGUCGACUUAACGUAGCCAGUCGCCUCAUAAUACAAACUAUGGCCGAUCACUUUCAAUCGUACGGAUCGUCCGGCCAAUACCAAUCAAGGCAAUUCAGCCGCACUCGUCCUUGACCCAAUAAUUGACGGAUUCCACCUCACACGAGUCCUUAUGGACGGAGGCAGCAGUCUACACCUGUUGUAUCAGGACACAGUGCACAAGAUGGGUAUUCAUCAUUCGAUGAUCAAGCCCACUAAAACCACCUUUAAAGGUUUUAUACCAGGUGUGGAGGCCCGUUGUGCAGGCUCCAUCACUUUGGAGGUAGUCUUCGGAUCACCGAACAAUUACCGUACCGAAGAGUUAAUCUUUGACAUCGUCCCUUUUCGCAGUAAUUAUCAUGCACUACUCAGACGAACCGUGUUUUCUCGAUUCAACACGGUGCCACAUUAUGCCUACCGAAAACUCAAGGUGCCCGGUCCGCGCGGCUUCAUAACAGUUAAUGGCAUGGCCGAACCCCCCCCCCCUCUGUGCCAAAGAGUAUACCACCGCCUUAGCAGAAGAAGCAACGAGUGGCAGCUUUCAAUAAAACCUCAAAGCGACGGCCAAACUCCCGGACAGCGUCAAGGGAGUCCAAACUACUUCGCGACGGGAUAGCCUGGCUCGUCCGGAGCUUAAUUAAAACACUCUGGCAGUAAAAAGAGGCAGAGCUUGGAUAGGCCACACACACUGCGGCUCAACUGCUACGUGGCACACAAACUUUUCAUGCAUUUUCUUUGCAGUUUCACUUUCGCGUAGGCCAGAACUGGUGACAUCGAAACAACUUGAACGCACAAGGGAAUCUUUAGAUAUUCCCCUCGAUGACCAUCCGACCACACCCCGGAUCCGCACAUAGCCUCCUCCCGCUUGGUCUCAGCAGGUUCCGAAAUCAUGUUUAUUUUCCUCGCAUUACCUAUACUCAUACGCAUUGACGUGUUAUUCAAUUACAACAUGUGACUUUAUAUGACGUUCAUCUGCUGUUGUUUCAAAUUGACACUCUUUGUCAAAUGGCAUCCGUACAUCGUGAUAUGACUUAAUAUGCCCACAAUACGACAAUAAAGUCCGACCACCUUCACGGUCGUUAGGCACCCCGAACUUAUAGCAUUAUAUGCAUCAGCUCCGAAUCAUGUCUUGGGUAAAUAGUUGGGUUUGCCCGGCUCCUAUGUUUUGCUGCCUUACGUUCCGCAAUAUCGGCUAGGGCGGCACAACGAGAACUACUGCGAUUGUAUCCCGGUUCUUUCGGACGAGCGCCCUAGUAGAGAAAGCCGAAAACUGACUGUCAUGAUACGGCGAGAGCUGGUCAGCUGUUCGAGAGGUUGUAAAAUAUUUAAGGAUUUCUUCCGCAUUAUGCGAUAACAAAUGCAGCGUGCGAUGGAUCAGCUUUUCUUUCGAUCAGGUGCUUAUAGAGCCCCUCGUGCGGUCUUCUGAACACCAGGGGCUGCGCCUACCUUCCUUUUGUCAAACUCCUAUGGCUAAGUGAGAGUGAUAAAGCCCUAUAGUCUGAUUGCCUGGUUCGUUGCGCUGAACACCUCCUUCAAGGACCCCAAACUAGGAUAAAGAGUGCUCAGGUUUAUCCCGAACACCCCCGUACUUCCUUCGUGGGGGCAGAAGCCGACGACCGACCAACUCUCAGGAUUAAUAUAUAAAACGGCCACGCAGGUGGAAAAACUUUCAAAUAACAGGCAAUAAAAUAAUAGAAAUGACCUUGUUCAACAUUACAAAGGACAACAUGACCGUAUUCAUGGAAAUAUAAUGUCCUUGGUGCAUUACUCCGCCGCAAGGCGGGAUCCUUCUAGGACACUAUCAUAGUAUAAUUCGGGCUUGCGGUGCUCGUUCCCCUUCGGUGGUCCCUCGGUCAUCAGCUUUUCAGCAUCCAUCUUCCCCCAGUGCACCUUUGCAUGGGCGAAGGCCAUUCACGCACCCUCAAUACAGAACGACCGCUUAAUGACAUCAAGUCGAGGGCAUGCACUCACCAUCCACUUCACGAGCCUGAAGUAGCUGCUUGGAAUCAGCUCGGUGGGCCAUAGCCGGAUAAUUAGAUACUUCAUGGCUAGUUCGGCCACCUUAUGCAGUUCGAUCAACUGCUUUAGCUGAUCGACAAGUGGCACCGGAUACACUAGCGCUAGAUACUGCGACUAGAAGAGCUUCUCUGCAGUGCUCCUCUCUUCUGCUCGAUAGAAUUGUGUGGCAUCAGAUAUGCUGCGUGGCAGCUCCGUAAAUACCCCUAGAGAAAUCAGAAUUCAAAUUAUCAACUUGAUUUUCUCCUUUCAAAUACCCGCUUUGUAUAGAAAAAGCCUUACCAGCCGCAAUCUUCCUCGCCUCCUGAAUUUCCUUCAGGGCACCUUGGGCAUCCCCUAGGCAUCACUUGCGGCUUGGCGAGCUUGGGAGAGUUCGGAUUCUUUCCCUGAUAAACUCUACUCCAAGGUCUCGCAUUUCUUCACGGCCUCUUGAAGCUCUCGCUCAGCUUCAAUAACCCUGGCCUCGUGCUUUUUGCGAAGAGCCUGCUCUGCGUCUGCAUUCUCCUUGGCUUCGGCCAUAACCUUCUUAAGGGCCUCAAUUUCGGCUGUUGCCCCUAGAGCACAUCAUAGAAAUAUUUUCAUCAUACUGACUAAUUCAUUUGUGCUGAAUGCGAACAAGGUUUCUGCAUACCUUGGUUAUCCUCCAACUACUUUUUCACUUGGACGAGUUCUCCUUCGACCCGCUCCAGACUCUGCCUCAGUCCAGAGACUUCCGCAAUUUGAGAGGCGACAGUUGCUACAGACGCCUGCUUUUGAACAAAAGAGAGGCGCCAUAAAGUGAGUCUCCUGCGAACAUUUAUUUGAUCCUCUAUUCGGUUCUUUCUUUCACCGAACAGUGUAUCAGGUGCUACUACCUAUACUAUGACACUCUUCGAAACCUCACAAAACAUACCUCAAAGCCCGUUAUAAGGCUGAUGCAGGCUUCAUUCAGUCCACUCUCAGUGGACUGAAUCUUCUCAAUCACCGCACCCAUAACGGCACGGUGUUCAUCGACGACGAAGACACUUUUCAGCGCCGCCAAUAAAGUAUCUGGCACCUCUGGUAGGACAGAGGUUGCCGGUGGAACGGGCAAACCCCCUCCAGUUGAGGGAGGCAGCCUGCCUGCUUCUGGAGCCGUAUUGGUCUCCGGAAUUGCGUCCGCCUGGGGGCCGAACUCAAGAUAGCCCCCGCCAUCGACGUCCGUGGGAGCCUUCUCUCCCAUGUGUCCGACCCCUGAAGUUUGACCUCCUGGUGCUGCGCUUACGAUCUCCCCCCCCCUCCUUGGCCUGGGUCCUUCUGGGAUGAAACCUCGGUGUCAUUCACAUGUCUGGGGGAAGGAGCCUUCGGGGGUGUCCCGUUCUCCAUGGCAUCCAAGCCCAGUAAAUCCUCUGACGAGGAUUAAUCGGUGCGGGACCUUGCCGGACUGUAAAAAAGUAUGGCUUAGAUUAAAAUAUUAUGCCAUGACGAGUCUGGACGCAUAAAUGUAUUCGGAUUCUAUAUACUUACAAGUUCACCAGGGGCUGGGCCCUGGCAUCCCACUCCAGGCUGCUGUCGGCAGCAACGAGGGGCUCCUCUGGAAGGGGAGUUUUUCCUUUGUUAGGCGACUCGAGCUCCAAAGAUGUGGAGGCCGUCCUUUUCUUUCCUCCCCUCACUGGGGAUGGGUCUUCCCCCUCUUCCUCGUUAUCUCCGGAGGAAGAUCGAGAAUCGAAAUCUUCGGAUAUUGUGUCCGAAGUGCCACGGCGGCGAAGGCCGCUGUCGGUGUCAAAACCGGCGGAUCUCGGGUAGGGGGUGCCGAACUGUGCGUGUAGGCAGAUGGUAACAGGAGACAAGGGACACGAUGUUUUUACCCAGGUUCGGGCCCUCUCGAUGGAGGUAAAACCCUACUCCUGCUUGAUUGAUAUUGAUGAUAUGGGUAGUAUAAGAGUAGAUCUACCACGAGAUCAGAGAGGCUAAACCCUAUAAGCUAUCCCCUGGUAUGAUUGUUUUCCGUCCUACGUACUAAAACCCUUUGGUUUAUAUAGCCACCGGAGAGGGCUAGGGUUACACAGAGUCGGUUAUAAUGGGAGGAGAUCUACAUCCGUAUCGCCAAGCUUGCCUUCCACGCCAAGGAAAGUCCCAUCCGGACACGGGACAAAGUCUUCAAUAUUGUAUCUUCAUAGUCCAGGAGUCUGUCCAAAGGUUAUAGUCCGGCUAUCCGGACACCCCCUAAUCCAGGACUCCCUCAGUAGCCCCUGAACCAGGCUUCAAUGACGACGAGUCCGGCGCGCAGAUUGUCUUCGGCAUUGCAAGGCGGGUUCCUCCUCCGAAUACUUCAUAGAAGAUUUUGAACACAAGGAUAGUGUCCGGCUCUACAAAAUAAGUUCCACAUACCACCGUAGAGAGAAUAAUAUUUGCACAAAUCUAAUCUGCUGACGUAUUCCGCAGCGCGACAUCACGCCACGACCAAGCCUUUAUUCGAAUCGUUUUACUGUCCCACCUUAGCGCGUUUAGCGAGGCGGUUUCCUUGGCAUGUCUCGUCGAAGCAGAGAUCGUGUCCCCUCAUUCCGGGAUUCUCAUCAAUACGGGCGUGGGUAACCCAAUCGUGCCUGUUGGUAUGUCUCCUCAAUCGAAGGCGAGUCCCAAACGGUCAUGGGAGGGCUCUAGGUAUUCAAACUCUUUAUAAAGAGACCAAGGCUCGACUCCUUUCUUUCAAUAUCAAUCGAAUCCGCCUCUCACCUUGAGUUCCAACACCCAAAGCUCCAGAUUCAAGCGCUUCGGACCUCCGAUGAAGUCCGGUUCCGACCUUCAAGGCCGGUAGAUGCCUUCCUCCGUUACGGAAGAAGACGUGCUAAAGCUAAGAGAUGCCAGGUAUCUAACCGGCGAAAUCUUGCAUAGGCUGCCUGCUCAAGGGCAGGUUAUUCCCACUCCCAAGCCUGGUGAGAGCAUGGUGUUCGCGUCUCACUUCCUUCGGGGGCUAGGCUUCCCGACGGACCCCUUCGUGAGGGGGCUCAUGUUUUAUUAUGGGCUGGAAUUUCAUGACUUGGAUCCGGAGUCCAUCCUCCAUAUCUCAUCGUUCAUUGUCGUGUGCGAGGCCUUCUUCCAUAUUACUCCUCACUUCGGAUUGUGGCUUAAGACCUUCAAAGUAGAGCCGAAGAUGAUCUAGGGGCAGCACGCAGAGUGCGGAGGGGCUUUCAUAAGCAAGAAUGCUGACGCUCCAUGGCCCGAGGGCUCUUUUCAAGAGGAGUUUAGCUUAUGGCAACGAGAGUGGUUUUAUAUCACAGCUCCCAGGGGCACCAAGUGGGUGGCGCCACCUGCCUUUCGCCCGGGUCCCCCACCAUAGCUAGCGUCAUGGGUCAAUAAAGGGUUUAACUGGAGGCCGUCCAAGGACGUGCCCUUGUUGCAGGGCCGCAUUCGAGAUCUCCUAGAACGAGACAUCAACCUGCCCUGCAAAAGUCGCCCCCUCCGCCUGUAGACAUCAACCACGAUCCCUCCAACAUUUUGUGGGUGCGACGCCCAUGGAGAUGUACAAAUUGUUAUUCGGAUCACAAGCAAUGUGUUCGGACUCGUCCGAGGAUGCAGGUUUGAGCUGCAAUCGCCCGGAUACUCAAGUAAGUAGCCCUGUACCCGGACACGCUAUCCGUAUAUUUAUCAUAAAAUUGCCCUUAAAAGAGUUGUCCCUUAAACAGGAGUGGAUAGAGAAGACAAAGCUAAUCAGGUGUCCGUCCCCCCUCCCUGAGACUACGUCGAAUCCCGUGUUAACCAGGAUGCUGGAGGUUGCGCCUUUGGAAGAAGGCGAAGAGGGGAAAAAGGAAGCUACCGCCUCCCCGAAGGAGGCUGUCAGGAAAGGAGGAAUCGAGAAUUCCUCUAACAAGGGGAAAAAGAGGACCGCCUCUGAAGACCCGGAGACCAUGGUCUCAAAGCGGGGGAAGAAAUCUUCCUUAGAGGGUCCGGCGCCGGGGGAUGCCACGGUCGCAUUGUGCCCCCAAGGGGAUCAGCCCUCCACCGGGCUGUAAGUAAAGAGGGGAGUUUUAAAAUGAGAGACACCCCUGUUCUAUUUCUGAGGAAGAUAGCCGAAAUUUUACCUUGUAGUUUGGAUCUCAGCCCUUCUCAGCAGAGCUCAUCUUCAGGGGGGUCUUCGUCCGGAGAUGAUGGAGAGCGGAACGCCUCCCCCUGCCAUACCACCUUGCGAGGCGGGUGACCCUGAGGUGUCGUCACGGAAGGUUUCUUCGAAUCCGGCAGGGCCGGAAGGCAGUCGUAUGGCCCCCAAGGCCCUCCGUGUCCGGCCUUCAAAAAUGGCCAUCGGACGAGUCCAGCACCGCCCGGCGCACGGUCAGAGGAGCUGAAGGAUCUGCUUGGGCGAGCGUCUAUCUCAGAAGAACAACGUGCGUUGAUGGCUACGGUGAUUGGAAGGAUUUCAUCCACGGAGAGCGGGUUGUACAAGGCCGUCAGGAGUUUACUGACAGGUUUUGAGGUACGCGAAAUGAUGUACCUUUUGACAGAUCCACAUAUAUAAGAUGCGCCCUGUAUAGGUAGUAGCCCCUAAGACUCUAUGCAUUGUCAAAAAUGACGGCCCGCCGAGGAUCAUAAUCCCAAGUAUAAUAUGUCGCCUUUCCUAUGUAGGUGGCGAAGUGUUCGUUGGCUAGCCGGACUGAUGAAUUUACCGAGCUAAAGCGGCAACUUGACGUGGCAGAUGCCGACAUCGUGCUUGUCAACAAGCGGCUUGACGAGGCACAAGGUAUGUAAUUUCUCCGAAGACACCUGGUAAGAGGAGCUUGAUGCCCGUACCUUACAACAUGUGUGCUUGAUGGAGAUGGUGCCGCUGCCAUGGAGAACCUUCGGGCGGAACUUACCCGAGCCAAGGAGCAGGCCAGGAAAAGCGAUGCGGCUGCCUUAAAGGCGGCUGAAGAGCUGAAAGCCGAACAGUCUGCUCACUGCCAAAGCAAGAAGGAAAUGGCCGAGAUGGCUGUAAAGUUGAAGAAUGCUGCCGACCGUUGCAUGCUUCUUGAAAAAGAAGAUCUGGCGGCACAGAAGGACCUAGAGAAGGCCACUACCGAGGACAAGGAUACUCUUUCUACGAUGAGAGCUAUGAAGGAGGAGCUACGUCAGGCCGGAGAUAUCACGGCUGGAAAGCCCUUUAUGCUGCGGAUGAAGUUCGGGGAUCCUAAAUAUGCUCCGUUGGACCGGCUGUGGAGUGCGGAGAACACUUAUCUGGACUUGGCGGCGAGUGCCGCGGACGCGGCCGAACACUUCCGAGAUCAAAAGGACCACGAAGUGGAAAAGCUUUUUUGGUCGCAGUUCCACAAUCCAGAGCGCCCACUUCCAUUAACCGAUCGUUUGGCCGCAUGGCGGAGCUUAAUAGGUUAUCCGGAAUCGCCAUGAAGUAGGUCGUGAGUCAUCUGUGGCCGGAAAGGCCCGAGCCGAAUAGUUAUUUUAGCUUGGUGCAGCAGUUCCUUGGUGCGGUGCCGCAUAUUAAUGCAAGGAAGAGGUCAGCGUGCAUAGAGGGUGCGCGGAUGGCUCUUGCCCGGGUCAAGACAUACUGGGCGGAGAUGAAGGCCAUCGCUGUUGCAUCCCGAUAUUCGGACGAGAGCCGAGUACCUGCCGAGCACUAUUUUCAGGAAGUUCUGCAGGGCGCUCGUUUAAUAGAGACACAGUGCUCGAAGGACAUUAUGUUCGAAUAACAUGUAUUAUUGUAAAACAAUGUUUUGAUGGAAUAUAAAAGCUUUUUAUACUUGUGCCUUCAAGAAUUAGAAUACCUCCUGUGCGGCUGUUAAUGUAUAUGUGUAUAUAACCGGAAAGAUGGCAGUCUUCGGCUUCAGCCCCCACUCAUAUAAUGCGGGGGUGUUCGCAGAAGGCGCAUUUUCACACUUGAUCCAACGUCUUGGUCCUGUUAAGGAGGUGAUAGCGCAUCGAACUAGGCAACCGGACUAUAAUGCUUUAUCACUUUCACUUAGCCAUAGGAGUUUGACAGUGGGGCUACUAUAUAGCCCCUAGGGGCACCGCAUUCCGGCGGGUCAUCGAGUGGUUGACCAGUCUCACGCUAUAUCAUGACAGUCAGUUUUCGGCUUUCUCUACUGAGGUGCUCGCCUGGCCGAACCGGGGCACAAUCGCAGUAGUUCUCUUGGUGCCGUCUUAGCCGAUAGAGCGGAACGUAAGGCAGCAAAACACAGGAGCCGGGCAAACCCAACAUUUGACCAAAGACAUGAUUCGGAGCUGAUGCAUAUAAGGCCAAACUCACGACGCCGAACACUCCCUAAGGUAUUCGGUCUUUAUGAAAACGGGCUGAACAACGCCCUUGGUAAGAAGCCCCUGGUGUCCAGGUACGUGCAAAAUUCUGACGUGGCCACAUGCCAAGACGCCAUCCUCCUCCUCGGUUAUACCAAGAAACCGGGGGAUGUGUAUCAACAAGAGACAGUGAAAAAGGUUUACGCAGGGUCUUAAUCUGAAAAGAAUCCUUGGAACGGGUCCCUACUGCACGUCUGCGCCCGUGUCUCCGUUGUGCCGUAUCCUGGACGGGUGUAGCACAGUGUUCAUCUAUAAAAGAGAGGAACUAAUGGUAAAUUGUAUAGGUGCACUAGUUCGGCGAAGUGAUGAAGAUACAAGUGCAAAAUAGAUAGUAGAUAUAUGUUUUUGUAAUCUGAAAAUAUAAAAACAGCAAGGUAGCGAGCGGUAAAAGUGAGCGUAAACGGUAUUGCAAUGAUAGGAAACAAGGCCUAGGGUUCAUACUUAAACUAGUGCAAGUUCUCUCAACAAUAAUAACAUAGAUAGAUCAUGUAACAAGCCCUCAACAUGCAAGAAAGAGUCACUCCAAAGCCACUAAUAGCGGAGAACAAACGUAGAGAUUAUGGUCAGGUACGAAACCACCACAAAGUUAUUCUUUCGGAUCGAUCUAUAAAAGAGUUUGUACUAGAAUAACACCUUAAGACACAAAUCAACCAAAACCCUAAUGUCACCUAGAUACUCCAUUGUCACCUCAAGUAUCCGUGGGCAUGAUUAUACGAUAUGCAUCACACAAUCUCAGAUUCAUCCAACCAACAUAAAAGUACUUCAAAGAGUGCCCCAAAGCUACUACCGGAGAGUCAAGAACGUGUGCCAACCCCUAUGCAUAGGUUCCCAAGUGUCACGAGACCCGCAAGUUGAUCACCAAAACAUACAUAAAGUGGAUCAAUAGAAUAACCCAUUGUCACCACGGUUAUGCCACGCAAGACAUACAUCAAGUGUUCUCAUAAAGACUCAAUCCAAUAAGAUAACUUCAAAGGGGAAACUCAAUUCAUCACAAGAGAGUAGAGGGGGAGAAACAUCAUAAGAUCCAACUACAAUAGCAAAGCUCGGGAUACAUCAAGAUCGUGCCAUAGAUGGAACAUGAGAGAGAACACGAGAGAGAGAGAUCAAACAGAUAGCUACUGGUACAUACCCUCAACCCUGAGGGUGAACUACUCCCUCCUCGUCAUGGAUAGCGUCGGGAUGAUGAAGAUGGCCUCCGGUGAUGGGAUCCCCCUCCGGCAGGGUGCCGGAACAGGGUCCCGAUUGGUUUUUGGUGGCUACAGAGGCUUGCGACAGCGGAACUCCCGAUCUAUUUUCUGUUUUGGAAGUUUUAGGGUACGUAGGUAUAUAUGGGUGCAGGGGGUACGUCGGUGGAACUCCGGGUUGCUCACGAGGUAGGGGGGCGUGCCCAGGGGGGCGCCACCACCCUCGUGGGCAGCCCGGGACUCCCUUGGCGUGCAUUCCAAGCCCAUCAGGUUGGUUCCCUUCCAAAAUUAACUUCUCCAGUUGAUUUCGUUCCGUUUUGACUCCGUCUGAUAUUCCUUUUCCUCGAAACACUGAAAUAGGCAUAAAACAACAAAUCUGGGCUAGGCCUCCGGUUAAUAGGUUAGUCCCAAAAAUAAUAUAAAAGUGGAUAAUAAAUCCCAAUAUUGCCUAAAACAGUAGAUAAAGUAGCAUGGAGCAAUAAAAAAUUAUAGAUACGUUGGGGACGUAUCAAGCAUCCCCAACCUUAAUUCCUGCUCGUCCUCGAGUAGGUAAAUGAUAAAAAAGAAUUUUUGAUGCGGAGUGAUAAUUUGGCAUAAUUUCAAUGUAAAACUUCUUAAUUGUGAUAUGAAUAUUCAGAUUCGAAAGAUUCAAGACAAAAGUUCAUAUUGACACAAAAAUAAUAAUACUUCAAGCAUACUAAUCAAAGCAAUCAUGUCUUCUCAAAAUAGCAUGGAAAAAGAAAGUUCAUCCCUACAAAAUCAUAUAGUUAGGCUAUGCUUCAUUUUCGUCACAGAAAGAUGUUCCCAACUUCUAUACCCCCGAUGACAAGCCAAGCAAUUGUUUCAUACUUAAAUAAUCUCAAACUUUUUCAACCUUCACGCAAUACAUGAGCGCGAGCCAUAGAUAUAGCACUAUGGGUGGAAUAGAAUAAGAUGUUGGGGAUUGUGUGGAGAAGACAAAAAAGGAGAAAGUCUCACGUUGACGAGGCUAAUCAACGGGCUAUGGAGAUGCCAAUCAAAUGAUGUCAACAUGAGGAGCAGGGAUUGCCAUGCAAUUGGAUGCACUAGAGCUAUGAAUGCUCAACAAAACAAAACUAGUGGGUGUGCAUCUAACUUGCUUGCUCAUGAAGAUCUAGGGCAUUUGAGGAAGCCCAUCGUAGGAAUAUACAAGCCAAGUUCUAUAAUGAAAUAUUCCCACUAGUAUAAAAAGACUUAUGAGACUCACUACAUGAAGAAAAAGGUGCUACUUUGAAGCACAAUAUAUGAGACUCACUACAUGAAGAACGAGGUGCUACUUUGAAGCACAAGUGUGGAAAAAGAGAUAGUAGCAUUGCCUUUUUCUUUUAUUUUUUUGGGCCUUUCUUUUUAUAUAUAUAUAUAUUUUGGCCUUUCUCUUUUUUAUUUAUUUAUUUGGGCAAUGCUCUAAUAAUGAUGAUCAUCACACUUCUAUUGAUUACAACAUAAGGAUUACAACUCGAAACUUAGAACAAGAUAUGACUCUAUAUGAAUGCCUCCGGCGGUGUACCGGGAUGGUGCAAUGAAUCAAGAGUGACAUGUAUGAAAAAUAAUGCAUGGUGGCUUUGCCACAAAUACGAUGUCAACUACAUGAUAAUGCAAUGGCAAUAUGACAAAAGUAAUGUAUGUCAUGAUGAUGAUGAUGGAAGUUGCAUGGCAAUAUAUCUCGGAAUGGCUAUGGAAAUGCUAUAAUAGGUAGGUAUGGUGGUUGUUUUGAGGAAGAUAUAAGGAGGUUUAUGUGUGAUAGAGCGUAUCAUAUCACGGGGUUUGGAUGCACCGGCGAAGUUUGCACCAACUCUCACGGUGAGAAAGGGCAAUGCACGGUACCGAAGAGGCUAGCAAUGGCGGAAAGGUGAGAGUGCGUAUAAUCCAUGGACUCAACAUUAGUCAAAAGAACUCAUAUACUUAUUGCAAAAAUUUAGAAUUCAUCAAAAAUCAAGUACUACGCGCAUGCUCCUAGGGGGAUAGAUUGGUAGGAAAGACCAUCGCUCGUCCCCGACCGCCGCUCAUAAGGAUGUACAAGCCAGGUACACUUCAUGUUUUAAAUUUGUUACACAACUUUAACCAUACGUUCAUGCUACGGGACUUACAAACUUCAACACAAGCAUUUCUCAAAUUCACAAUCACCCAACUAGCAUGACUUUGAUAUUAUCACCUCCAUAUCUCAAAACAAUUAUCAAGCAUCAAACUUAUCUUAGUAUUAUUUUCACUCAAAAGAAAGGUUCACAUAUCUUGAACACCAAGUAUAUUAACAUUAAGCAAAUUACCAUGCUAUUAACGACUCUCAAAAUAAUCUAAGUGAAGCAUGAGAGGCCAAUAGUUUCUUUAAAACAAAUCCAGCACCGAGCUCUUAAAAGAUAUAAGUGAAGCACUAGAGCAAAAAUUAUCACGCUCAAAAGAUAUAAGUGAAGCACUGUGAGCAAAACUAUCAAGCUCAAAAGAUAUAAGUGAAGCACAUAGUGUAUUCUAACAAAUUCCAAAUCAUGUAAGGCUCUCUCUCAUUAAAGAAUUUCAGAUCUUGAUACUUUAUUCAAACAGCAAGCAAAGCUAAAGAAAACUACAAUGCAAGGAUAGCACAACUCAUGUGAAGAAGCAAAAACUUAGGCUCAACCGGUACUAACCGAUAGUUGUUGAAGAAGAAAGGUGGGAUGCCUCCCGGGGCAUCCCCAGCUUAGAUGCUUGAGACUUCUUGAAAUAUUAUCCUGGGGUUCCUUGGGCAUCCCCAAGCUUGAACUUUUGUGUCUCCUUAAUUCCUCUCAUAUCAUGGUUUCUCUUUUUAUCAAAAGCUUCAUUAACAACAAACUCAACAAGAACUCGUGAGAUAGGUUAGUAUAAACCAAUGCAAAACCCUAUCAUAUUCUACUGUAACAAAUCACUAUUAUUGAACAUUGAAUACUAAAUGACUCUGUAUAUUUAAUACUCCUAUCCUCAAAUAUAAUCACUAAACAAUCAAACAUAUGCAAACAAUGCAACCAUAACAGCAAUCUGCCAAAACAGUACAGUCUGUAAAGAAUGCAAGAGUGUCAAUACUUCCCUGACUCCAAAAAUUAUAAACUAAAAUUCCCAUUGUAAUAAAUUUAUCAGAUCUCAGUAUGCAAAAAGAUUCAACGUUAGACCAUGCUCUGACUUUUCUAGGGAAUAUUUGCAACAGCGGUAAAAUUUCUGUUUUCAAACAGCAACAUGCAAACUAGCAAAAUAAGCAUGGCAAAGGCUAUCCUUGACUUUUUUAUUGAACCUAAAGAUUCAAAACAUUAUUCUAACUAACAGCAAGCAAAAACUAACAAAAUAAAAUGACACUCCAAGCAAAACACAUAUCAUGUGGGGAAUAAAAAUAUAGCUCCAAGUAAAGUUACCGAUGAACGAAGACGAAAGAGGGGAUGCCUUCCGGCGCAUCCCCAAGCUUAGUUGCUUGGUUGUCCUUGAAUAUUACCUUGGGGGUGCCUGGGGCAUCCCCAAUCUUACGCUCUUUCCACUCCUUAUUCCAUAGUCCAUCGAAUCUUUACCCAAAACUUGAAAACUUCAACCACACAAAACUUCAACACAAAACUCGUAAGCUCCGUUAGUAUAAGAAUAUAAAACCACCACUUAGGUACAGUAAUUAACUCAUUCUAAAUUCAUAUUGGUGUAAUAUCUACUGUACUCCAACUUAUCUAUGGUUCAUACCCUCCGAUACUACUCAUAGAUUCAUCAAAAUAAGCAAACAACACAUAGAAAACAGAAUCUGUCAAAAACAGAACAGUCUGUAGUAAUCUGUAUAAAACUUAUACUUAUGGAACCCCAAAAAUUAUUAAAUAAAUUGCUGGACCUGAGAAAUUUGUCUAUUAAUCAUCUGCAAAAAGAAUCAACCUAAAAUCACUCUCCAGUAAAAUGGCAGCUAAUCUCGUGAGCGCUAAAGUUUCUGUUUUUCACAGCAAGAUCACAUAAACUUCACCCAAGUCUUCCCAAAGGUUCUACUUGGCACUUUAUUGAAACAAAAGCUAUAAAGCAUGAUUACUACAGUAUCAUAAUCAUGUGGACACACAAAAACAGUAAAGGUAAAUAUUGGGUUGUCUCCCAACAAGCGCUUUUCUUUAAUUCCUUUUAGCUAGGCAUGAUGAUGACAAUGAUGAUCACAUAAAAGAUAAGAAUUGAAACGUAAUGGGAGCAUCAUGAAUCAUAUUACUAGCACAUUUAAGUCUAACCCACUUCCUAUGCAUCGGGAUUUUGUGAGCAAAAAACUUAGGAGAACAAUAAUCAACUAGCAUAGGAAGGUAAAACAAGCAUAGCCUCAAGAAUUUAAGCACAUAGGGAGGAAACUUGACAUUAUUGCAAUUCCUACAAGCAUAUGUUCCUCUCUCAUAAUAAUUUUCAGUAGCAUCAUGAAUGAAUUCAACAAUAUAACCAGCACCUAAAGCAUUCUUUUCAUGAUCUACAAACAUAGAAAAUUUACUACUCUCAACAUAAGCAAACUUUUUCUUUAUAACAUACGUAUCAUCACAAUAAUCAUCAUAAAUAGGAGGCAUGCUUUCAUCAUAGUAAAUUUGCUCAUCAAAGCUUGGGGGACAAAAAUAUCAUCUCCAUCAAACAUAGCUUCCCCAAGCUUGUGGCUUUGCAUAUCAUUAGCAUCAUGGAUAUUCAAGGAAUUCAUACUAACAACAUUGCAAUCAUGCUCAUCAUUCACAUAUUUCAUGCCAAGCAUUCUAUGUAAUUCUUCUUCUAGCACUUGAGCACAAUUAUCCUUUCCAUCAUACUCACGAAAGAUAUUAAAAAGGUGAAGCGUAUGAGAAAAACUCAACUCCAUUUUUUGUAGUUUUCUUUUAUAAACUAGACUAGUGCUAAAACAAGAAACAAAAAGAUUUGAUUGCAAGAUCUAAAGAUAUAACUUCAAGCACUCACCUCCCCGGCAACGGCCCCAGAAAAGAUCUUGAUGUCUACUACACAACCUUCUUCUUGUAGACGUUGUUGGGCCUGCAAGUGCAGAGGUUUGUAGGACAGUAGAAAAUUUCCCUCAAGUGGAUGACCUAAGGUUUAUCAAUCCGUAGGAGGCGUAGGAUGAAGAUGGUCUCUCUCAAACAACCCUGCAACCAAAUAACAAAAAGUCUCUUGUGUCCCCAACACACCCAAUACAAUGGUAAAUUGUAUAGGUGCACUAGUUCGGAGAAGAUAUGAAGAUACAAGUGCAAAAUAGAUAGUAGAUAUAGGUUUUUGUAAUCUGAAAAUAUAAAAACAGCAAGGUAGCGCGCGGUAAAUGUGAGCGUAAGCGGUAUUGCAAUGAUAGGAAACAAGGCCUAGGGUUCAUACUUUCACUAGUGCAAGUUCUCUCAACAAUAAUAACAUAGAUAGAUCAUAUAACAAGCCAUCAACAUGCAACAAAGAGUCACUCCAAAGCCACUAAUAGCAGAGAACAAACGUAGAGAUUAUGGUCGAGUACGAAACCACCACAAAGUUAUUCUUUCGGAUCGAUCUAUAAAAGAGUUCGUACUAGAAUAACACCUUAAGACACAAAUCAACCAAAACCCUAAUGUCACCUAGAUACUCCAUUGUCACCUCAAGUAUCCAUGGGCAUGAUUAUACGAUAUGCAUCACACAAUCUCAGAUUCAUCCAACCAACGUAAAAGUACUUCAAAGAGUGCCCCAAAGCUACUACCGGAGAGUCAAGAACGUGUGCCAACCCCUAUGCAUAGGUUCCCAAGUGUCACGAAACCCGCAAGUUGAUCACCAAAACAUACAUCCAGUGGAUCAAUAGAAUAACCCAUUGUCACCACGGUUAUCCCACGCAAUACAUACAUCAAGUGUUCUCAAAAAGACUCAGUCCGAUAAGAUAGCUUCAAAGGGGAAACUCAAUUCAUCACAAGAGAGUAAAGGGGGAGAAACAUCAUAAGAUCCAACUACAAUAGCAAAGCUCGGGAUACAUCAAGAUCGUUCCAUAGAUGGAACACGAGAGAGAACAUGAGAGAGAGAGAGAGAUCAAACACAUAGCUACUUGUACAUACCCUCAGCCCCGUGGGUGAACUACUCCCGCCGCGUCAUGGAUAGCGCCGGGAUGGUGAAGAUGGCCUCCGGUGAUGGGAUCCUGUAGGGGAACGUUGCAGAAAAUUAAAAUUUUUCCUACGGUUUCACCAAGAUCAAUCUCUGAGUUCAUCUAAGCAAUGAGUCAUGGGAGAGAGAUUGCAUCUACAUACCACUUGUAGAUUGCGUGCGGAAGCGUUCGAGGGAACGGUGAUGAUGGAGUCGUACUCGCCGUGAUUCAGAUCACCGAUGACCAAGUGCUGAACGGACAACACCUCCGCGUUCAACACACAUACGGUACGGACGACGUCUCCUCCUUCUUGAUCCAGCAAGGGGAAAGUAGAGGUUGAGGAAGAAGGCUCCAGCAGCAGCACGACGGCAUGAUGAUGGUGGAGAGGCAGUACUCCGAUAGGGCUUCGCCAAGCGCACAACGGAGGAGGAGAGGUGUUGGGGAGGGGAGGGGCUGCGCCUUGGAUCAGGUGUUCAGCCCUCCCCUCGCCCCUCUAUUUAUAGGGGAAGGGGGAAGGGGGCCGGCCCCCUCUAGAUGAGAUCUAGAGGGGGGGGGCCAGGGAGGGGGCUUGCCCCCCAAGCAAAGGGGGUGCGCCCCCUUUAGGGUUCCCCCGCAAACCCAAGGCGCAUGGGCCCAAGGGGGGGGGCGCCCAGCCCUCCAGGGGCUGGUUCCCUGCCCCACGCGGCCCAUGUGGCCCACCUAGAGGGGUGGCCCCUCCCAGUGGACCCCCGGAACCCCUCCGGUGGCCCCGGUACAAUACCGAUAUGCCCCCGAAACUUUCCGGUGUCCGCAUGACAACUUCCCAUAUAUAAAUCUUUACCUCCGGACCAUUCCGGAACUCCUCGUGACGUCCGGGAUCUCAUCUGAGACUCCGAACAACAUUCGGUAAUCACAUACAAGUCUUCCUAAUAACUCUAGCGUCACCGAACCUUAAGUGUGUAGACCCUACGGGUUCGGGAAACACGCAGACAUGACCAGACGACUCUCCGGUCAAUAACCAACAGUGGGAUCUGGAUACCCAUGUUGGCUCCCACAUGCUCCUCGAUGAUGUCAUCGGAUGAACCACGAUGUUGAGGAUUCAAUCAACCCCGUAUGCAAUUCCCUUUGUCAGACGGUAUGUUAUUUGCCCGAGACUGGAUCGUCGGUAUCCCAAUACCUCGUUCAGUCUCGUUACCGGCUAGUCACUUUACUCGUACCGUAAUGCAUGAUCCUGUGACCAGACACUUGGUCACUUUGAGCUCAUUAUGAUGAUGCACUACCGAGUGGGCCCAGUGAUACCUCUCCGUAAUCCGGAGUGACAAAUCCCAGUCUCGAUCCGUGUCAACACAACAGACACUUUCGGAGAUACCUGUAGUGCACCUUUAUAGUCACCCAGUUACGUUGUGACGUUUGGUACACCCAAAGCACUUCUACGGUAUCCGGGAGUUACACGAUCUCAUGGUCUAAGGAAGAGAUACUUGACAUUGGAAAAGCUCUAGCAAAACGAACUACAUGAUCUUGUGCUAUGCUUAGGAUUGGGUCUUGUCCAUCACAUCAUUCUCCUAAUGAUGUGAUAUCGUUGUCAAUGACAUCCAAUGUCCAUAAUCAGGAAACCAUGACUAUCUGUUGACCAACGAGCUAGUCAACUAGAGGCUUACUAGGGACGUAUUGUGGUCUAUGUAUUCACACGUGUAUUACGAUUUCCGGACGAUACAAUUAUAGCAUGAAUAAAAGACAAUUAUCAUGAACAAGGAAAUAUAAUAAUAAUCCUUUUAUUAUUGCCUCUAGGGCAUAUUUCCAACAGUCUCCCACUUGCACUAGAGUCAAUAAUCUAGUUACAUUGUGAUGAAUCGAACACCCAUAGAGUUCUGGUGUUGAUCAUGUUUUGCUCGCGAGAGAGGUUUAGUCAACGGAUCUGCGACAUUCAGAUCCGUAUGUACUUUGCAAAUAUCUAUGUCUCCAUCUUGAACAUUUUCACGGAUGGAGUUGAAGCGACGCUUGAUGUGCCUGGUCUUCUUGUGAAACCUGGGCUCCUUGGCAAGGGCAAUAGCUCCAGUGUUGUCAUAGAAGAGUUUGAUCGGCCCCGACGCAUUGGGUAUGACUCCUAGGUCGGUGAUGAACUCCUUCACCCAAAUUGCUUCAUGCGCUACCUCUGAGGCUGCCAUGUACUCCGCUUCACAUGUAGAUCCCGCCACGACACUCUGCUUGCAGCUGCACUAGCUUACUGCUCCACCAUUCAACAUAUACACGUAUCCGGUUUGUGACUUAGAGUCAUCCAGAUCUGUGUCGAAGCUAGUGUCGACGUAACCCUUUACGACGAGCUCUUCGUCACCUCCAUAAACGAGAAACAUGUCCUUUGUCCUUCUCAGGUACUUCAGGAUAUUCUUGACCGCUGUCCAGUGUUCCUUGCCGGGAUUACUUUGGUACCUUCCUACCAAACUUACGGCAAGGUUUACAUCAGGUCUGGUACACAGCAUGGCAUACAUAAUAGAUCCUAUGGCUGAGGCAUAGGGGAUGACGCUCAUCUCUUCCUUAUCUUUUGCCGUGGUCGGGCAUUGAGCCGAGCUCAAUCUCACACCUUGCAUUACAGGCAAGAAACCUUUCUUGGACUGAUCCAUUUUGAACUUCUUCAAAAUCUUAUCAAGGUAUGUGCUUUGUGAAAGACCUAUGAGGCGUCUCGAUCUAUCCCUAUAGAUCUUGAUGCCUAAUAUGUAAGCAGCUUCUCCAAGGUCCUUCAUUGAAAAACACUUAUUCAAGUAGGCCUUAAUGCUCUCCAAGAAUUAUAUAUCAUUUCCCAUCAAAAGUAUGUCAUCUACAUAUAAUAUGAGAAAUGCUACAGAGCUCCCACUCACUUUCUUGUAAACGCAGGCUUCUCCAUAAGUCUGCAUAAACCCAAACGCUUUGAUCAUCUCAUCAAAGCGAAUGUUCCAACUCCGAGAUGCUUGCACCAGCCCAUAAAUGGAUCGCUGGAGCUUGCACACUUUGUUAGCAUUCUUAGGAUCGACAAAACCCUCCGGCUGCAUCAUAUACAGUUCUUCCUUAAGAUGCCCGUUAAGGAAUGCCGUUUUGACGUCCAUCUGCCAUAUCUCAUAAUCAUAGUAUGCGGCAAUUGCUAACAUGAUUCGGACGGACUUAAGCUUCGCUACGGGAGAGAAAGUCUCAUCGUAGUCAAUCCCUUGAACUUGCCGAUAACCCUUAGCGACAAGUCGAGCUUUAUAGACGGUAAUAUUACCAUCCGCGUCCGUCUUCUUCUUAAAGAUCCAUUUGUUUUCUAUCGCUCGCCGUUCAUCGGGCAAGUCUGUCAAAGUCCAUACUUUGUUUUCAUACAUGGAUUCUAUCUUGGAUUUCAUGGCUUCAAGCCAUUUGUUGGAAUCUGGGCCCGCCAUUGCUUCUUCAUAGUUUGAAGGUUCACCGUUGUCCAACAACAUGAUUUCCAGGACAGGGUUGCCGUACCACUCUGGUGCGGAACGUAUCCUUGUGGACCUACGAAGUUCAGUAGCAACUUGAUCCGAAGUACCUUGAUCAUCAUCAUUAUUUUCCUCUUCAGUUGGUGUAGGCAUCACAGGAACAUUUUCCUGAGCUGCACUACUAUCCCAUUCAAGAGGUAGUACUUCAUCGAGUUCUACUUUCCUCCCACUUACUUCUUUCGAGAGAAACUCUUUUUCCAGAAAGGAUCCGUUCUUGGCAACAAAGAUCUUGCCCUCAGAUGUUAAGUAGAAGGUAUACCCAAUGGUUUCUUUAGGGUAUCCUACGAAGACGCAUUUUUCCGACUUGGGUUCGAGCUUUUCAGGUUGAAGUUUCUUGACAUAAGCAUCGCAUCCCCAAACUUAAAGAAACGACAGCUUAGGUUUCUUCCCAAACCAUAAUUCAUACGGUGUCGUCUCAACGGAUUUAGACGGUGCCCUAUUUAAAGUGUAUGUAGCUGUCUCUAGAGCGUAUCCCCAAAAUGAUUGCGGUAAAUCGGUAAGAGACAUCAUAGAUCGCACCAUAUCCAAUAGAGUGUGAUUACGACAUUCGGACACACCGUUACGCUGAGGUGUUCCAGGCGGCAUGAGUUGUGAAACGAUUCCACAUUUUCUUAAGUGUGUACCAAAUUCGUGACUUAAAUAUUCUCCUCCACGAUCCGAUCGUAAGAAUUUUAUCUUUCGGUCACGUUGAUUCUCUACUUCAUUCUGAAAUUCCUUGAACUUUUCAAAGGUCUCAGACUUGUGUUUCAUCAAGUAGAGAUACCCAUAUCUACUCAAGUCAUCAGUGAGAGUGAGAACAUAACGAUACCCUCCGCGAGCCUCAACGCUCAUUGGACUGCACACAUCGGUAUGUAUGAUUUCCAACAAGUUGGUUGCUCGCUCCAUUGUUCCGGAGAACGGGGUCUUGGUCAUUUUUCCCAUGAGGCAUGGUUCGCAUGUGUCAAAUGAUUCAUAAUCGAGAGACUCUAAAAGUCCAUCAGCAUGGAGCUUAUUCAUGUGCUUGACACCAAUGUGACCAAGGCGGCAGUGCCACAAGUAUGUGGGACUAUCGUUAUCAACUUUACAUCUUUUGGUAUUCACGCUGUGAAUAUGUGUAACAUUACGUUCGAGAUUCAUUAAGAAUAAACCAUUGACCAUCGGGGCAUGACCAUAAAACUUAUCUCUCAUAUAAAUAGAACAACCAUUAUUCUCGAAUUUAAAUGAGUAACCAUCUCGUAUUAAACGAGAUCCAGAUACAAUGUUCAUGCUCAAACUUGGCACUAAAUAACAAUUAUUGAGGUUUAAAACUAAUCCCGUAGGUAAAUGUAGAGGUAGCGUGCCGACGGCGAUCACAUCGACCUUGGAACCAUUCCCGACGCGCAUCGUCACCUCGUCCUUCUCCAGUCUCCGCUUAUUCCGCAGCUCCUGCUAUGAGUUACAAAUGUGAGCCACGGCACCGGUAUCAAAUACCCAAGAGUUACUACGAGUACUGGUAAGGUACACAUCAAUUACAUGUAUAUCAAAUAUACCUUUAGUGUUGCCGGCCUUCUUGUCCGCUAAGUAUUUGGGCAGUUCCGCUUCCAGUGACCCUUCCCCUUGCAAUAAAAGCACUCAGUUUCAGGCUUGGGUCCAUUCUUUGACUUCUUCCCGGCAACUGGCUUACCGGGCGCGGCAACAUCUUUGCCGUCCUUCUUGAAGUUCUUCUUACCCUUGCCCUUCUUGAACUUAGUGGUCUUAUUGACCAUCAACACUUGAUGUUCUUUCUUGAUUUCAACCUCUUCUGACUUCAGCAUUGAAAAUACUUCAGGAAUGGUUUUCACCAUCCCCUGCAUAUUGUAGUUCAUCACAAAGAUCUUGUAGCUUGGUGGGAGCGACUGAAGGAUUCUGUCAAUGACCGCCUCAUCCGGGAGGUUAAUGUCCAGCUGGGACAGGCGGUUGUGCAACCCAGACAUUUUGAGUAUAUGCUCACUGACAUAACUAUUUUCCUCCAUCUUACAACUAUAGAACUUGUCGGAGACUUCAUAUCUCUCGACCCGGGCAUGAGCUUGGAAAACUAGUUUCAGCUCCUCGAACAUCUCAUAUGCUCCGUGUUGCUCAAAAUGCUUUUGGAACCCCGGUUCUAAGCUGUAAAGCAUGCUGCACUGAACGAGGGAGUAAUCAUCAGCGCGAGACUGCCAAGCAUUCAUAAUGUCUUGGUUCUCUGGGACGGGUGCAUCACCUAGCGGUCCUUCUAGGACAUAUUGUUUUUUGGCAGCUAUGAGGAUGAUCCUCAGGUUCCGGACCCAGUCCGUAUAGUUGCUGCCAUCAUCUUUCAGCUUGGUUUUCUGUAGGAACGCGUUGAAGUUCAUGUUGACUUGAGCGGUGGCCAUUUGAUCUACAAGACAUAUUUGCAAAGGUUUUAGACUAAGUUCAUGAUAAUUAAGUUCAUCUAAUCAAAUUAUUGAAUGAACUCCCACUCAGAUUUGACAUCCCUCUAGUCAUCUAAGUCUUACACGAUCCGAGUCGACUAGGCCGUGUCCGAUCAUCACGUGAGACGGACUAGUCAUCAUCGGUGAACAUCUCCAUGUUGAUCGUAUCUUCCAUACGACUCGUGUUCGACCUUUCGGUCUCUGUGUUUAGAGGCCAUGUAUGUACAUGCUAGGCUCGUCAAGUUAACCCUAAGUGUUCUGCAUGUGUAAAUCUGUCUUACACCCAUUGUAUGUGAACGUAAGGAUCUAUCACACCCGAUCAUCACGUGGUGCUUCGAAACGACGAACUUUAGCAACGGUGCACAGUUAGGGGGAACACUUUCUUGAAAUUAUUAUAAGGGAUCAUCUUAUUUACUACCGCCGUUCUAAGUAAACAAGAUGCAUAAAACAUAAUAAACAUCACAUGCAAUUAUAUAGUAGUGAUAUGAUAUGGCCAAUAUCAUAUAGCUCCUUCGAUCUCCAUCUUCGGGGCUCCAUGAUCAUCUUCGUCACCGGCAUGACACCAUGAUCUCCAUCAUCAUGAUAUCCAUCAUUGUGUCUUCAUGAAGUUGUCACGCCAACGAGUACUUCUACUUCUAUGGCUAACGCGUUUAGCAAUAAAGUAAAGUAAUUUACAUGGCGUUCUUCAAUGACACGCAAGUCAUACAAAAAUAAAGACAACUCCUAUGGCUCCUGCCAUUUGUCAUACUCAUCAACAUGCAAGUCGUGAUUCCUAUUACAAGAACAUGAUCUCAUACAUCACAAUAUAUCAUUCAUCAUUCAUCACAACUUCUGGCCAUAUCACAUCACAUGACAAUUGCUGCAAAAACAAGUUAGACGUCCUCUAAUUGUUGUUGCAUCUUUUACGUGGCUGCAAUUGGGUUCUAGCAAGAACGUUUUCUUACCUAUGAAUAACCACAACGUGAUUUUGUCAACUUCUAUUUACCCUUCAUAAGGACCCUUUUCAUCGAAUCCGCUGCAACUAAAGUGGGAGAGACAGACACCCGCCAGCCACCUUAUGCAACUAGUGCAUGUCAGUCGGUGGAACCGGUCUCAUGUAAGCGUACGUUUAAGGUUGGUCCGGGCCGCUUCAUCCCACAAUACCGCUGAAGCAAGAUAAGACUAGUAGCGGCAAGCAAGUUGACAAGAUCUACGCCCACAACAAAAUUGUGUUCUACUCGUGCAAUAGAGAACUAUGUUGGGGAACGUAGCAGAAAUUCAAAAUUUUCCUACGUGUCACCAAGAUCUAUCUAUGGAGAAACCGGCAAGGAGGGGAAGGAGAGUGCAUCUACAUACCCUUGUAGAUUGCUAAGUGGAAGCGUUCAAGAGAACGGGGUUGAAGGAGUCGUACUCGUCGUGAUCCAAAUCACCGGAGAUCCUAGUGCCGAACGGACGGCACCUCCGCGUUCAACACACGUACAGCCCGGUGACAUCUCCCACGCCUUGAUCCAGCAAGGAGAGAGGGAGAGGUUGAGGAAGACUCCGUCCAGCAGCAGCACAACAGCGUGGUGGUGAUGGAGGGCGUGGCAAUCCAGCAGGGCUUCGCCAAGCACCGCGGGAGAGGAGGAGUAAUUGGGAGAGGGGGAGGUCUGCGCCAGAACAUGGGUGUGGCUGCCCUCCCACCCCCACAUAUAUAUAGGGGCAAGGGAGAAGGGGGCCGGCCCCCUCAAAUCCAAUCUGAGGAGGGGGCGGCGGCCAAGGGGGGGAGGAGUGCCUCCCAAGUCAAGUGGAGGCCCUCCCCCUUAGGGUUUUCCCCUUCCCAUGCGCAUGGGCCUUGGGGGGGCUGGUGCCCCUGGCCCAUUAAGGCUAGGGAGCCCCCCUACAGCCCAUGCUACUGUAUUGGACGUGGUGGAACAAUUUCCGGACCUCCGGACCCCUCCGGAAUCCUCCGGAACCUUCUGGAAGCUUCCCGAUACAAUACCGAAAAAACCCAAACUUUUCCCGGAACCCGAACAACAACUUUCCAUAUAUAAAUCUUUACCUCUGGACCAUUCCGGAACUCCUCGUGACGUCCGGGACUCAUUCGGGACUCCGAACAACAUUCGGUAACCACAUAUGAACUUCCUUUAUAACCCUAGCGUCAUCGAACCUUAAGUGUGUAGACCCUACGGGUUCGGGAACCAUGCAGACAUGACCGAGACAUUCUCCGGUAAAUAACCAACAGCGGGAUCUGGAUACCCAUGUUGGCUCCCACAUGUUCCACGAUGAUCUCAUCGGAUGAACCACGAUGUCAAGGACUCAAUCAAUCCCGUAUACAAUUCCCUUUGUCUAACGGUAUUCUAGUUGCCCGAGAUUCGAUCUUCGGUAUGCCGAUACCUAGUUCAAUCUCGUUACCAGCAAGUCUCUUUACUCAUUCCGUAACACAUCAUCCCAUGAUCAACCCCUUGGUCACAUUGUGCACAUUAUGAUGAUGUCCUACCGAGUGGGCCCAGAGAUACCUCUCCGUUUACACGGAGUGACAAAUCCCAGUCUCGAUUCGUGCCAACCCAACAGACACUUUCGGAGAUACCUGUAGUGCACCUUUAUAGUCACCCAGUUACGUUGUGACGUUUGGUACACCCAAAGCAUUCCUACAGUAUCCGGGAGUUGCACAAUCUCAUGGUCUAAGGAAAAGAUACUUGACAUUAGAAAAGCUUUAGCAUACGAACUACGAUCUUUGUGCUAGGCUUAGUAUUGGGUCUUGUCCAUCACAUCAUUCUACUAAUGAUGUGAUCCCGUUAUCAAUGACAUCCAAUGUCCAUGGUUAGGAAACCGUAACCAUCUAUUGAUCAACGAGCUAGUCAAUAGAGGCUUGCUAGGGACAUGGUGUUGUCUAUGUAUCCACACAUGUAUCUGAGUUUCCUAUCAAUACAGUUAUAGCAUGGAUAAUAAACGAUUAUCAUGAACAAGGAAAUAUAAUAAUAACUAAUUUAUUAUUGCCUCUAGGGCAUAUUUCCAACAGUCUCCCACUUGCACUAGAGUCAAUAAUCUAGUUCACAUCGCCAUGUGAUUAACACUCACAGGUCACAUCGCCAUGUGACCAACAUCCAAAGAGUUUACUAGUGUCAUUAAACUAGUUCACAUCAUCAUGUGAUUAAGACUCAAUGAGUUCUGGGGUUUGAUCAUGUUUUGCUUGUGAGAGUGGUUUUAGUCAAUGGGUCUGUAACAUUCAGAUCCGUAUGUACUUCGCAAUUCUCUAUGUCAUAUUGUAAAUGUUGCUUCCACGGUCCACUUGAAGCUAUUCCAAAUGGUUGCUCCACUAGACUUAUCCGGUUUGCUACUCAGAGUCACUCGGAUAGGUGUUAAAGCUUGCAUCGACGUAACCCUUUACGCCGAACUCUUUAUCACCUCCAUAAUCGAGAAACAUGUCCUUAUUUACUCCAAGGACAAUUUUGACCGCUGUCCAAUGAUCCAUUCCUGGAUCAUUCUUGUACCCCUUGACUGACUCAUGGCAAGGCACACUUCCGGUGCGGUACAUAGCAUAGCAUACUAUAGAGCCUAUGUCUGGAGCAUAGGGGACGACCUUCGUCCUUUCUCUCUUUUCUUCCGUGGUCGAGCUUUAAGUCUUAACUUCAUACCUUAUAUCUCAGGCAAGAACUCCUUCUGUGACUGAUCCAUCUUGAACACCUUCAAGAUCAUGUCAAGGUAUGUGCUCAUUUGAAAGUAUUAUUAAGCAUUUUGAUCUAUCUUAUAGAUAUUGAUGCUUAUUGUUCAAGUAGCCUAAUCCAGGUUUUCCAAUGAAAAACACUUUUCAAAUAAACCUAUAUGCUUUCUAGAAAAUUCUACAUCAUUUCUGAUCAUCAAUAUGUCAACAACAUAUACUCAUCAGAAAUUCUAUAGCGCUCCCACUCACUUCUUUGGAAAUACAAGUUUCUCAUGAACUUUGUAUAAACCCAAAAUCUUUGAUCAUCUCAUCAAAGCGCACAUUCCAACUCCGAGAUGCUUACUCCAGUCCUUAGAAGGAUCGCUAGAGCCAGCACACCUUUUAGCAUCCUUAGGAUCGACAAAAACUUUCUGAUUGUAUCGCAUACAACCUUUCCUUACGAAGACUGGUAAGGAAACUCGUUUUGACAUCCAUCUGCCAGAUUUCAUAAAUGUAGCUAAUGCUAACAUGAUUUCGACGGACUUAAGCAUCACUACGGAUGAGAAAAUCUCAUCGUAGUCAACUCCUUGAACUUGUGAAAAACUCUUCACCACAAGUCGAGCUUCAUAGACGGUGACAUUACCGUCCAUGCCCGUCUUCUUCUUAAAGAUCCAUUUAUCUCAAUGGCUUGCCAAUCAUCGGGCAAGUCCACCAAAGUCCAUGCUUUGUUAUGACACAUGGAUCCUGUCUCGGAUUUCAUGGCUUCCAACCAUUUGUCGGAAUAUGGGCCCACCAUCGCUUCUCCAUAGCUUGUAGGUUCAUUGUUGUCUAGCAACAUGACCUUCAAGACAGGAUCACCGUACCACUCCGAAGCAGUACGUGUCCUUGUCGUCCUACGAGGUUCGGUAGUGACUUGAUCCGAAACUUCAUGAUCACUAUCAUAAGCUUCUACUUCAAUUGGUGUAGGUGCCACAGGAAAAACUUCCUAUGCCUUGCUACACAUUUGUUGAAGUGACGGUUCAAUAACCUCAUCAAGUCUCCACCAUCCUCCCACUCAAUUCUUUCGAGAGAAACCUUUCCUCGAGAAAGGACCCAAUUCAAGAAACAAUCCCUAUUGCUUUCGGAUCUGAAUUAGGAGGUAUACCCAACUGUUUUGGGUGUCCUAUGAAGAUGCAUUUUAUCCGCUUUGGGUUCGAGCUUAUCAACCUGAAACCUUUUUCACAUAAGCGUCGCAGCCCCAAACUUUUAAGAAACGACAACUUAGGUUUCUCCAAACGGUGUCGUCUCAACGGAAUUACGUGGUACCCUAUUAAAGUGAGUGCGGUUGUCUCUAAUGCCUAACCCAUGAACGAUAGCGGUAAUUCGAUAAGAGAUAUCAUGGUACACACCAUAUCCAAUAGGGUGCAACUAUGAUGUUCGGACACACCAUCACACUAUGGUGUUCCAGGCAGUAUUAAUUGUGAAACAAUUUCCACAAUGUGUUAAUUGUGUGCCAAAGCUCGUAACUCAGAUACUCAUCUCUAUGAUCAUAUCAUAGACAUUUUAUCCUCUUGUCACAAUGAUCUUCAACUUCACUCUGAAAUUACUUGAACCCUUCAAUAAUUCAGACUUGUGUUUCAUCAAGUAAAUAUACAGUAUCUACUUAAAUCAUAUGUGAAGUAAAACAUAACGAUAUUCACUGCAUGCCUCAGCACUCAUUGGACUGCACACAUCAAAGUGUGUUACUUCCAACAAGUUGCUAUCUUGUUCCAUCUUACUGAAACCGAGGCUUUUCAGUCAUCUUGCCUAUGUGGUACGAUUUGCAUAUCUCAAGUGAUUCAGAAUCAAGUGAGUCCAAACGAUCCAUCUGCAUGGAGUUUCUUUAUGCGUAUACACCAAUAGACAUGGUUUGCAUGUCUCAAACUUUUCAAAAAUGAGUGAGUCCAAAGAUCCAUCAACAUGGAGCUUCAUCAUGCAUUUUACACCAAUAUGACAUACAUGGCAGUGCCACAAGUAAGUGGUAGUAUCAUUACUAUCUUAUAUCCUUUUUGGCAUGAAAAUGUGUAUCACUACGAUCGAGAUUCUAUAAACCAUUCCUUUUAGGUGCAAGACCAUUGAAGGUAUUAUUCAAAUAAACAGAGUAACCAUUAUUCUCCUUAAAUGAAUAACUGUAUUGCGACAAACAUAAUCCAAUCAUGUCUAUGCUCAACGCAAACACCAAUAACAAUUAUUUAGGUUUAACACCAAUCUCGAUGGUAGAGGGAGCGUGCGAUGCUUGAUCAUAUCAACCUUGGAAACACUUCCAACACGUAUCGUCAGCUCACCUUUAGCUAGUCUCCGUUUAUUCCGUAGCUUUUAUUUGGAGUUACUAACACUUAGCAACCGAACCUGUAUCUAAUACCCUGGUGCUACUAGGAGUACUAGUAAAGUACACAUUAACAUAAUAUAUAUCCAAUAUACUUCUAUUGACCUUGCCAGCCUUCUUAUCUACCAAGUAUUUAGGGUAAUUCUACUCCAGUGGCUGUUCCCCUUAUUACAGAAGCACUUAGUCUCGGGUUUGGAUUCAACCUUGGGUUUCUUCAUUGGAGCAGCAACUGGUUUGCCAUUUCAUGAAGUGUCCCUUCUUGAAACUAGUGGUUUCACCAACCAUCAACAAUUGAUGCUCCUUCUUGAUUUCUAGUUUCGCGGUGUCAAACAUCGUGAAUACCUCAAGGAUCAUCUAUCCCUGAUAUGUUAUAGUUCAUCACGAAGCUCUAGCAGCUUGGUGGCAAUGACUUUGGAGAAAGAUCACUAUCUCAUCUAGAAGAUCAACUCCCACUUGAUUCAAGUGAUUGUUGCACUCAGACAAUCUGAGCACAAUCUCAACGAUUGAGCUUUUCUCCGUUAGUUUGCAGGCUUAGAAAAUUGUCGGAGGUCUUGUACCUCUUGACGUGGGCACGAGCCUAAAAUCCCAAUUUCAGCCCUCGAAACAUCUCAUAUGUUCCGCGACGUUUCGAAAAACGUCUUUGGUGCCUCAACUCUAAACCGUUUAACUGAACUAUCACGUAGUUAUCAAAACGUGUAUGUCCGAUGUUCGCAACAUCCACAGACGACCAUUGGGGUUCAGCACACUAAGCGGUGCAUUAAGGACAUAAGCUUUCUUUUGUCCGCAUAAUCGCUACUGUCAACUUUCAACUAUAUUUUCACUAGGAACAUAUCUAAACAGUGGAACUAAAGCGCAAGCUUACGACAUAAUUUGCAAAGAUCUUUUGACUAUGUUCAGGAUAAUUAAGUUCAUCUUAUGAACUCCCACUCAGAUAGACAUCCCUCUAGUCAUCUAAGUGAUUACAUGAUCUGAGUCAACUAGGCCGUGUCCGAUCAUCACGUGAGACGGACUAGUCAUCAUCGGUGAACAUCUUCAUGUUGAUCGUAUCCACCAUACGACUCAUGCUCGACCUUUCGGUCUCUUGUGUUCCGAGGCCAUGUCUGUACAUGCUAGGCUCGUCAAGUCAACCUAAGUGUUUCACGUGUGUAAAUCUGGCUUACACCCGUUGUAUGUGAACGUAAGAAUCUAUCACACCCGAUCAUCACGUGGUGCUUCGAAACGACGAACUUUCGCAACGGUGCAUAGUUAGGGGGAACACUUUCUUGAAACUUUAAUGAGGGAUCAUCUUAUUUACUACCGUCGUUCUAAGCAAAUAAGAUGCAUAAACAUGAUAAACAUCACAUGCAAUCAAAUAGUGACAUGAUAUGGCCAAUAUCAUAUUGCUCCUUUUGAUCUCCAUAUUCGGGGAUCCAUGAUCAUCAUCGUCACCGGCAUGACACCAUGAUCUCCAUCAUCAUGAUCUCCAUCAUCGUGUCUCCAUGAAGUUGUCUCGCCAACUUAUUACUUCUACUACUAUGGCUACCGGUUAGCAAUAAAGUAAAGUAAUUACAUGGCAUUGUUCAAUGACACACAGGUCAUACAAUAAAUAAAGACAACUCCUAUGGCUCCUGCCAGUUGUCAUACUCAUCGACAUGCAAGUCGUGAUUCCUAUUACAAGAACAUGAUCAAUCUCAUACAUCACACAUAUUCAUCACAUUCUUCUUGGCCAUAUCACAUCACAUAGCAUACCCUGCAAAAACAAGUUAGACGUCCUCUAAUUGUUGUUUGCAUGUUUUACGUGGCUGCUAUGGGUUUCUAGCAAGAACGUUUCUUACCUAUGCAAAACCACAACGUGAUAUGCCAAUUUCUAUUUACCCUUCAUAAGGACCCUUUUCAUCGAAUCCGUUCCGACUAAAGUGGGAGAGACUGGCACCCGCUAGCCACCUUAUGCACCAAGUGCAUGUCAGUCGGUGGAACCUGUCUCACGUAAGUGUACGUGUAAGGUCGGUCCGGGCCGCUUCAUCCCACAAUACCGCCGAAACAAGAUUGGACUAGUGACGGUAAGCAUAUUGAACAAAAUCAACGCCCACAACUACUUUGUGUUCUACUCGUGCAAAGAAUCUACGCAAUAGACCUAGCUCAUGAUGCCACUGUUGGGGAACGUAGCAGAAAUUCAAAAUUUUCCUACGUGUCACCAAGAUCUAUCUAUGGAGAAACCAGCAACGAGGGGAAGGAGAGUGCAUCUACAUACCCAUGUAGAUCGCUAAGCGGAAGCGUUCAAGAGAACGGGGUUGAAGGAAUCGUACUUGUCGUGAUCCAAAUCACCGAAGAUCCUAGUGCCGAACGGACGGCACCUCCGCGUUCAACACACGUACAGCCCGGUGACGUCUCCCACGCCUUGAUCCAGCAAGGAGAGAGGGAGAGGUUGAGGAAGACUCCGUCCAGCAGCAGCACACCGGCGUGGUGGUGAUGGAGGAGCGUGGCAAUCCUGCAGGGCUUCGCCAAGCACCGCGGGAGAGGAGUAAUUGGGAGAGGGUGAGGGCUGCGCCAGAACAUGGGUGCGGCUGCCCUCCCACCCCCACAUAUAUAUAUAGGGGCAAGGGAGAAGGGCCCGGCCCCCUCAGAUCCAAUCUGAGGAGGGGGCGCGGCCAAGGGGGGAGGAGUGCCUCCCAAGUCAAGUGGAGGCCCUCCCCCUUGGGUUUUCCCCUUCCCGUGCGCAUGGGCCUUGGGGGGGCUGGUGCCCCUGGCCCAUUAAGGCUAGGGCGCCCCCCUACAGCCCAUGCUACUGUAUUGGACGUGGUGGAACAAUUUCCGGACCUCCGGACCCCUCCGGAAUCCUCCGGAACCUUCUGGAAGCUUCCCGGUACAAUACCGAAAAAACCCGAACUUUUCCCGGAACCCGAACAAGAACUUUCCAUAUAUAAAUCUUUACCUACGGACCAUUCCGGAACUCCUCGUGACAUCCGGGAUCUCAUCCGGGACUCCGAACAACAUUCGGUAACCACAUAUGAACUUCCUUUAUAACCCUAGCGUCAUCGAACCUUAAGUGUGUAGACCCUACGGGUUCGGGAACCAUGCAGACAUGACCGAGACGUUCUCCGGUAAAUAACCAACAGCGGGAUCUGGAUACCCAUGUUGGCUCCCACAUGUUCCACGAUGAUCUCAUCGGAUGAACCACGAUGUCAAGGACUCAAUCAAUCCCGUAUACAAUUCCCUUUGUCUAACGGUAUUGUACUUGCCCGAGAUUCGAUCUUCGAUAUGCCGAUACCUAGUUCAAUCUCGUUACCGGCAAGUCUCUUUACUCGUUCCGUAACACAUCAUCCCGUGAUCAACCCCUUGGUCACAUUGUGCACAUUAUGAUGAUGUCCUACCGAGUGGGGCCAGAGAUACCUCUCCGUUUACACGGAGUGACAAAUCCCAGUCUCGAUUCGUGCCAACCCAACAGACACUUUCGGAGAUACCUGUAGUGCACCUUUAUAGUCACCCAGUUACGUUGUGACGUUUGGUACACCCAAAGCAUUCCUACGGUAUCCGGGAGUUGCACAAUCUCAUGGUCUAAGGAAAAGAUACUUGACAUUAGAAAAGCUUUAGCAUAUGAACUACGAUCUUUGUGCUAGGCUUAGUAUUGGGUCUUGUCCAUCACAUCAUUCUACUAAUGAUGUGAUCCCGUUAUCAAUGACAUCCAAUGUCCAUGGUUAGGAAACCGUAACCAUCUAUUGAUCAACGAGCUAGUCAAUAGAGGCUUGCUAGGGACAUGGUGUUGUCUAUGUAUCCACACAUGUAUCUGAGUUUCCUAUCAAUACAAUUAUAGCAUGGAUAAUAAACGAUUAUCAUGAACAAGGAAAUAUAAUAAUAACUAAUUUAUUAUUGCCUCUAGGGCAUAUUUCCAACAAACUACGCAUAGACCUAGCUCAUGAUGCCACUGUAGGGAAACGUUGCAGAAAAUUAAAAUUUUUCCUACGGUUUCACCAAGAUCCAUCUAUGAGUUCAUCUAAGCAACGAGUCAUGGGAGAGAGAUUGCAUCUACAUACCACUUGUAGAUUGCGUGCGGAAGCGUUCGAGGGAACGGUGAUGAUGGAGUCGUACUCGCCGUGAUUCAGAUCACCGAUGACCAAGUGCUGAACGGACAGCACCUCCGCGUUCAACACACGUACGGUACGGACGAUGUCUCCUCCUUCUUGAUCCAGCAAGGGGAAAGGAGAGGUUGAGGAAGAAGGCUCCAGCAGCAGCACGAUGGCAAGAUGAUGGUGGAGAGGCAAUACUCCGACAGGGCUUCGCCAAGCGCACAACGGAGGAGAAGAGGUGUUGGGGAGGGGAGGGGCUGCGCCUUGGAUCAGGUGUUCAGCCCUCCCCUCGCCCCUCUAUUUAUAGGGGAAGGGGGAAGGGGGCUGGCCCCCUCUAGAUGAGAUCUAGAGGGGGGGCGGCGGCCAGGGAGGGGGCUUGCCCCCCAAGCAAAGGGGGUGCGCCCCCUUUAGGGUUCCCCCCAAACCCUAUGCGCAUGGGCCCAAGGGGGGGGGGCGCCCAGCCCUCCAGGGGCUGGUUCCCUACCCCACGCGGCCCAUGUGGCCCACCAAGAGGGGUGGCCCCUCCCGGUGGACCCUCGGAACCCCUCCGGUGGCCCCGGUACAAUACCGAUAUGCCCCCAAAACUUUCCGGUGUCCGCAUGACAACUUCCCAUAUAUAAAUCUUUACCUCCGGACCAUUCCGGAACUCCUCGUGACGUCCGGGAUCUCAUCCGAGACUCCGAACAACAUUCGGUAAUCACAUACAAGUCUUCCUAAUAACCCUAGUGUCACCGAACCUUAAGUGUGUAGACCCUACGGGUUCGGGAGACACGCAGACAUGACCGAGACAGCUCUCCGGUCAAUAACCAACAGCAGGAUCUGGAUACCCAUGUUGGCUCCCACAUGCUCCUCGAUGAUGUCAUCGGAUGAACCACGAUGUCGAGGAUUCAAUCAACCCCGUAUGCAAUUCCCUUUGUCAGACGGUAUGUUACUUGCCCGAGACUCGAUCGUCGGUAUCCCAAUACCUUGUUCAGUCUCGUUACCGGCAAGUCACAUUACUCGUACCGUAAUGCAUGAUCCCAUGACCAGACACUUGGGCACUUUGAGCUCAUUAUGAUGAUGCACUACCGAGUGGGCCCAGUGAUACCUCUCCGUAAUCCGGAGUGACAAAUCCCAGUCUCGAUCCGUGUCAACACAACAGACACUUUCGGAGAUACCUGUAGUGCACCUUUAUAGUCACCCAGUUAUGUUGUGACGUUUGGUACACCCAAAGCACUUCUACGGUAUCCGGGAGUUACACGAUCUCAUGGUCUAAGGAAGAGAUACUUGACAUUGGAAAAGCUCUAGCAAAAUGAUCUACACGAUCUUGUGCUAUGCUUAGGAUUGGGUCUUGUCCAUCACAUCAUUCUCCUAAUGAUGUGAUCCCGUUGUCAAUGACAUCCAAUGUCCAUAGUCAGGAAACCAUGACUAUCUGUUGACCAACGAGCUAGUCAACUAGAAGCUUACUAGGGACGUAUUGUGGUCUAUGUAUUCACACGUGUAUUACGAUUUCCGGAUAAUACAAUUAUAGCAUGAAUAGAAGACAAUUAUCAUGAACAAGGAAAUAUAAUAAUAAUCCUUUUAUUAUUGCCUCUAGGGCAUAUUUCCAAUAGAUCCCCCUCCGGCAGGGUGCCGGAACAGGGUCCCGAUUGGUUUUUGGUGGCUACAGAGGCUUGUGGCGGUGGAACUCCCGAUUUAUUUUCUGUUUUGGAAGUUUUAGGGUACGUAGGUAUAUAUGGGUGCAGGGGGUACGUCGGUGGACCUCCGAGUUGCUCACGAGGUAGGGGGGCGCGCCCAGGGGGGCACCCCCCACCCUCGUGGGCAGCCUGGGACUCCCCUGGCGUGCAUUCCAAGCCCAUCAGGUUGGUUUCCUUCCAAAAUUAACUUCUCCAGUUGAUAUCAUUCCGUUUUGACUCCGUCUGAUAUUCCUUUUCCUCGAAACACUCAAAUAGGCAUAAAACAGCAAAUCUGGGCUGGGCCUCCGGUUAAUAGGUUAGUCCCAAAAAUAAUAUAAGAGUGGAUAAUAAAGCCCAAUAUUGCCUAAAACAGUAGAUAAAGUAGCAUGGAGCAAUAAAAAAUUAUAGAUACGUUGGAGACGUAUCAACGUCUUUCGGCCCAGGCCUAUUAACGGCCCGUGGUGAAACUGGCCCGCAAUGAACAGUGUAUCACUCUACACCCACUAACGGCCCAUGGUGAAACUGUCCCAUAAUGAAUAGUAUAUCACUUUAUACCCAUUAAGGGCAUGAUAACCCACAAGUAUAGGGGAUCGCAACAGUUUUCGAGGGUAGAGUAUUCAACCCAAAUUUAUUGAUUCGACACAAGGGGAGCCAAAGAAUAUUCUCAAGUAUUAGCAGCUGAGUUCUCAAUUCAACCACACCUGCAAACUUAGUAUCUGAAGCAAAGUGUUUAGUAGCAAAGUAAUAUGAUAGUAGUGGUAACGGUAACAAAAGUAAAGACACCAAAAGUAAUGUUUUCGGUAUUUUGUAGUGAUUGUAACAGUAGCAACGGAAAAGUAAAUAAGCGAGAACCAGUAUAUGGAAAGCUCGUAGGCACCGGAUUAGCGAUGGAUAAUUAUGCCGGAUGCGGUUCGUCAUGUAACAGUCAUAACAUAGGGUGACAUAGAACUAGCUCCAGUUCAUCAAUGUAAUGUAGGCAUGUAUUCCGUAUAUAGUCAUACGUGCUUAUGGAAAAGAACUUGCAUGACAUCUUUUGUCCUACCCUCCCGUGGCAGCGGGGUCCUAUUGGAAACUAAGGGAUAUUAAGGCCUCCUUUUCAUAGAGAACCAGAACAAAGCAUUAGCACAUAGUGAAUACAUGAACUCCUCAAACUAUGGUCAUCACCGGGAGUGGUCCCGAUUAUUCUCACUUCGGGGUUGUCGGAUCAUAACACAUAGUAGGUGACCAUAGACUUGCAAGAUAGGAUCAAGAACACACAUAUAUUCAAGAAAACAUUAUAGGUUCAGAUCUGAAAUCAUGGCACUCGGGCCCUAGUGACAAGCAUUAAGCUUAGCAAAGUCAUAGCAACAUCAAUCUCAGAACAUAAUGGAUACUAGGGAUCAAACCCUAACAAAACUAACUCGAUUACAUGAUAAAUCUCAUCCAACCCAUCACCGUCCAGCAAGCCUACGAUGGAAUUACUCACGCACGGCGUUGAGCAUCAUGAAAUUGUUGAUGGAGGAUGGUUGAUGAUGACGACGGUGACGGAUCCCCCUCUCCGGAGCCCCGAACGGACUCCAGACCAGCCCUCCCGAGAGAGAUUAGGGCUUGGUAGCGGCUCCGUAUCGUAAAACGCGAUGAUUUCUUCUCUCUUAUUUUUUUCUCCCCGAAAGCCAAUAUAUAGAGUUGGAGUUGGCGUCGGAGGGCCAACAGGGGGCCCACGAGGUAGGGGGGCGCGCCCAGGGGGGGCGCACCCCACCCUUGUGGAUAGGGUGUGGGCCCCCUGGCCUUCAUCUUUGGCGACGAUUUUUUAUUGUUUUUUCUAAGGUGUUCCGUGGAGUUUCAGGUCAUUCCGAGAACUUUUAUUUUCUGCACAUAAAACAACACCAUGGCAAUUCUGUUGAAAACAAUGUCAGUCCGGGUUAGUUCCAUUCAAAUCAUACAAGUUAGAGUCCAAAACAAGGGCAAAAGUGUUUGGAAAAGUAGAUACGACGGAGACGUAUCAACUCCCCCAAGCCUAAACCCUUGCUUGUCCUCAAGCAAUUCAGUUGACAAACUGAAAGAGAAAAAGAAAAACUUUUACAAACUCUCUUUGCUCUUGUUGUUGUAAACAUGAAAAGCCAGCAUUCAAGUUUCAGCAAUUAUUAUGAACUAACCAUACUAACAAUAACACAAAGGUCUCACAAUUACUCAUAUCAAUAGGAUAAUCAGCUAGCGAGCCAUAAUAAUAAAACUCGGAUGACAACACUUUCUCAAAAUAAUCAUAACACGAUAUAACAAAAUGGUAUCUCGCUAGCCCUAUCUGAGACCGCAAAAGAUAAAUGCAGAGCACCUUUAAAGAUCAAGGACUGACUAAACAUUGUAAUUCAUGGUAAAAGAGAUCCAGUCAAGUCAUACCCAAUAGAAACCAAUAAUAAUGAAUGCAAACGACAGUGUGCUCUCCAGCAGGUGCUUUUUAAUAAGAGGGGUGAUGACUCAACAUAAAAGUAAAUAGAUAGCCCCUUCGCAGAGGGAAGCAGGGAUUUGUAGAGGUGCCAGAGGUCGGUUUUUAAAAUAGAGAUUGAAUAACAUUUUGAGCGGCAUACUUUUGCUGUCAACGCAACAACUAUGAGAUGCCAAUAUCUUCCAUGCUACACAAAUUAUAGGCAGUUCCCAAACAGAAUGGUAAAGUUUAUACUCCCCCUCCUCCACAAGCAUCAAUCCGUGGCUUGCUCGAAACAACGAGUGCCUCCAACAUCCAAUGGGUCCCAGGGGGAGUUUUGUUUGCAGUUAAAUUUGAUUUAGUUUGCACAAAGCAUGGGACUGGGCAUCCCGAAGACCAGCCAUUUUCUCGUGAAUGAGGAGCGGAGUCCACUCCUCUUGAGAAUAACCACCUAACAUGGAAGAUAAGCGCAGCCCUAGUUGAAACAUGAGCUUCUCGAGCAUACAAAAUAGAAUUUCAUUUGAAGGUUUGGAGUUUGGCACAUACAAAUUUACUUGGAACGGCAGGUAGAUACCGCAUAUAGGAAGGUAUAGUGGACUCAUAUGGAACUACUUUGGGGUUUAAGGAGUUUGGUUACACAAGCAGUAUUCCCGCUUAGCACAGGUGGAGGCUAGCAAAAGACUGGGAAGCGACCAAGUGAGAGAGCGACAACAGUCGUAAACAUGCACUAAAAUUAAUUUACACCGAAUACAAGCAUAAGUAGGAUAUAAUCCACCAUGAACAUAAAUAUCAUGAAGGCUAUGUUGAUUUGAUUCAACUACAUGUGUGAACAUGUGCCAAGUCUAGUCACUCAAUUCAUUUAAAGGAGGAUACCAUCCCAUCAUACCACAUCAUAAUCAUUCUAAUAGCAUGUUGGCACGCAAGGUAAACCAUUAUAACUCAUAGCUAAUCAAGCACGGCACAAGCAACUAUAAUCUUAAAAUGUCAUUGCAAAUAUGUUUACUUCAUAAUAGCUGAAUCAGAAACGAUGAAUCAUCAUAUUUACAAAAACAAGAGAGGUUGAGUUCAUACCAGCUUUUCUCAUCCCAAUAAGUCCAUCAUAUAUCAUCAUUAUUGCCUUUCACUUGCAUGACCGAACGAAGUGUAUAAUAAUAAGAGUGCACGUGCAUUGGACUAAGAUGGAAUCUGCAAGCAUUCAACUCAAGAGAGAAGACAAGUAAUAUGGGCUCUAAGUUAAAUAAUCAUUCAUGCAUAUAAGAGCCACUAAGCAAUUUCAAUAUAGUCUUCUCGACCCCCAAAGAAAGUAAAAGAAAUGAAAACUAUUUACACGGGAAAGCUCCCAACAAGCAAAAGAAGAACUGGAAAUAUUUUUGGGUUUUCUUUUUAAUUACUAUAGCAAGGAAAUAAACUACUACUAAUUUUUUUUUGGUUUUCUCAAGGUUUAUCAAACACACAAGAAGAAAGCAGGAAAAGGAAAAUAAACUAGCAUGGAUAUUACAGUGAAAGAGUAUGAGCACCGACAUCUAGCAAUGAGUGUGUGUGAACAUGAAUGUAACAUCGGUGGGAAAUACGUACUCCCCCAAGCUUAAGCUUUUGGCCUAAGUUGGUCUAUUGCCAGGGAUAGCCCGACGAAUACCCGUAGGUGAAGCUGGGGUCAUACUGUGAUGAAGAAGGCUCCGGCUGCCACUGACUGGCAACCUCCUUUGGAUCCCAAGAAUAAACAGAUAGUCGUGGAGCCUCAUCUUGUGGUUCCGGUUCCGGGGCUGGUGCAAGAUUCCGAUAGGCUUGAAUCGCCGUCCACGAAACGAUGUGAGGACCUGCAGAUAAGUUAAACAAAGAAGGAGCAGGCAAAGUAAUAGUCUCAGGGUGAUGUUUAUCAAAGUAUAAUUUAUAUUUGAGCUCCCCUUCGCGACCCUUAACAAGAAAAUCAUGAGCUAUCAUACUCUUAUAAUCUAAGUAAGCACGGGGCAGUGCUGUUUCUUCUUCCUCCUCAUGCCUAAUAGGUAUUUCAAAAUGUUCAGCUAGGCGUGAAGCAUAAAUGCCUCCAAAGAUGGGGCCCUUAGUAUGGUUCGGACUUAACCGUCUAUCAACAAUUCCACCCAUACUAACAGCGUUAUUGCGGUAUAAACCAUGGAACAAAAUAAUAAUAUCAGGAAUACUAAGGUUCCCACAGUUUCCGCAUCCAAUCAAGCAACGACUAGCAAAAAAGGCAAAGUAGCGUAAAACAGGAAAAUGUAUGCUAGUGAUCCUCGCAUCAGAAACCUUCUUGGUUCCUCCCACUGUGAUAGUGUUAAUAAAAGUUUCUACUUUGCUACUGUGGGGUUCAUCUAAGGUGCCCUCAAAGGGUAUUCUGCAAACCUCGCAGAAUUCAGCUAAGGUCAUCCUCUUAACAACGUCAUAUAAAUGAAACUCUACUCAUGGAGGUGAUUUCUUGGGCAAAAAGUAGAAGUUUUGCACAAAGGUAUUUGUGAGUAAGAGAUACUGGUGACGUAGGUCGCGGAGGAACUUGGUGAGGCCGGUGUUCUCAAUCAAUAAAUAGAAAUCCUCAUAAAUCCUGGCUCUCCUCAAGAAAUCAUCUGAAGGCCAUUCACACGGCCGGACCUCCGCGGUGCGAGGCAAAUUAAAUUUGGGCUUCUUCUCUUCUUCCUUUUGUUUUUCCUUCAAGCUUCGGCUUGACGAGCCCCUCAAAAGUCUGUUCAUUAUUUCUGAAACAAUCUGAAAUUUUUAGUAACUUCAAAUAAAAGUGAACCAACUUCAUUAAAAUUGAUAGCAACAAUUCCCACAAGUGCCUAGAGCCUAUAUAAAGUAUUGGAACUACUUUGAACCAUAUAAAUUUGACAUGCAAGCUCAAGAACAUGGUCACCUAUGCAGCACAAAUUUGCAAUGAAUAAAGCACUAGAACAAAAACUAAUUGGUCCAAUGGAGGAGUCACAUACCAAGGAACAAUCUCCCCAAGCAGUUUUGCGAGAGGUGCCUUGAGCAAGGAGAUCGAAAAUCACAACAACGGGGGCUGGAACUUGUGCCUGAGUUGGUUUUUCGUGUUUGUGUGAGAUAGAGGAAGAAGAAGGGUGCAGGAAUAAGUGGAGGAGGGCCACCGUGGGCCCACGAGGCAGGGGGCACGCCCAGGGGGGUAGGGCGCGCCCUCCACCCUCGUGGCCAGGUGGCAGCUCCCCCCAUGGUGAUUUUUGCACAGUAAAUCCUCAAAUAUUCCCGAAAAAAUCAUAUUAAAUUGGCAUGGCAUUGUGAGGACUUUUAUUUCCGGGAUAUUUUUAUAUUGCACGGAUAAGUCGGGAAACAAACAGAAAAAUACUAUUUUACUUUAUUUCUACUAAAUAACAGGAAAUAUAAAGAGGGUACAGAAGGUUGUGCUUCUAGUUUCAUCCAUCCCAUGCUCAUCAAAAAGAAUCCACUAACAAGGUUGAUCAAGUCUUGUUAACAAACUCAUUCCGAUAAUCAUGGAACCGGAGAAAUUUCGAAUAGCACUAAGUUACCUCAACGGGGAUAUGAAAAUCCCCAACAAUAAGAAUAUCAUACUUUUUCUUGAUAGUAGGUAGAGGAAAUUCAAAACCUCCAAAUAUAAUCGAUGGAAUUUUUCCAAUAGAGUUGAUACUAUAAACUUGAGGUUGUUUCCUCGGAAAGUGUACCAUGUGCUCAUUGCCAUUAACAUGAAAAGUGACAUUGCCUUUGUUGCAAUCAAUAACAGCCCCUGCAGUAUUAAGGAAAGGUCUUCCAAGAAUAAUAGACAUACUAUCAUCCUCCGGAAUAUCAAGAAUAACCAAGUCCGUUAAAAUAGUAAUGUUUGCAACCACAACAGGCACAUCCUCACAAAUACCGACAGGUAUGGUAGUUGAUUUAUCAGCCAUUUGCAAAGAUAUUUCAGUAGGUGUCAACUUAUUCAAGUCGAGUCUACGAUAUAAAGAGAGAGGCAUAACACUGACACCGGCUCCAAGAUCACAUAAAGCAGUUUUAACAUAAUUUCUCUUAAUGGAGCAUGGUAUAGUAGGUACUCCAGGAUCUCCAAGUUUCUUUGGUAUUCCACCCUUAAAAGUAUAAUUAGCAAGCAUGGUGGAAAUUUCGGUUUUAGGUAUAUUUCUUUUAUUAGUAAUGUUAUCCUUCAUAUACUUAGCAUAAGGAUUUGUUUUGAGCACAUCAGUUAUUCGCAUACGCAAAAAGUUGGGUCUAAUCAUUUCAGCAAAGCGCUCAAAAUCCUCAUCAUCCUUUUUCUUGGAUGGUUUCGGAGGAAAAGGCAUGGGUUUCUGAACCCAUGGUUCCCUUUCUUUACCAUGUUUCCUAGCAACGAAGUCUCUUUUAUCAUAAUGUUGAUUCUUUGAUUGUGGGUUAUCAAGAUCAACAGCAGGUUCAACUUCUACAUCAUUAUCAUUACUAGGUUGAGCAUCAUCAUGAACAUUAUCAUUAACAUUAUCACUAGGUCCAUGUUCAUUACCAGAUUGUGUUUCAGCAUCAGACAUGGAAAUAUCAUUUGGAUUCUCAGGUGGUUCAGUAAUAGGUUCACCAGAAAUUUGCAAGGUCCUAUCGUUUUUCUUUUUCUUCCUCUUAGAAGAACUAGGUACAUCGAUAUUAUUUCUCUGAGAAUCUUGCUCGAUUCUCCUAGGGUGGCCUUCAGGAUACAAAGGUUCCGGAGACAUUCUACCAGUUCUAGUAGCCACUCUAACAUCAUAAUCAUUUUUCUUACUAUUCAUUUCAUCAAGCACUUCUUUCUAAGCUUUAAGUACUUGUUCUACUUGAGUGGUAAACAUAGAAGCAUGUUUGCUAACAAGUUUAAGUUCACCUCUAAUAUCAGCCAUAUAAUCACCCAAGCUUUUAAUCAUAAAGGUAUUCUAUUUUAGUUGUCUACCAAAAUAAGCAUUAAAGUCAUCUUGCUUAAACAUAAAGUCAUCAAACUCAUCCAAGCACUGACUAGCAAUUUUAGUAGGAGGGACUUCAGCUUUAUCAUAUCUAUAGAUAGAAUUUACCUUUACUACCUAUGUCGGGAUAUCGGGAGGUUCUUCAGUAAAAAAGUAAUUGAGAUCAUAUACUUCUUCAAUAGGCGGUAAAUUAAGACCAUGUAUUUCUUUAAUAGGAGGUAAAUUCUUAACAUCUUCAGCUUUAAUACCUUUUUCUUUCAUAGAUUUCUUUGCCUCUUGCUUAUCUUUGGAACUGAGAAAUAGAACACCUCUCUUCUUCAGAGUUGGUUUAGCAAUAGGUUCAGUAAUUGGCUCUGGAGCUAGCUCAAGAGGUGGCUCAGGAGGUGCCCAAUUAUUUUCAUUUGUCAACAUAUUGUUCAAUAGAAUUUCAGCUUCAUCCGGUGUUCUUUCCUUGAAAAGAGAACCAGAAAAACUAUCCAGGUAAUCUCUGGAAGCAUCAGUUAGUUCAUUAUAAAAGAUAUCAAGUAUUUCAGAUUUCUUAAGAGGAUGAUCAGGCAAAGCAUUAAGUAACUUGAGAAGCCUCCCCCAAGCUUGUGGGAGACUCUCUUCUUCAAUUUGCACGAAGUUGUAUAUUUCCCUCAAAGCAGCUUGCUUCGUAUGAGCAGGGAAAUAUUUAGUAGAGAAGUAAUAAAUCAUAUCCUGGGGACUUUGCACACAACCAGGAUCAAGGGAAUUAUACCAUAUAUUAGCAUCACCCUUUAAUAAGAACGGAAAUAUUUUGAGUAAAUAAAUGUAGCGCAAUCUCUCAUUAUUAGUAAACAGGGCAGCUAUAUCAUUCAACUUAGUAAGAUGUGCCACAAUAGUUUCAGAUUCAUAACCAUAGAAAGGAUCAGAUUCAACCAAAGUAAUUAUAUCCGGAUCAACUGAGAAAUCAUAAUAAUCCUUAUCGGGAACACAGAUAGGUGAAGUAGCAAAAGCAGGGUCGGGUCUCAUUCUAUCUCUAAAAGAUUCUUUGCUCCAUUUAACUAGCAACCUCUUAAGUUCAUAUCUAUCCUGGCAAGCAAAAAUAGCUGCAGAAGAUUCUACAUCAAAAAGAUAACCCUCAGGAAUAGCAGGCAUAUUCUCAUCAUCACUAUCAUCAUCGUAUUCAGGUUCAAUAAUUUCUCUUUAUCUAGACCUAGCAAUUUUCUCAUCAAGAAAUUCACCAAGGGGCACAGUAGUAUCAAGCAUAGAAGUAGUUUCAUCACAAUUAUCAUGCAUAGAAGAAGUGGCAUCAUCAAUAACAUGCGACAUAUCAGAAUUCAUAGCAGUAGCAGGUUUAGGUGUCGCAAACUUACUUAUAACAGAAGGGGAAUCUAGUGCAAGGCUAGAUGGCAGUUCCUUACCUCCCCUCGUAGUUGAGGGCAAAAUAGUAGUUCGAUCAUCUUUCAAGUUCUUCAUAGUGUCCAGCAGACAUAAAUCCCAAGGAACUCAAUGAAUAGAGCUAUGCUCCCCGGCAAUGACGCCAAAAAAGGUCUUGAUAACCCACAAGUAUAGGGGAUCGCAACAGUUUUCGAGGGUAGAGUAUUCAACCCAAAUUUAUUGAUUCGACACAAGGGGAGCCAAAGAAUAUUCUCAAGUAUUAGCAGCUGAGUUGUCAAUUCAACCACACCUGUAAUAUUCUCAAGUAUCUGCAGCAAAGUGUUUAGUAGCAAAGUAAUAUGAUAGUAGUAGUAAUUGUAACAAAAGUAAAGACAUCAAAAGUAAUGUUUUUGGUAUUUUGUAGUGAUUGUAACAGUAGCAAUGGAAAAGUAAAUAAGCGAGAACCAGUAUAUGGAAAGCUCAUAGGCACCGGAUUAGCGAUGGAUAAUUAUGCCGGAUGCGGUUUGUCAUGUAACAGUCAUAACAUAGGGUGACACAGAACUAGCUCCAGUUCGUCAAUGUAAUGUAGGCAUGUAUUUCGUAUAUAGUCAUACGUGCUUAUGGAAAAGAACUUGCAUGACAUCUUUUGUCCUACCCUCCCGUGGCAGCGGGGUCCUAUUGGAAACUAAUGGAUAUUAAGGCCUCCUUUUAAUACAGAACCGGAACAAAGCAUUAGCACAUAGUGAAUACAUGAACUCCUCAAACUAUGGUCAUCACCGGGAGUGGUCCCGAUUAUUCUCACUUCGGGGUUGUCGGAUCAUAACACAUAGUAGGUGACCAUAGACUUGCAAGAUAGGAUCAAGAACACACAUAUAUUCAAGAAAACAUUAUAGGUUCAGAUCUGAAAUCAUGGCACUCGGGCGCUAGUGACAAGCAUUAAGCAUAGCAAAGUCAUAGCAACAUCAAUCUCAGAACAUAAUGGAUACUAGGGAUCAAACCCUAACAAAACUAACUCGAUUACAUGAUAAAUCUCAUCCAACCCAUCAUCGUCCAGCAAACCUACAAUGGAAUUACUCAGCACGGCGGUGAGCAUCAUGAAAUUGGUGAUGGAGGAUGGUUGAUGAUGACGACGGCGAUGGAUCCCCCUCUCCGGAGCCCCGAACAGACUCCAGAUCAGCCCUCCCAAGAGAGAUUAGGUCUUGGCGGCGGCUCCGUAUCAUAAAAUGCUAUGAUUUCUUCUCUCUUAUUUUUUUCCUCCCCGAAAGCCAAUAUAUAGAGAUAGAGUUGGCAUCGGAGGGCCACCAGGGGGCCCACGAGGUAGGGGGGCGCCCCCACCCUCGUGGACAGGGUGUGGGCCCCCUGGCCUUCAUCUUUGGCGACGAUUUUUAUUUGUUUUUUCUAAGGUGUUCCGUGGAGUUUCAGGUCAUUCCGAGAAUUUUAUUUUCUGCACAUAAAACAACACCAUAGCAAUUCUGCUGAAAACAGCGUCAGUCCGGGUUAGUUCCAUUCAAAUCAUACAAGUUAGAGUCCAAAACAAGGGCAAAAGUGUUUGGAAAAGUAGAUACGACGGAGAUGUUCAGUUGGGCCGUUUCUAGCAAAUGUUAUCUUUCGGACUUCUCAGAGCCCAUUUAUUCUUGGGCUCAUUUCUAGCAUUCGUUUACUUACGACCCGUUACUGUCAUUUUCUGCUUCUGGGCCAAAUUCAGCCCGUGGUUACAUCGGCCCAUUUGUGGUCCGUUAAUACGUUGGGCUGUUUUCAUAGCAUCAUCAAAUACGGCCUAUUAACGAUGGCCCGUUAUGGUCAUACGGCCCGUAUAAGGCCCAUUGAUGAUACGGCCCAUAGAAGGCCCAUUGUUUCUACGGCCCGUAGAAGGCCCAUUGUUUCUACGACCCGUAGAAGGCCCAUUGUUUCUACGGCCCGUAGAAGGCCCAUUGUUUCUACGACCUGUAGAAGGCCUACUGUUUCUACGGCCCGUAGAAGGCCCACUGUUUCUACGGCCCGUAGGAGGCCCAGUGUGACUACAGUAAAUAUUAGCCCAUGGUUAUUGUGGCCUAGUUUUAAAAAGAACUGCACUGACUACAAGCAAACAAAUAAACAAGACAACAAGGAAAUAAAUAAGCAAGCAACUUAUGCUAGGCUAUCACGGCUGUUACACAUAUUACAUCCAGUGGGUAUCAAAGUUCGCCACCAGUGCAAAUAUAGGGAACAAAGCAGCAUAUCAUAUACACUGGUUGUCAAAGUUGGCGACUAGCACAAAUAAACGCCGCAGCAAAACAAAUCCAGAACUAAAACCACUCCAGAAGAUCUCAAGAAACAAUAUCCUGGGUACCCAUAAUGCUGGCAAGAUGGUUAGCAGGCUUAUUAACUUUCUCUUGUUUGGCGCUUAAAUCCUCCGGCGCUUGCUGUUGCACCAGAAAAUAUGCAUCUGAAUUCUGCAGGGACUUCCUUAGUCCUUCAGCUUCCUGUCGCAGCACAUCUGAUUGAUGUCUUUCAACUUGAAGUUGAGAUUCAAGAAGACGAACUGAUUCAGGCAGCGAGUUCAAAGAGCUUGUGCCAACAGUAGUGCCUAGUAACUCAAACACUACAUCAAGACAUGACUUUUGGGUUCCCUCACUAUCGUCAAGAUAGUUUUUAUCAGCUUUCUUGGAGACCAACGGGGAUGUCUCACUAUCUUGAACCUUAUCUGCAUUACUUCCUUUACCAUUGGAUAACGCGGUACUGUUCUCCAAUAUUUUGUCCGCAUUCUAAAAGAGAAACAAGUAGACACAUCACAUGUUUACCAUGUUUUAUAUGAAACUCAUUUUGGUAAAUGAGUUCAGUAGUAAAGUGGACAGGGUAACAACAUGAAACAAACAUAUAUCUAUGUUCCAUGGUCACUUUAUGGUCUAUAUCAUUCUAGUUUUUGUUGCCAAAUCAAGAUAGAGACACAGUUCAAAUAAUAUUUGUUCAAGACAAAGCAGAAUAGACAGAAUAUAAGUGUGGGUAACUAUAGAGCAAUAACAACACUUGUAAUGUGCAUGACAUGAGAACAUAACUGUUUAUUCAAUUGAAACUAAAAUCAACAUAGAGCAGGUUACAACAGCAAACCAGUUAAAGAAAUAGGUUUAAAACAUACCUGUUGUGCCAUUGGAGUUUCAAUUCCAUCCUUCAAAUUUGAAAAUAGUUGGUAUGAGUAAAUAUAGCAAUGCAAGAGCAAAGGAGUAUGAACCAUAGCUACAGAACCUGACCUGAGAACAAAUCUUCUUCUCCUUUAAGCGUUGAGUUGGGAUUCGGAGUGGUGGUCCUCGUUCUUUGGGCACUGCAGUUCCCUUACUAACCGCUCGUGUUUGGGUGCUCUGUGGUGGAGAUGGUGCUGUGUCAACUGGAACUGGGUUACUAUCUGCCGGGGUUGGGGUUAGAAGGGGUGUAGCUGGUUCUCUAUCCAACUGGGUAGGGGUACAAUCUGCGAGAGUCUGGGUUAUGUGUGGUGGAUUUGGUCCUUGGGCAAGUACAACCGUGGUUCUAUAUGCAUCAACUAGUAGCACUAUCUUUUUUGAAGACCAUGUUGUUACUCCCUUAGAUACUGCCAUCAUGCUCUCCAAUUCAAAUGGCUGAUAAACAAGAAAAGUAAUUGAAAGUAUAGACAUUGUAUGAUAAAAAGGUGCAAUGGAUAGUGGGGAAUAAAAGAGGGCAUGAAAUAAUUCAUAUUUAUGUUGUCUAACCAAACAGGAUAGCAUGACACAAUUUCACAUAUAUGAUGGCUAACUAAACAGGAUAGCAUGACACAAUUUCACAUUAUGAUAGCUAACUAAAAAAGAUGGAAAUACAUAGUUCAAAAUAUGAGACUAUGUAAACAGGAUGACAUGACAUAACUAUAUAAUGUGUUUAUUAAAUAGGUUGGCAUGCCAUAAUUCACAUACAUUCAUGGAUAGAAUGCCAUAAUUCUAAAUAUGAUGACUGUAAACACUAAACAGGAUGAGAUGAUAUAACUAUAUGAUGUCUUUAUUAAAUGGGUUGCCAUGACAUAAUUCAGAUAGAUGAUGUGUAUGUACUAUGUAAACAUGAUGGCAUGAUAUAAUUCAAAUAUAUGAUUUAUACAGUAAGCAAGUAAGCAGAUGGCAAUCUAUAUAUGAUGUAAAAACUAAGCAAUGCAAGACAACAUGCAUGACAUGGGUAAUAUAACCUUGCCAAGUUUGAGCAUAGACCUCAGGGGGGAAAUAGGACUGGUCAUCAGUCUCUGAAUCCUCCUCUGAGGACCUCUCUGUAGCCAGCAAGAUGUCUGCUUCAGCAGGUAGCAUUGUCUGCUCUGAAUACCUUGUUUUCACUCCAGAUACUUCCAUCACCGCUUCAAAUGGCUGAUGCACAAGAAGAGUAGUUGAAUAUACAAACGUUGUCGACAAAUGGAACACGUAAUACAAAAAAAGAUAGCAUGAUAUAAUUCACAUACAUGAUGAUUGGCUAAACAGCAUGGCAUUGCAUAAUUCACAUAUAUAAUGCCUUUGCAACAAGAUAACAUUGUAUAAUUCACAUAUAUAAUGUCUUGCAACAAGAUGGCAAUGCAUAAUUCACAUAUAUGGUAAUUAGACACUGAAUAGGUGGCAUUCACACAAAGCAUGUCUAAACUAAUCAAAUGGCAUAGCAAUGCGAGACAACAUACACACGAUAUGAGCAACAUAACCCUGCCAAGUUAGAGCAUACACCUUGGGGGGGGAUAGGACUGGUCAUCUGUCUCUGAAUCCUCCCCUGAGGAGCUAUCCAUAACUAGCGAGAUAUGCGCUUCGUCAGAUAGCAUAGUUUACUCUGAAGACCUUGUUUUCACUCCAGAAUUUUCCAUCACCGUGUCAAAUGGCUGAUGCACACGAAGAGCAGUUGAAUGUACUAACAUUGUUGACGAAUGUAAUAUGUAACAAAAAAAAGGAUGGCCUGAUAUAAUUUACAUAUAAGAUGACUGGCUAAGCAGGAUGGCAUUGCAAAAUUUACAUAUAUGAUGCCUGGCUAAACAAGGUGGCAUUGCAUAAUUCACAUAAACGAUGAAUAAACUAAACAGAUGGUAUUCGCACAAAGUAUGUCUAAACUAAGCAGAUGACAUAUUUGAUGUAUAAAGUAAGCAAUGCAAGACACCAUAUGCAUGAUAUAACCAACAUCAGCAUGCCAAGGUAGAGCGAAGACCUCAGGGGUUGAAUAGGAGUUAUCUUCUCCUUCUAAAUCCCCCUCAGAAUAGAUAUCUUCCUCUCGAUUACAAUCCGAAAUGCGUGGAGGGGGGGCUACCUUUGCGCCUACCAUGGAGCGACGUCUGCAUGAAAUUAUAUUGCCACGCAAGGCUCGUAUCUUUUGCUCUACAUGUUCAGUUCCAUUGUUUACAAUAAUUGUCAUGCAUAGGAAUAAAACAUAGUGAGAUUAUGUCAGGAGUGCAUGCAGAAAUCCAGAGUGAUGGUAGCAACCUGUGGAUAGACCCAAAACCAAUAAUAGCAGGCAGAUAAUGGCUUCAGUUAAUAAAUACAGAUAAUGGCUUCUUUACUGUUUGUUUCCCACCCAACAUGGAACUCAUAGUAGACACCAGAGAUUAACCAGAUAGUAGAUAGAUACUAUUGAUAGGGGCCCCAAUAUGUACCCCACAACUAUUUAAAAACUCAAGUUUGACCAUUAGUUUGGAGCUGACUCAGAGUCUAAUCGGUGAACAGGACGAUAAAGUAGCAUGUAAUAUUAAGUGAUGCAUAAUGUAAGCAGACACAAAAGAGUGCGACCUCUCUUGCGGACCCGUGUAGUCCUCGAGGUCAUCUGCUCGGUUGAUGCUGGUAAUGCAGUUUUCAUGGCUGCCAGCGGUGGGGAAGAAGAUCUGAGGCCGCGAAAGACAGUCUAGAGGCCGGAUCCCUGAUGUGCUGGACCCUUUUGUCGUUGGAGCAGCUGAGCUGGGGUGGAUGACGGCACAGCAGGACCGGGAUAAACCACGCAAGGUUUUCUUUGACAACUAUCUGUAAGAGAGGUAAUUCUGUAAGGGCUCGUUUGAAUUGUAGGAUUCCAACAAUGCAGGGAUAGGAAAUAGACAUGAAUAGGAUAGGAAUGCACGUGCAAAACAGAGAAUUUAAAAACACAGGAUUUCUGCCAAUCUAGGUGUUUGAUUCAAAACAAUUGGAAGAUCACAAGAUGCAAAGAAGCAUGGUGAGAUUAAGUCAAACCACAAGAAAAUGUACGGUUAUAAUGCUAUUAUGCUACUAUCUCUUAGUCUUGUGCUUCAUGAAUAGGAAUUUGAAAAGGAGGACAAGUGAAAAUUAAAAUUCCUACGUUUUUUUUCUUUUAAGGAGACAUUAAAGGAACAAAUCCGUGUGCUCAGUGGACAAUAUAUAUAACAUGUAGAGUAAAAAAGAGAUGCAACAAGUGUACAACCUCUUUGGCGAAGCCAUGUCGAUCUCAGCGUGAUUGGGUUGGCCGGUGAGGACGCUCUGGCUGACUUUGCUGUUGAAGGAGGGGAAGAAGAUCUUAGGCGUCUGGAGAUGGAGCCCGAGGUACUGCUCCGCUGUGAUGGAGGGUUUCGUCGUUGGAGCAGCUCCGGUGAGUUGUACGACACCGAGGCUGAAGCAGGACAAGAGAGACAACAAACAACGAUAACCUGAGUGGAAUUUUAAUAGCAUCUCCAAUACAUGACGUAAAAUACAUAACCACAAUGUUCUAGAUGUAAAAUACAUCAACCGCUCAUCUCUGAACUUAACUGUCAAAACUGAACUUAACCGUCGAAACUGAACCUAACUAUCAAAACUGAAUUUUGCUACCGAAACUGAAUUUUGCUGUCGAAACUGAACGCAUUAGAAAGGUGAGGCUACACGUCGGUUGACUGACUUUUUCAUCUCUGGUCAAUCUAUUUUGCAGCCGUUGGAUACGAAAUCAAGGGCCUGUGGUUCAUCUUCAACCUCCACCCCCCCUGAGCCGCCAGCCACCACCGGCCAAACUGCAGCCCCCCGCUACCCGUGGCCGGUAAAGCGCCGCUCUGCCCGCCUCGAAAACACUCCCCACCGCCGGUCCGCCGCCGCCCCGGCCAUCCCUCUNNNNNNNNNNNNNNNNNNNNNNNNNNNNNNNNNNNNNNNNNNNNNNNNNNNNNNNNNNNNNNNNNNNNNNNNNNNNNNNNNNNNNNNNNNNNNNNNNNNNNNNNNNNNNNNNNNNNNNNNNNNNNNNNNNNNNNNNNNNNNNNNNNNNNNNNNNNNNNNNNNNNNNNNNNNNNNNNNNNNNNNNNNNNNNNNNNNNNNNNNNNNNNNNNNNNNNNNNNNNNNNNNNNNNNNNNNNNNNNNNNNNNNNNNNNNNNNNNNNNNNNNNNNNNNNNNNNNNNNNNNNNNNNNNNNNNNNNNNNNNNNNNNNNNNNNNNNNNNNNNNNNNNNNNNNNNNNNNNNNNNNNNNNNNNNNNNNNNNNNNNNNNNNNNNNNNNAAUGCUAAGAUAGAUAGUGGGGUACCUCUCCGGCGAGCCCCCUCCCCGCUGUGGCUGGUUCUUCCUUCACCCCUGCGAGCCCACCCCUUGGAAAUCGACUUACCCAAAAGUCGAUUCAGUCGACUGAAGUGUAGCCAAAUCGGAUCAGCAUCGCAAGCAAGAGCAAGAGCGAGAGCAGCAGCGCGAGCAAGAGCAAUAGCAAGAGCAGACCAGGCAGGGGACCGAGAGCAAGAGAAGAGCAGUAGCGCGAGCGCGAGCUAAAGCAGCAGCAACUCCUACUGAUGUGGACGUCGCCGCCGAGGGAGCGACGCCGUGGAGGAAGUGGCCGGCGCCACCGCCGUGGAUGGAGCCGCGCCGUGUCGGCUCGGGACCGAGUGCCGGCAGCACCGUGAGAUCGAAUCAAGAAGAAAAUGCGGCGAUUAGUGUACAACCUCUUUGGUGGCGCCAAUUAGGUCGCAGCUUCAUCCGAGGAAACGGUGAUGAUGAUGCUCUUAUGGUGGUGCAGGUGAAGACGGUGGUGUGGGAAUGGAGGUGUCACGAAAGACGAGGGGAACAUCGGGGCAGCUCCUUGGACGUGGAGGACGAGGUGGCUGAACCGGCGGGACGAUGAGAUCGACGACGGAUCCUCAUCUGGUAUGGUGGAUGAGGGAUGUGGAGGUGUUGCUGUGGACGACGUCGUCGGGGAAGAAGCUCUGGCUGGGUGGCAGAUGGAGCAGGGUGUGGGGUUUCGUCGCGGGUUUUCGCGGCCUCGGUUUAUGAAUGGGUGGGCGGAUGGGAUGGCAGUGGGGAACCAUGGCUUAGAAGACGCGCUUGUCCAAAAUGUGGGGUAAGUUACGAAAGUAACCCCCACUGAUUUGAGGCGGUUCUUUCGGUUCAGGGGUACCACGAGCAUUUCGCGUGUCGGGAUUUCACAGGAGGUGGGAGUUUUCGCGCGUGUUGUAAUUUUGGAAUAGCAAGGCGCGGGUUGAGAUGGAGGGAGUUGUCGGAGCACAACGAGACAAAGAUAUAUCUUAAAUAUUUCGGGCUAACAAGGCGCGGGUUGAAAUUUCCGGACAAGCCUAACGUGUUCUGUACCAAAUCAAUGCGCACUACAAAUGUCAUUCAAAACUUUGAAUUCAUGUUAUGUUCAAUUAAAAUAUUUCGCUACGUGUAUAAUGCAUGCAACCUACUACUCAAAUGAACGUUUUAGUGCAUUCCAAACGUAUAUACUACCGCUUCAAUAUGAACUAAAUUUGAAUAAGAUCUACAGUAAUGAUUGUUGUGAAGUCAAAGUAUUUGAAUUCGUUUCUAUGUUUUAAUAAGAUCUACAAUCAUCAUUAUUGUCAAGUUAAACCAUCGUUUGUGUAUUAUCUUCACAACACACCACAUGAUCAGUAUCGAGUUACAUAUGAACUAUGUGUACUAUAUGAACUCGAACUAGAUUUCUUGAAUCCAGUUUAUUUUGAUUUCAAAUCACAUUACAUUUCUAGCUCUAGCUAGAUCUUCAUAAUCUAAACCAUGUCUCAUAUGUAUAAUGUGUUUAUCACAUUAUGUAUGGUGCCCCGCCCCCUACGCCUACAAGUAUUUAGAUGUGAGUUGCAAACACCACACAUUACCACAAAUUCAAAUAAAAUGUGAGAAUGUUCGAUAUAUAGUAUUGUUUAGAUUGCUCAAUAUUUAGUUGUAAGCUGCAAAAGCCGCACAUUAUCACAAAUUCAACUAAAAUGUGAGAUUGUUUGAUGUAUAGUAUGGUUUAGAUUGUUUGGCAUUUAGCUGUGAGUUGCAAACAUCAUGCAUUAUCACAUUAUGGUAUAACAUGUGCACAGCACGUGUAUCACGGCUAUAUUCAUGCAUGCAAUGUUUAAAACACUAUGAUCUCCUAUUCAAAUAUAUGAAUCCGCUUUCAUAUAAAAUUAUGAUCUUUGUUAGUCUCUUACACCCACACAAUCCUCUAACCUUUGUAGCUACCACUAACUUUCUCUCGUGCAUGCACACGCCCUCCUCACCCUCCCCCUUCCUCGGCAUUAUAUCCACCGGGCACAUUCAUUUUUUCCUUUAGGUCGUUCUCCCAGAGUCUCCACAACUAAUUUUCGACACACACCGAUCGAUAAACCUCUCCAGCGAUGCCUGCCUAUAGCAUACACACACAGCUUCAAUCUCCUCCUUUAUGUGUCCUUGCCUCGUGUCUCUCAUAUGGUCAGACAAACGUGUAAACUCUCACCCCUCUUUUAAUUGAUCUCACAACCGCACACUCCUCCCCCUAUCUAGCUAGUAGUUGGGCCUCUCGCACCACCUCCUAGCUCCAUUCUCUCUGUCUAUCCGUCUCGAUGGGCCUUAUUAGCCUCUAAUAAAUGGACGUACACCGACCGAUCUCUCGCUAUACAUAUAGCCAUCUAGGUCCUUAUAACUCGUUUUUACCCACACAUCGAUCGAUCUACCUCAUUAGUUGUGUCUCUCCCUUCCUCCGACAAACAACAAUUGAUCUACUGAUCUAGUUAGGUUUGCUUACCAAACACAUGGUUCCCCUUCAUCAUCCAUGGAUGCGUCCCGACAGAUCUAUCACGCACAUGCACACACAGAAACACAUCCCAACUCUUAUUGAUAACAUUGCAGUUCCACCCUCAGUUUGUCUAGUAGGCCUCUCCCAACAUCUCCGAGAAGCAACUCCAUCACCCAUCCAGCACUCUACCCCUCUCCCUCCCUCUCCUUCCCUCUCUCUCUCUCUCCUCUCUCUCUCUGUCCCAUCAUAUUUCCCGUCCUUCAGUUAUGUAUGGAUGUCGAUCGAUCUCCCUCAUGACAUAGCUGGGUCUCUCCUUCUCAACACAUAUACGAGUCGUUCUACCUCUAUAGUNNNNNNNNNNNNNNNNNNNNNNNNNNNNNNNNNNNNNNNNNNNNNNNNNNNNNNNNNNNNNNNNNNNNNNNNNNNNNNNNNNNNNNNNNNNNNNNNNNNAGUCAUGUCUCCCUGCCACACACAAACUUGACAUGUGCCCUCCAACGUUCCGGUAGGCCAGUCGCCCUAUAUCUUUGACUUGCACACACACACACGCAAUUUCGAUGGCUCUCUUCAUCGAUCUCGCACCAACCCGUACUUGAUCCUCUCUUCGACUCUAUCAAUAGGUAUGACCCCUCCCUCUCUUUUCGUGGAUUGCCCAACCCUCGAUGUAUGAUAUGGAUAGGCCUCCAUUUCACACACAUUGCAUGCAAAAUUUUGUUUGAGAUGUCAUCGACACAUAUUCCCACAAAUAAUUCACAAAAUCAACCCCACCCCACCCCCACCCCCACCACAAAACAAAAAACACUCACGAACAUGGUUUGUAUCUCUCACACACACCCACGUAGGUGGGGGAUGUGCACGAAGAGAAGAGGUGCAUGCACGGCGCACGUACUCCCGUCUCUUUCCGAACCACACCCGCGCGGGUACACGGUGGAGCUCAUUUCUAUAUGGAAAAGGCAGCCCACGUGGUAAUUUGGCACGUGUACUGGUUGUCCACUUGGUGGAGGGAGGACCGUCUGCCACGGGUGAACAAACAAAUUGCGACUUGACGCGUUAUGUUAAAUUAAAAAAAGAGGCAAACCAUGUGGGGCCUACCUUAGAGGCAAGGCUCUAUACAAUGGAGUACUUUUGAUGUGUCCCGUCAACUCGCAGAACAAGGAGAAACUUGCUUAGUACGCCAUCUCCCCCGCCCACGUGCGCGGUGGCUCGCAGGAUGAGGUGAAGCUUGCUCCUCCCUCGCCCAUGCGCGCGGUGGCUCGCUGGACGAGGAGAAAAAAUUACUACUCCCUCCAUUUACUCCUCGUCCCUAAUACCUUGGUUAUAGAGAUUAUAUCAUAUUGUUUGGAAUAUAUAUGUCCUUAGUAGAUUUCAAUAUGAACUACUAGUACAUACUCCAAACACUGAUGUAUAUAGACGUAUUUUAGAGUGUACAUUCACUCAUUUUGCUCCGUAUGUAGUAGCACUCUCCCUCGCCCCUCGACCCUCGCCCACGUGGUGGACGUGCAGCAAUUCAUUCGGUCUCAUAUAGCUAGAACGAUAUAUACUGCACUACCAUUAUUGCUCAACUUCCCAAAGAGGCGAAGAGCCAAUCGCAAGGUUAAUAUUUUGGAGAUGCCAAGCGCAAGGUUAUAGGAGAACGAGUAGUAGGUGCCCCGUCAUUUAUAAAUAUAUUUUUUUCUUCAGUGGCACGUACGCAAUGUGAUAGGUUCAUAUGGAGAGAAAAGGAAACCGCUCCACUAUAUACAUAGUCAGGACGGGCCAGCCUACACGGUUGCUUGCUGGGGUUGCUCUCUUCACACUCUCUCGCACAAAACGACUGUGGCCAUAUCUCUAACAUCCCGGCGGUUCACGUCCGCUUGGGGAAGGGGUGGAUGCUUAGUGUAGAUGCAGUGGCCGUCGCCGACGGCGAAAACCCACUGUCGGCACGUCCCGAUCACGGGUCCCCGCCAUUCUCUCUCACAAAGCCGGUGAGGUUGCCUUCGUCCCUUGCUUACUGCCGCGACGUUGGCAGUUGCCGCCUCCCACCGCCCUCCUCAAGGUCGAGCUAUGUCCCUCAGGUACAACUCCCUUUACAGCCGGCUUGCACCACUGCUCCAGCUGCCCACAUCACUCCCUGUGGAUAUUUCUCUACUUCUUUGCCCCGCACAUACCUGAUACAUCUACUGGCUUCUACGUACUGUAUUUGUGAUGAGUUUAUGUCUCAUCAACUAGUCCUAGUAAUCUUAUUCUAAUCACGCUUCUUCAAUUUCUUUGCCACAGGGUUGCUCAUCUUGAUUUUGGUGAAACUGCACAAAAUGAUCCGAUGGUCAAAAGGUUGCAAACUUCAUUUAUUAGGAAGCUCGAACGUUGCCAGCAAAUUGAGGCCUGGUCAGGGUUCACGGUUCAAGGGCUAGGGACUAUAUGGAUCGUUUUUUUCUUUAGCUGCCUCUGUUCCAAAAUAAGUGUCAACUUUAGUAGUAGUACAACUUUGUACUAAAGUUUGCACAAAGUUGAGGCACCUAUUUUGGAACGGAGGGAGUACAUAUUUGCUAUGAUCUGUCAAUCAUUGAGAUGCAAUAGCAUGCAUGUUAGUCUCCUUUGUAUUUGAUGAAAUGUUGCAACGGGCAACCUUGGACGCAAGAUACAUGUAACAGGAGCUGGAAGCUUCAUAGCAUUCUACAAAUUUAUCUCGCUGAUAAAUUACAGUACGUACUAGUACUAUACUAGUACUUCCUCCAUUCCUAAAUACAAGUCUUUGUAGAGAUUCACCAUUAACCACAUGCGGAUGUAUAUAGAUGCAUUUUAAGUGUAGAUUCAUUCAUUUUGUUCCGUAUGUAGUUCACCUAGUGGAAUCUCUACAAAGACUUAUCUACUAGUAAUAGCUAGCCCCCACUACUAGGAAUUCUCUAUCCUCUCCUUGAGCCACAUCAUCAAAAUUGACGUAGCCGUUAGAUGAAGUAAAUUAGUCAUAAUAGCCGUCUGAUCUAGAUGUUGAGAGGCUCAGCACUAAGCCACAUGCAAGCAUGCAGAAAUACCGUGGCACAUGCAUGUGAGUGGGUUUUAAAUCACAUCAACAUGUCUGCAUGCAAGCAUGCACCGGUAGCAUGCAUGUAAGUGAGCUUUUAAGUCCCAUUAACAUGUCAAAAAGAAAAAUAUAAUCCCAUUAUGCAGUAGGAGUUGGCUGAUCUUUUUUCCUUAUGUGGGAUGAUCUAAAUGAUGAUGGGAGUUUAUUUAGUUUGGCUACCACAUUUGUCAUGCGGCUAUAGAUUUUUUUUUUAGUUCUAUGAAAUCGAUAAUUUUAGGCAGAGAGAUAUACCAUUGUUCCGCGGCAACGAGCGGGGACUCAUCUAGUAAUAUUUAGGAACGGAGGGAGUACUAUGUAAAGAGUUAGGUGUUGCACGGUGAUAGGGUCAGGUGGGCCAUGUAAUCACUGAGCCUGCGUGUUUUCACUGCUCUUGCACUCCUCCGCUGUAAGAAUGGAGAAAAUUGCAAUCUACUACCUCCUUUCGCUGAAAGCGUGGGACAUCCAGCAGUCCAACCACCACAGUAAUAAAGACCAAUGAGCCGUCAAAUCACAUAGACCCAGAAGUAAGUUGGACGGACGAAGCAACCAUCACUCUUGCGCCAGUGAGAGGUCGUGUCCGCUCUACCCGGGCAUGAAUGCGGCACCGAUUCCUUGCAGUGGCACUGACCGUUUCAGGAGGAAAGUGCGCGCGGGCGGUGGUGGGGCUUUGGGUGGGACAGGCUGGUCAGGAGCGGGCGUGGCAGCUGUCCGUAUGUCCCUACCGGACACGCCGGGAAACGAGAGGAUGCACCGACUCUCGCGGAGUCGUACACUACACACCAUAUCUCUGUAGGAGUAGGUCGAUCUGUCGCACUCUCUAACACACACAUGUUGUUAAACACACACACGCACACGCACGCACCUUGGUCCUGUUGCACCUUCUAACGUGACUUAUUACACUUAGACGGAGGGAGUAGUAAGUAUACGAGAUACGGUGGCACACUGACUUAAGUCGAAUACAAGUGCCCAAAAUUUGUGUGCAUGUUAUAAUAAGGAUUCACUUAAAAUAGUACGUGAGCAAACAGAGGGAUCAAUUGGACAGUGUUCCCGAGAAGUAGCGAGAUGUGUGAGGUAGUAAGAUACACCGCUGGCGCUUCUAAUUUUUCUUAUUAAUUUGUUUGUUUCACCCUCUGACUGGUGGGACCCAACGUACUACAUGGAGAGAGGUAAGGUGACUAAGGCUGCAUUAUUUCCGCACCACUGUGGAUAGUCUUACCACCAAAGCCACAUGACAUGAUUAUGAUUGAAAUCCUAAUGACUCCCACACACACAAAAAAAACACGGCAUGCCUGUCACACGUAUGCAGGAAUGUAUAAAGGGUAUUUUCCUCUCGUUGAACAUAACGGGAGGGUUGUGUAGCUGGUUAGACUAUUCGCUCAUCAAACUUGAGGUCUCGGGUUCGAUAACUACACUUGAGCAUAAUUUUAGCCAGGAGGAUUCUUUGACUGGUCAAAAUGUUUUCUAGGGUUUGCACACUUCACACUCUCUCUCCAGUAUAUAUAUAUAUACACGCUGGAGCCUCAAGGCUUGUAGUUGCUCUCUUCACACUCUCUCGCCCUCUCCCGCUGGAUCCUCAACGCUUGUAGUUGCUCUCUUCACACUCUCUCGCCCUCUCCAGAUCUAAACAAGACUUCGUUCUCCUCUCUCUCCCCUCACUGCUGCUCAAAGAGCCAGCAGGAUCCGUCCACCGGGAAGGGAAGGAGGAUUAACGCUGUCACCGUUGGCGAGGGAGGGAAUCCACUACUGGCGCUGCUGUUCACUUUCCACCCAGCGGCGGCGCGGGAGGGCCUCCGACCCCUUCUUCUUCGCCGCCGUCCCGUCGCCCAGCGAACCACGCCCCAAGAACCUUAAGGUAUAUUUUACUUACUCCACAUGCAUUGCUCUAGCUGCAUGUAUACCAUGAAUCUAGGACAUGGUUCAAAGAGGAAAGGAGUGGGGGAAAGUAGUGGGAAAAGUUGUAUAUAGCAUGAAUCUAGGAUGUGGUUCAAAGAGGAAAUGAAGGGGGAAAGUUGUAUAGCAUGAAUCUAGGACGUGGUUCAAAGAGGAAAGGAAUGGUGGAAAGUAGUGGGGAAAGUUGUAUCACAUAAAUCUAGGACGUGGUUCAAAGAGGAAAGGAAGGGGCAAAAGUACUAGUUCAAAAAGGAAAGGAAGGGACAAGGCUGUAGAGUCUGAGCAGGACUAGAUUUGCUGCGCUCACAUAGGGAAAGGUGUCUAAAGAUAACAAAACUGGGACCAACACAAAUAUGCUCCUUGGUUGUUUGUUCUUUGUUGCAACAGACUGUGCAUGACCAUAGUACAUCGGUAGAUGCACAUGGUGCUCGUGCAUCCACUGUCCCGUGCAACUCAUUAGCUGUUGUUAAUCUAUGGCCAUGCUUGGUUAAAAACUCCCUAGUCCCUACCUGCUUGGUUCUAGGGACUAAACAUGGACUAGAGGUUAUUAAAUGACAUGAUAAAAGACCAUGUUACCCCUAGUAAUGAACUAAUAGAAACAAGGUGCGAUGCGUGGCAGGGGCAACUGUUAGAAAAAGUCCCAAAAAGACUCCCUCGAGGUCUUCUUUCUUUAGUCCCAAAUGCCCACUUUUAGUCUUAAAAAGUCCCUCCUGUUUGGUUUAGAUGUGACUGACACGGAGUUUUUUAGUGCCUACACCAAAAUGUCCCUGUAAACAAACACCCUCUAAUAAUGCCGCUAGAUAAUUGAUGCAAUGCCACAGUUAAAAGCAAAUUACAUGUUUAACGAAUUUUAUUGUUAAUAUAAUCUCUAUGUUAAUAUUAAUCAAUGCCACCGUUUGAGAAAUGCUAUUAUCUUGCUUUCUUUCCCAUUUAGAUAAGGUAGAUUCUUCUUUUUGUUGGCUUCUGUGUCAUCCACCGUUAUUGACCACUAAUUGUUUCCUUUGCAGCUCUGUGUAAACAGUGUUAUCUACUUCACCUUGUUACCCUUAUGACCUUUUGUUGCACUGCACAAAACACUUUUGUUUUAAGAGUGUUUUGUGCAGUUCAACCAAAAUGUCACACCGACAACGUUGCUUGAUUGCUUGAUCUUAGUGGAACUCCACAAGAGGAGAUCUUACUUCCUAUCCGUUAAGGACGAUUUGGUUCAGAUCUUAUUCUUGUGAGUUGUUUGAAUUCCGCAUCAUGAGAGGUCAGUACUAGCCUUCUUUCACAUGAUUCUGCAGUGUGCUUUCAUAUGUUGUGCUACUUGUACGAUAAUGUUGCUUGAUUUUAGUGAACUGCACAAAUGGAGACAAGACUUCCAAUCUGUAUGUGCACCGUAAUAUCCCAUUGAGGUAAGAUAAGGAUAUUUCACAACUGCUGGCCUGUAUUUUGCCACUUUAGUAGCAGCGUGGGUUUAGGGCCUAUUAGUAGCGCGGGGGGCAGCGCUACUAAUAAGGCGCUACAGCUAACUUAUAGCAGUAGCGCGGGUGCCACCCGCGCUACUACUACCAGCGCGGGUUUUUUUUGAUUUUUUCCAAAAAAAUAUUUCGAUUUUUCCCUAAUUUUCAAAUUUCUGAAUUAUUUUAAUCAUCCCUCAUCGCUGCUCAAUUUAAUCUCUAAUCACCCCUCAUCAUUCGAAAUCAUCUAACUUCCCGGACGGUCACCCAUCCUCUCACUACUCCAGCCUGAGCACGCUUAACUUCCGGGUUCUAUUCUCCCUCGUUUCCAAGUCUGCACUUGUUGUUUUCCUGACAAUAGUAAGAUGUCAAUCCUAUUAACCUCAGGAAUUUAGCUUGAGCAUGAAGUCACACAUUUCACUAUUUGACUUUGAAACUAUUGUUCUAAAAAAUUAGUAACACUAAUAUUUCUCGAAUAAUUAGUUUGACCACAGUUUGACCAGAUUUGACCAAAAUUCAAAAUAACUAAAAUAAUUAUUUAGUAAAACUAAUAUUCUAGAAUAAUUAGUUUGACCAUUGUUUGUCCACAGUUUGACCACACAGUUUGAAAUUUUUUCGAUUUUUUCCACUCUAAAUCUUAAAAGCCCCAUAACUUUUUUUCUGUUUGGUUUUUGAGGAUUUAAAAAAUGAUUAACGGGGUUCCCCCGGUUAAAUUUGGAUGUAACUUUUCGAGUAGAUGAUUUCUCAUAUAAAAAACUUUUUCAUCCGAGUUAGUAUGCAAAAGUUAUGCCCAUUUUUACAAAUUCUCGAGAGAUUUUGCAAAUAAAGUCGAAAUUCAUAUUUGCAAAUUUUCCCAACAACUAGACCACAUAUCAGAUGGGAAACUUAUUUUCUUUUAUUUUUUUGACAUUUUCAUCAUUUUCUUUUAUUUUUUUAAAACUGAAAAGGCGAUCCACAAGGGAGGUAGAGUUUCAAAAUGGGACCUUUAGUAGCAGCGCGGUUUUUUACCCCCUCGCUACUACUAUGGCACCACUUAGUAGUAGCGAGGGCUAAAAACCAACGCUACUGCUAGCAAACUUAGUAGUAGCGAGGUUUUAAAAACCCGCGCUACUACUAUGGCUUGUCCCGGGCGGCACGGUAGAGACCGCUUAGUAGUAGCGAGGGUUAAAAACCCGCGCUACUGCUAUAAACUUAGUAGUAGCGAGGUUUAAAAACCUGCGCUACUGGUAAGUAGCAGUAGCGAGGGUUUUUAACCCUCGCUACUAGUAACUUUCUGUGUAUAGGCUUUUCCCUAGUAGUGUGACUUAACUGCAGGUGCAGUUGCGUAACUGACAUGUGGCCUGUUGGGCCCACGUGUCAGUCAGCCAACUGCACCAGCAGUUAAGUAGAAGCAGUGUUCUUCUCCUGCGCAGCUCUCCGACUCCACGUCGCCGCCAAGAAGCUAACUGGUCGUCAAUGGUCAACCCGCCUAGCUUGGCUUCAACCGGAGGGUAGCAGCGGUGGCCUUACUUGGACCCGAGCGGCGACGACCUACCGUGUUCUACUCUUCCUUGUUUUCUAUGUGGCGCAACCUCGUUGGCAGCGGGGCGGGGCCUCGGCGGAGCCGGUGAUGCCUCUGUCUCGUUGCCGGCGGGCGGCGCCUCAGCGAAGCGGUGGAAAUCCUCCCCCAUGUUGCCGGCAUGGUGGGUCCUCAGCUCAGCCGGCGAUGUCCUUUGCCUCGUUGUUGGAGGGGCGGGGCCUCGGCGGAGCCGGCGGUGUCCUUUGCCUCGUUGUUGGCGCCGCGGGGCCUCGGCGGAGCCGGCGGUGUCCUCUGCCUCGUUCUUGGCGCCGCGGGGGGUCGGUGGAGCAGGGCGUCAUUAACGCCAGUGGAGCGGGGACUCGUCGGAGCCGGCAUUGUCCUCUGCCUCGUCCUCGGUCUCGCCGAACAUCACCUUGUCCGCUUCAUCGCCCUUUUGCUAGCCUCUUUGUAGGCGACCGCAGCCUCCGCCACCUGCAUGCGGUACCGCCAGCGCUCGAGGCGGCACUUGCGGGCGGAGCGGUACGAGUCGAGCAAUGCCUCCUGCUCCGCCCGCGCCGCGACGAUCUGCUCCUCCGCCUGCAGGUGCUCCUGGAGGAGAUGGUGGUUGUAGGCGGUGUCGGCCUGCGCCUCCCGGAACUGCUCCUCACGCAUCUGCCUCACCCUAUCCAUAUAUUGGGCACGGGCCUCGCCGAUCGUCAUGGUGCAAUGCACCGGCGAGGAUGGCGCGGACCAAGCAGCUCGAGCAGUAUUUGUGUUUUUGAGGUGUGAGCACUACAGAGUUUUUCGAUGUUUACCCCAGAUAUUAAUUUUUCUCCUCUGAACAACAACGUAAACAUCGUUGCAGGUAUUAACUGGGCAGGCUGUGGCCCAUCUAGCCCAGGCCAGAUAUCCAGCCCAGAUAUUAAUUUUUUUCAAGCUGAAAAUGGCUAGCCCAACUAUACUUUUUUUAGGAAUACCCAGGCAAGGUCAAGUUGUUAUUCUCCGCCCCGCUGGGCUGCAAAUCUUUCCUAGGAGGGAUGCAUUAGGCUUAACAAGGAAAUGGGCUUUAAGAAAUAAUAAAUGGGAUGUAAUUAUAAAAAUAGGGUAGUAACUAUAAAAAAAUGCACCAAACAGUGAUUACUUUAUAAAAUAUUAUUUUUGGAAUAUUGAAAAUUUUAAUUUCAUUAAUUGUUGCGAGAGGAAUGUUUCGUUGGAUUUUUACGGAAUAUAAAUUUAUAUUGAAAUUGUAUUUAAUUUGACUAAAAUUUCAGGAUAAAAAUAUUCGGAUCCCAUCAAAAUGUGGGAAAUUUUAUUGAAUUCUGUUUUGAACGGUUGGUUGAAAUGGCUGUACUUUUAACAAACUGUAAAUGGGCUGUAGUAAAUUCCAUUAGAAUUCAAAAAUGGGCUAACACAUUCUUACAAAUCUCAAAUGGGCUAUAAGUUCUCUGCCACACACUUCUGGCCUUACUAAGUUCACGCGUCCCCUAAAAAAUAGAGUUGACAGGUAUGCAAGGCUUUGUCAACUUAUAGUCAACACACGGUUCUAGUAGCAGUGGCCGUUGGAUGUCCAUCCAACAGAUGCCGUGCUUCUUCUUCAAUCUCGGAUAUUCUAGCUUCACUCGCCAAAAAAAUGAUUCAUCCCCCUAACAUCUGGGGUGCACCAUUUUGGAAGCUGACCUGUGGGCCUACUAAGUUGACGUACCAAGGGCUUUGUCAACUUAGUCAAUAUAAACGAUUCUAGCUGCAGUGACCGUACGAUGUCCAUCCAACGGCCGUCGUGCUUCUUCAACCUCUGGUCUUCUUGCUCCAGCCGCCCAAAGCAGCACCGGUCGUGCCGCCUGCUCCUGCCUCCCGUGGCCGGCUGUGCUGCCGCGAAGGCCUCAUCGCCCCCUACUACUCCCACCGCUGGCCAGGCCAUCCCUCCACUCACCCACACCCCUUGUUAUUCUGCGGCGACGGCAGCGCAGCAGAACCAGUGAACCCUCGUACUCCUCUCCGCGUGUGCAUCCACUGCCGCGUCUUCCCUGGCUCCGCGUCGUCCCCUUCCUAGGCCUCGCUGGUCAAGGAACGACUUCCAUCAGACGUGGACUGUACGUGAAGAGGCUGACAGCUGGGUCCACGGCAGCCGCAAGGAAGUGCCUCCUUAUUACACGCAAAAUAGUUAUUCCUCCACCUCACAGCGGGGACCCACCGGACGGGCCACCGUAUUUCGCGAAAAAAAUGAUUUGCCCCCUGACUGCUGGGACCCACGAGCUACAUAUUCGCACGCAAGGAAGUGCGUCCGAAAAAAGAACAAUUCGCCCCCCUGACUGCUGGGACCCACCAGCUACAUCUUUGCACGCAAGGAAGUGCGUCCGAAAAAAAAACGAUUCGCCCCCCGACUGUUGGAACCCACCAGCUACACCUUCGCACGCAAGGAAGUGCAUCCGGCAAAAAAAAACGAUUCACCCCUGACUGCUGGGACCCAGCAGCUACACCUUCGCACGCAAGGAAGUGCGUCCGGGUAAAAAAAAUGAUUUGCCCCCCCUGACUGCUGGGACCCAGGAGCUACACCUUCGCACGCAAGGAAGUGCGUCCGGGCAAAAGAAUAACGAUUCGCCCCCCUGACUGCUGGGACCCACCAGCUACAUCUUCGCAGGCAAGAAAGUGCCUAACAGUCGGGACCCACCUGGUCGAAGCGUACGUAGCGUUGUCAUCCUGUUCAUGAACGUGUACGUACAUACUGGUCGAUGUAGAGGCGUGCACGUGUCGUAGUAGAGGCGUGCACGUGUCGUAGUAGAGGCGCGCAUGUAGCAUGUACACGUACGUACAGCGGCCAGGGUGCAAGAAAGAAAAUACGGUCACGUAUGUGUACAUACGGGUGGGGUCUCGAACGCCUAGUCGCGCAUAGUACGGCGAGGGCUCGUGUUCAUGGGGAGGCAAUGGAAUGCGUCGUAUUCAUGUGGAGGCAAUGGAAUGCGUCGUGUUCAUGGGGAGGCAACGGAAUGCGUCGUGUUCAUGGGGAGGCAACGGAAUGCGCCGUGUUCAUCGGGAGGCAACGGAACGCGUGGGAGCCAACCGGCUGGGUCGGAACGGAAUGCGUGGUCGUGUUCAUCAGGAGGGCUUGGACGGAACAGGUGGUGGAAACGAGGCCUGGCGUACCGCACAAUGGAGGAAACGGACCUCCUAUGUUUGGAACGGGGUCCUGUUGAUCGGGAGGGGUGUGGCGUACCGCAAAACGGAGGAAACGGACCUCCUAUGGNNNNNNNNNNNNNNNNNNNNNNNNNNNNNNNNNNNNNNNNNNNNNNNNNNNNNNNNNNNNNNNNNNNNNNNNNNNNNNNNNNNNNNNNNNNNNNNNNNNNNNNNNNNNNNNNNNNNNNNNNNNNNNNNNNNNNNNNNNNNNNNNNNNNNNNNNNNNNNNNNNNNNNNNNNNNNNNNNNNNNNNNNNNNNNNNNNNNNNNNNNNNNNNNNNNNNNNNNNNNNNNNNNNNNNNNNNNNNNNNNNNNNNNNNNNNNNNNNNNNNNNNNNNNNNNNNNNNNNNNNNNNNNNNNNNNNNNNNNNNNNNNNNNNNNNNNNNNNNNNNNNNNNNNNNNNNNNNNNNNNNNNNNNNNNNNNNNNNNNNNNNNNNNNNNNNNNNNNNNNNNNNNNNNNNNNNNNNNNNNNNNNNNNNNNNNNNNNNNNNNNNNNNNNNNNNNNNNNNNNNNNNNNNNNNNNNNNNNNNNNNNNNNNNNNNNNNNNNNNNNNNNNNNNNNNNNNNNNNNNNNNNNNNNNNNNNNNNNNNNNNNNNNNNNNNNNNNNNNNNNNNNNNNNNNNNNNNNNNNNNNNNNNNNNNNNNNNNNNNNNNNNNNNNNNNNNNNNNNNNNNNNNNNNNNNNNNNNNNNNNNNNNNNNNNNNNNNNNNNNNNNNNNNNNNNNNNNNNNNNNNNNNNNNNNNNNNNNNNNNNNNNNNNNNNNNNNNNNNNNNNNNNNNNNNNNNNNNNNNNNNNNNNNNNNNNNNNNNNCUGUUCAUCCAAUCGAUCGGCUUCAGUUAGCAGUAGUAGCGAAGGAAUCGCUCCAUCGGGUUCAGUUAACAACCAUCGAUCGAUCCCUCGGGUUCAGUAACACGUAGCCUGCAGUGCAAUCGCUCGGGUUCAGUUAGAGCCCAACGCCUCGCUCGGGUUCAGCUAGAGCCAACGCCUCGCACACACACGCGUACGUACGAGAGAAACGCGCAUCGCUCGGCCCCCGACCUCCCACCGUAACCGGCAACUCCCCGAAAUUUUCCUCCCCCUUGCUUCUACCACGGUUUUUUCCGUCAUGGACGACUCAAAGAAUGUCAUGCAACUGCGUCUCCGGCCCGCCUAGGACGAAAAGCCCAUUUUCUAUCAUGAUUUUUUGUCAUAGAAGUAGGAGCGCACCACAUCUAUGAUGAUACCGGGUUUUCUCACAAUUAUCGUCAUAGAAGUGUCAUAUGUAUGACAGAAAAAAAAAUUGUUCGGCCCAAAAUGUCACGGAUGUGUCUUUUUUUUGUAGUGUGCCUAACCGAUAAACGAUAGUAGUAAUUCGAUAAGAUACAUCAUGGUACGCACCAUAUUCAAUAGGGUGCAUUUAUGAUGUUCGGACACACCAUCACACUAUGGUGUUCCAGGCGGUAUUAGUUGUGAAACAAUUUCCACAAUGUCUUAAUUGUUUACCAAAAUCGCAACUCAGAUAUUCAUCUCUAUGAUCAUAUCAUAGACAUUUUAUCCUCUUGUCACGAAGAUCUUCAACUUCACUCUGAAAUUACUUGAACCUUUCAAUAAUUCAGAUUUGUGUUUCAUCAAGUAAAUAUACUCAUCAUCUACUCAAAUCAUCUGUGAAGUAAGAGCAUAACGAUAUCCACUUUGUGCCUCAGCACUCAUUGGAUUGCACCCAUCAAAAUGUAUUACUUCCAACAAGUUGCUUUCUUGUUCCAUCUCACUGAAAACGAGGCCUUUCAGUCAUCUUUCCCAUGUGGUAUGAUUUGCAUGUCUCAGGUGAUUCAAAAUCAAGUGAGUCCAAAUGAUCCAUCUGCAUGGAGUUUCUUCAUGCGUAUAUACCAAUAGACUUGGUUCGCAUGUCUCAAACUUUAGUGUAAAGAUCCAUCAACAUAGAGCUUCUUUAUGUGUUUUAUACCAAUAUGACUCAAAUGGCAGUGCCACAAGUAGGUGAUACUAUCAUUACUAUCUUUUGGCUUGAACAUGUGUAUCACUACGAUCGAGAUUAAAUAAACCAUUCAUUUUAGGUGCAAGAACAUUGAAGGUAUUAUUCAAAUGAACAGAGUAACCAUUAUUCUCCUUAUUUUUAUAAUCGUAUUGCGAUAAACAUAAUCCAAUCAUGUCUAUGCUCAAUGCAAACACCAAAUAAUUAUUAUUUAGGUUUAACACCAAUCCCGAUGGUAGAGGGAGCAUGCGAUGUUUGAUCACAUCAACCUUGGAAACACUUCCAACACACAUCAUCAUCUCACCUUUAGCUAGUCUUUGUUUAUUCCGUAGCUUUUAUUUCGAGUUACCAACACUUAGCAACCGAACCGGUAUCUAAUACCCUGGUGCUACUAGGAGUACUAGUAAAGUACACAUUAAUAUAAUGUAUAUCCAAUAUACUUCUGUCGAUCUUACCAGCCUUCUCAUCUACCAAGUAUCUAGGGUAGUUCUGCUACAGUGACCGUUCCCCUCAUUACAGAAGCACUUAGUCUCGGGUUUGGGUUCUACCUUGGGUUUCUUCACUAGAGCAGCAACUGAUUUACCGUUUCGUGAAGUAUCCCUUCUUGCCCUUGCCCUUCCUGAAACUAGUGGUUUUACUAAACAUCAACAAUUGAUGCUCCUACUUGAUUUCUACUUUCGCGGUGUCAAACAUCGCGAAUAACUCAAGGAUCAUCAUAUCUACCCCUGAUAUGUCAUAGUUCAUCACGAAGCUCUAGUAGCUUGGUGGCAGUGACUUUGGAGAACCAUCACUAUCUCAUCUUGAAGAUCAACUCCCACUCGAUUCAAGCGAUUGUAGUACUCAGACAAUCUGAGCACAUGCUCAACAAUUUGAGCUUUUCUCUCUUAGUUUGUAGGCUAAGAAAUUCGUCAGAGGUCUCAUACCUCUUGACGUGUGCACUAGCAUGAAAUCCCAAUUUCAGUCCUUGGAACAUCUCAUAUGUUCUGCGUAAUUUCAAAAAACGUCUUUGGCACCUCAAUUCUAAACCGUUUAGCAUUACGCACUGAACUAUCACGUAGUCAUCAAUACGUGUAUGUCAGAUGUUCGCAACAUCCACAAAUUACGCUCGAGGUUCAGCACACCGAGCAGUGCAUUAAGGACAUAAUCCUUCUCACAGCAAUGAGGACAAUCCUCAGUUUACGGACCCAGUCCGCAUAAUUGCUACUGCCAACUCUCAACUAAAUUUUCUCUAGGAACAUAUCUAAAAUAGUAGAACUGAAACAUGAGCUACGACAUAAUUUGCAAAGACCUUUUGACUAUGUUCAUGAUAAUUGAGUUCAUCUAUGAGGCUUCUACACCAGGUAUGAUGCCUUUAAAGGUUGUCUUUGUGGGUUUAAUCCCUGAGGGAUCUAUACCCAUUUUUCGCACUGUAUCCUAAUAGAGCACGUUCAGGCUGCUGCCGCCGUCCAUGAGGACUUUAGUGAGGUGAAAUCCGUCAAUGAUUGGGUCUAGGACCAAUGCGGCGAAUCCGCCGUGAUGGAUGCUUGUGGGGUGGUCCCAUCGAUCAAAGGUGAUCGGGCAGGAGGACCAUGGGUUGAACUUUAGGGCGACUGGCUCCAACGCAUAGACGUCCUUGAGGGCACACUUCCGCUCCCUUCUCGGGAUGUGGGUUGCGUAUAUCAUGUUCACCGUCCGCACUUGCGGGGGGAAGCCCUUCUGUCCUCUGUUGUUCAGCGGCCGGGGCUCCUCCUCGUCACCGCUACGCAGCCCCUUGUCUCUGGUUUCGACACUUAACUUGCCUGCCUGCUUGAACACCCAACAGUCCCUGUUGGUUUGGUUGGCUGGUUGUUCGGGGGUGCCGUGUAUCUGGCACAAGCGAUCGAGUAUCCGGUGUAAGUUGGAUGGGCCCGGAGGGUUUCUUUUGAAUGGCUUCUUCCGCUGACCGGGUUUAGAGCCUCUGAAUCCGGCAUUGACUACCGUAUCCUUAGUAUUGUCGCCAUUAAUGCGGCGCUUGUGCUUGUUGCGACGUGACCUACCAUUGUUGUCCUUGGUAUCCGAAUUGCCAGGGCUCUUGGUUAUGUUAUUGCUACGAGCUAGCCAGCUCUCUUGGUUAGGAACCGUGUCCAGAAUUGUCUGGCCGAUUCCUCUGGCUGCUGGAUUAUGUGGCUUAGGUCAUCGGCGUCUGGUGGUUGCACAUAAGUGCCCUGGAAGUUAUCGAGGAAUGCGGAUUCCAGGUCCUCCCAGCAACUUAUUGACUCUGCUGGCAGGCUGUUAAGCCAAUGCUGAGCAGGUCCUUUAAGCUUGAGCGGGAGGUAUUUGAUGGCAUGUAGAUCAUCACCACGGGCCAUGUGGAUAUGAAGGAGAUAAUCCUCGAUACAUACCGCGGGAUCUGUUGUGCCAUCGUAUGAUUCGAUGUUUACGGGUUUAAAACCCUCUGGGAUUUGAUGAUCCAUUACUUCGUCUGUGAAGCAUAGUGGGUGUGCGGCGCCCCUAUAUUGGGCUAUAUCGCGACGUAGCUCGGAUGAGCUUUGUCUGUUGUAUUCGGCGCCGGGUUGCGGCUUGGAUUGAGGGUCGAAAGGCCUCUCUGUCGCGACCACGGUGUGGCCGAUCGGGCGCAUCGUACGCUGGUGAUGUAGGUUUAGUUGCUUCCUCCUCUAGUUGGGGUAGCAGCCUGCGCUUUGGGUAACUCUUGGAGGGGCGUUCGAGUUUAUACUCUUCGGCCGCCAGGACUUCGGUCCAUUUGUCGGCUAGUAGGUCAUGGUCAGCUCUAAGCUGCUGCUGUUUUUUCUUGAGGCUGCUUGCCAUGGCCAUAAGCCUGCGUUUGAAAUGCUCUUGUUCGAUGGGAUCCUCUGGCACGACGAAUUCGUUGUCGUCGAGGCUUGCCUCAUCUUUGGAGGGAGGCAUAUAAUUGUCGUCCUCGACCUCUGUGCCUGCCGCUCUAUCAUGAGGGCUGGCUCCUUCAUCCUCCCGCGUUGAAUCCUGCUGGAGGGGGUCGUCUUCGGCACUGUCCGGGGUGUUGACGUCUCCGGUGCCGGAUUCGCCGUUCUUGCUUUGGCGGGAUUUAGAGCGCCGCUGCUGACGUUGGCGCUUGGGUUGCUUCUUGGAGGGGUCAUCAUCCGCUUUUUCAUCGCCAUCCCCUGCUUUUGGGGUGUCCACCAUGUAUAUGUCAUAUGACAAGGUGGCCUUCCAGUGCCCUAUAGGUGCUGGUUCUUGGUCGCCUCCCGCAUCGGCGUCCAUACCAUCGGAGUCCGGCACCUUGGAGUCACAGUCCUUGCAAAGGACUAGGCUGGUAUUCGGCUCUAUCGCCAUAGACAUUGCGGCUUUAGGGGCGGCGUCCAACCAUCCGUCCCUGACUAGCGCAGUCGGCUCCGAGCUGAUGGUCAGAGCGGACACCUGAGCGGCACUCUGGGCGCUGCCCGGCGGCAGAGCUAGAUCAUGCCCAUUGAGACAGUGCGGCUGGCUCGGCCGUGGCUCGAAUCCAUCGAAGAUAAAGUCCCCGCGGAUGUCGGCUGUGUAGUUUAGGCUUCCAAACCUGACCUGAUGGCCAGGGGCGUAGCUUCUGAUCUGCUCCAGAUGGCCAAGCGAGUUGGCCCGCAGUGCAAACCCGCCGAAUAUGAAGAUCUCUCCGGGCCGAAAAGUCUCACCCUGGACUGUUUCGUGGUUGACGAUCGAAGAAGCCAUCGGGCCUCAAGGUGACGACACAGAGGAACUCUCAAUGAAAGGACCAAUGUCGGUGUCAAAACCGGCGGAUCUCGGGUAGGGGGGCCCGAACUGUGUGUCUAGGCGGAUGGUAACAGGAGACAAGGGACACGAUGUUUUUACCCAGGUUCGGGCCCUCCCGGUGGAGGUAAAACCCUACUCAUUCUUGAUUAAUAUUCAUGAUAUGGGUAGUACAAGAGUUGAUCUACCACGAGAUCAGAGAGGCUAAACCCUAGAAUCUAGCCUAUGGUAUGAUUGUUGUUCGUCCUACGGACUAAAACUCUCCGGUUUAUAUAGACACCGGAGAGGGCUAGGGUUACACAGAGUCGGUUACAAUGGGAGGAGAUCUUCAUAUCGUAUCGCCAAGCUUGUCUUCCACGCCAAGGAAAGUCCCUAUCCGUACACGGGACGGAGUCUUCAAUCUUGUAUCUUCAUAGUCCGGGAGUCCGGCCAAUGGUCAUAGUCUGGCCAUCUGGACACCCCCUAAUCCAUGACUCCCUCAGUAGCCCCUGAACCUGGCUUCAACGACGACGAGUCCGGCGCACAAAUUGUCUUCAGUGUUGCAAGGCGGGUUCCUCCUCCGAAUACUUCAUAAAAGAUGUUGUACACAAGGAUAGUGUCCGGCUUUGCAAAAAUAAGUUCCACAUACCACCGUCGAGAGAAUAAUAUCUGCACAAAUAAUCUGCUGACGUAUUCCGCAACAUGGCAUCACGCCGCAGUCAAGACUUCAUUCGAAUGGUUUUACCGUUCCACCUCAGCGCAUUUAGCAAGGCGGUUUCCUUGGCACGUCUUGUCGAAGCAGAGAUCGUGUCCCCUUAUUCCGGGAUUCUCAUCAAUACGGGCGUGGGUAACCCAACCGCGCCAUUAACUAUGGCGCUUGGGGGAUAAGCGAGUUUUAUUAGGCCGGUGGGGGCUCGUAGUUUCGGCCGCCCAUAUAAGGGAAUAAGGAUCUACCCUUUCCAUUUAUGCCUUCUUCCUCCUUUUCUUAUCCCUCCCUGCGCACUCGAGCUCCAACACCCAAGCUCGCACUUCCCACCUCAACCUUCUCCAACCAUGUCCGGAGCAGGAGGUAGAUGGAUGGCCUCCUCCGUCAUAGAGGGGCAAAUCAAAAAGAUGAGGGAGGUGGGAUACCUGUCUGACGCCAUCGCGCACCGGCUUCCAGAUGCGGGGCAACUCAUCCCCACCCCCAGGCCCCAUGAGAGGGUUGUUUUUCUCCCCCAUUUCCUCCGCGGACUGGGCUUUCCUCUUCACCCGUUCGUCCGGGGGCUCAUGUUUUACUACGGCCUGGACUUCCACGAUCUGGCCCCGAACUUCAUCCUAAACAUAUCGCCGUUUAUCGUCGUGUGCGAGGCCUUCCUCUGCAUCCAGCCCCACUUCGGCUUAUGGCUGAAGACUUUUAAUGUCAAGCCGAAAGUAGUGGGCGGCCGCCAAGCGGAGUGCGGAGGUGCCAUGGUGGGCCGGAUGGCCAACGUCCUAUGGCUCGAGGGCUCCUUUGUCGAGAUAAUUAAAGGGUGGCAAUCGAGGUGGUUCUACAUCACCGAGCCGCGCGACCCCAAAUGGGCAGCGGCCCCCGAAUUUUGAUCUGGCUUUCCCACAAGGCUCACCUCCUGGAAAGAAACGGGCCUGACAUGGGGCGGUUCGGAGGAGCUGACCGGACUCCAAGCCUACGUCCAAAAGCUAGUGAACAAGAAUCUCAAGCUUGUCAAUGUAGUCCAGGUCAUGCUCAUACGCCAGAUCUUCCCGUGCCAACAGCGGGCGUUCAACUUGUGGGAGUUUGAUCCGGCACAGCACCAGACCUUGAGCAGGCUCUUCGACACUAUGUACGAAGCCGCCUGGAGGGUGCUUUUCAAGGGAGCCGAGGCUCCCACGUCCGCUACCCAAGAUCGCGGAUUCAGCUCGCGGCGUAAAGCCGAUGAGGUAAGCUAUUUUGCCCUUUACAGGACGCUUUUUCAUAGUUUGAUACCAUGCGAGAUCUAAACUCCCUCACUUUGACAGGACUGGCUGAAGAAGUCUGGGCAGGUUAACUGUCCGGCUCCCUUACCAGAAGACCCAGCGGGCGCCCGAUUGACGGGGCUGCUGGUUCCGGCACCUCACCUGGUGCCGGAGAAGAAGGCCGAGAAAACGGCGACGGGAACCCAAAAGAGUUCCCGUCGUCAUGUGCUAUCAGACUCAUCGUCUGAUGACUCCAAGGCGGACUCCUCCCGUGAAGACGAGGAGGAGAAGAAAGAGGCUUCUCCCCCAACAGGGGGAGAGAAGAAAAGGAAGGCCUCCCCAACUUGGGAGAACGGAGGGUCGAAAAAGGGAAGGACCCUUCCUCCGGACUACUCCACCAAUGCCAACGACGACAAACAGGAGUGGCCCUCGAGGGCCAAGCCCCUGGCGAGAUCGUAAGUGUCCAGAUUUCGUAAUAACUCAUGAUUUUUCUUCUGUUGCAUAGUGUCUUCUAACACCGAAUACAACCCUGUAGCCCGCCCAGGGAUGAUCUCCCCGCUGCAUCGAGCAGGUCCUUGGGUUUGUCGGAUGUGAAUAGCACUUCUGUUCCGACCGCCUCCUCCCCUCGUGACGCAGAUGACGCCGAGGUGGGGUCCCAGAAGGGGCCCAGCCAGGAAGAGGUGGUCCUGGAGGCGCCGCAAGGCGUCCUCCCGGACUUUGGGCGAAAAGAGGGCGGAACUCCCAAGGGUUCCAAGUCCGGCCCUGUGCCGGACUCCGUACCGGAACCUGUAGUGGUUCCGAAGUCCGGCAGGCGGCCCCUUCGUGAGAAGGGCGAGACUGCGACGCCGGUGGCGUCCAUCCAACCGGAGGCGCCGGAUAAUUUGCUGGAGGCACUUAACGGCGCCUCUAUGGAUGAGGAGCACCGCACUGUCAUGAGUGUGGUGAUCCAGAAAGUUCAGUCUGCCAAGAGCGGGCUGACUGAAGCCUGUACCAGCCUUCUAACAGGCUUUGAGGUAAGUAAUUUAAGAUAUGUAAAAUGUACCGCAUAGAUAGUAGCCCCUGAUGCUCAGUUUGGUGUUCGGAAAGAAAAGCCAAGCUGAGGAUCUAAAAAGAUAUACGCAGGAGUCUAACAGAAAUAUGUCAAUAUGGGAAUGUAGGCUUCACUGCUAACCUCUGCCGCACUGACUGCGGAGGUCAAUGCAUUGAAGCAGAGCCUCGAGCGGUCCGAGAACAACUCGGUCUUGCCAAGAAGCAGCUCGAGGACAAGGAAGGUAAGUAAUACCUUAUUAAAGUAGUACCUUAUAGAAAAGGAUUUGGUUGCAAAAAAUGACAGGAAUAACGUGGGUAUUACAGGGGCCACGAAUGAGGUGGCGGCCCUGAAGGAGGCGGUGUGCAAGGCCAAAAACAAUGUGGCCUUGGAGCACACUGAGCGAGAGAGGCAGGAGGCGCGGGUGUCGGAGGUGCGGCAAAAGCUCCAGGCUCUCGUGGAAAAGCAUGAGAGUUUGGAGCGUGACUCGAAGACUAGAGAGUCCGAGCUCGCCUCGGCUCUUGAGAGUGCCAAAGCCACCAAGGCCGAAGCCCAAAGAGCCCUCCAGGAAAUUGAGGCGAUAAAGAAGAUAGCGGCGGGUAAGGCUUUCUUCAUGCAAAGCAAGCACGUGAAAGUGAAUUACUUGUUACUUACCCGAAUCCGGAGCUCUCCAGGAGCAUUCGCAGAUCUGCCCCGCAGUGUGUCCGAUGCUGCCGCAUUCUAUCGGGCCGAGGAAGGAAGAUCGAUGGAGAAGGUAUUCUCGUCUCAGUAUGCUGAGGCUGGACAUCCGGUGCCCCUUAGCGACCAGCUGAAGCAGCUGGUCGAGCUUCACAGGGUGGCCGAACAGGCCAUGAAGGGCCUCAUAAUUCGGCUGUGGCCUAAGGAAGCCAUGCCUGGGAGCUACUUCGGUAUGGUUGGGCGGCUGGUGGACGUCUGUCCAUGGAGUGAAGUCAUCAAGCACUCCGUCUGUAUUGAGGGUGCCCGUCGGGCCCUUGCCCGUGCUAAAGUGCAGUGGGGCAAGAUGGACGCUGAGAAGCUUGUGACGGACCUGCCACCGCCGGGCAAGGAGUAUCGCACGCCCGAGAUGUAUUAUAAGGGCGUCCUGAAGGGUGCCCGCAUUAUAGCGGGUGAGUGCUCCAAAGAUGUAAUUUUUGAGUAGACUCGUAUGUUGUUAUCCUGUGCGCUGAAAACUUUGUUCAUAUGCGCUAAGCAACGCUUGUUAAUUUAAAAUAUUACCUUCUGUGCGGCCGUUUAUUAAAUCUGAGAGAUGCAAGUCGUCGGCUUCUACCCCCAUGCCACGAGUGCUGGGGUGUUCGGGAUAAACCUGAGCGCUCUUGUUCCCAUUCUUGGGUCCAUCUAUGGAGGCGCUCAGCACAACGAACCAGCCCAUCAGACUUAUAAUGCUUUAUGACUCUCACUUAGCCAUAGAAUUCUAUAAUUUUAAAUUUCGGCGAAGCCCCUAGUAUUCGGAAGACCGAGUUCGGGGUGCUAUCCUUGCCUUGGCCAGAUAAAUCCGGCUCCUCGCUCUAAGCGGCAUAAGUCUUUAAGGACUCGAAAAAUGUCACGAACAGUGACCGGUCUCUCGCACUAUCAUGACGGUCAGUUUUAGCUUUCUCUACUGAGGUGUUAACCUAGCUCAACUGGGGCACAAUCGCAGUAGUUCUCCCAGCGCUACCUUAGCCAACAUUGCGGAACGUAAGGUACCAAAACAUGGGAGCCGGGCAAACCCAACUAUUGACCCAAGACAUGAUUCGGAGCCGAUGCAUAUAGUGCUAUAAGUUCGGGGUGCCGCACUCGUGAAAGUGUUCGGUCUUCUCACACCAUGUUAUGGGGUGCUUAAGCCCCUGGUGUAUUGGCCGUACCAAAGUGUACGGUUGCAUAAUGUCAUGACUGAACAUAUUUGUAUAAAAAUAGAUGAAUACAAUAAUAGAUAAGAGCUAUGUAUUGUUUAUUAAAAAAGAGCUGCUAUGAAAGCAGAACGAUACAAAUAGUGCGAUAAGCAAGGGAUGGGAUUAUUUGACAUGUCCCCCUCCAGGGGCAAGCUGCGUAAAUUUAAGCAAAACGGGUAUUUAGCUCGUUAUAGAGACCACCUGGACAUAUGAUGCAGCUUGUUCGCGCCCUGGCUGUUGCAUCGUGUGUUCAACGAGUUUAUUGCCGGACAGGCCUUCCGAAUAGUUGGGUCCUGAAAGUAUACAAAAAAAGAAAACGGCGGAAUAGGGAGCCCCUAAGUGCGGUUGAGCCGCAUUCUGGGCGUGCCGUAGUUGUGCCCCUCCCCUUAUGCCCAUGGUAUUUUCAAAGCGUAAUUAUGUACGCGUGGUACCGAUAUCACCUUCUGGCGAGGGCUGGGGUUGGGGCCGCACUGCUAUGCUUGCUCGGAACGUGCCAGCCGGCUUUGUUGGAGGUUGCUUCGGGCGCGCUUGACGUUGUCCGGACGUUUAACACCCGGAUUGGGGAGAUGCCUUGAGAGGCUGCUCUGUACUUCCGCCGCCAGGGCCGCUGUGUGCUCCUCCGUUCGGACAGAGCGUUUGGUGUUUCCAUUUACCGUAAUGACUCCACGAGGACCUGGCAUCUUGAGCUUUGAGAUAUGCGUAGUGCGGCACCGCAUUGAAUUUUGCAAAUGCGGUUCGUCCGAGCAGGGCGUGAUAGCCACUGCGGAAUGGGACUAUGUUGAAGAUUAACUCUUCGCUUCAGAAAUUAUUCGGGGAUCCAAAGACCACUUCGAGUGGAACCGAGCCUGUACAGCUGGCUUCUACACCUGGUAUGACGCCUUUAAAGGUUGUCUUUGUGGGUUUAAUCCAUGAGGGAUCUAUACCCAUUUUUCGCACUAUAUCCUAAUAAAGCAGGUUCAGGCUGCUGCCGCCGUCCAUGAGGACUCUAGUGAGGUGAAAUCCGUCAAUGAUUGGGUCUAUGACCAAUGCGGCGAAUCCGCCGUGACGGAUGCUAGUGGGGUGGUCCCGUCGAUCAAAGGUGAUCGGACAGGAGGACCAUGGUUUGAACUUUGGGGCGACUGGCUCCAACGCAUAGACCUCCUUGAGGGCACGCUUCCGCUCCCUUUUGGGGAUGUGGGUUGUGUAUAUCAUGUUCAAUGUCCGCACUUGCGGGGGGAAGCCCUUCUGUCCUUUGUUGUUCGGCGGCCGGGGCUCCUCCUCAUCAUCGCUACGCAGCCCCUUGUCUCUGGUUUCGGCACUUAACUUGUCUGCCUGCUUGAACACCCAACAGUCCCUGUUGUUGUGGUUUGCUGGUUGUUCGGGGGUGCCGUGUAUCUGGCACAAGCGAUCGAGUAUCCGGUCUAAAUUGGAUGGGCCCAGAGGGUUUCUUUUGAAUGGCUUCUUCCGUUGACCGGGUUUAGAGCCUCUGAAUCCGGCAUUGACUGCCGUAUCCUCAGUAUUGUCGCCAUUAAUGCGGCGCUUGUGCUUGUUGCGACGUGACCUGCCAUUGUUGUCCUUGGUAUCCGAAUUGCCAGGGCUCUUGGUUAUGUUAUUGCUACGAGCUAGCCAGCUCUCUUGGUUAGGAACUGUGUCUAGAAUUGUCUGGCCGAUUCCUCUGGCUGCUGGAUUAUGUGGCUUAGGUCAUCGGCGUCUGGUGGUUGCACAUAAGUCUUAUUGACUCUGCUGGCAGGCUGUUAAGCCAAUGCCGAGCAGGUCCUUUAAGCUUGAGCGGGAGGUAUUUGAUGGCGUGUAGAUCAUCCCCACGGGACAUGUGGAUAUGAAGGAGAUAAUCCUCGAUACAUACCGCGGGAUCUGUUGUGCCAUCGUAUGAUUCGAUGUUUACGGGUUUAAAACCCUCUGGGAUUUGAUGAUCCAUUACUUCGUCUGUGAAGCAUAGUGGGUGUGCGGCGCCCCUGUACUGGGCUAUAUCGCGACGUAGCUCGGAUGAGCUUUUUCUAUUGUAUUCGUCCUAGCCGUAUUUAUCAUAUCCGGCGUGACGGUUAUCGUCCCGUGAUGUGGGGCGCCCACGCGAUCUGUAGAUCGAUCUUGUUUGCCUUGCCUUAUCCUCCAAUAUAUCUCGCAGGUCUGUUGCGUUUCCCCGUGCUCUGGUAUUUUUAGAGCGGCGCCGGGGUGCGGCUUGGAUUGAGGGCCGAAAGGCCUCUCUGUCGCGGCCACGGGGUGGCCGAUCGGGCGCAUCGUACGCUGGUGAUGUAGGUUUAGUUGCUUCCUCCUCUAGUUGGGGUAGCAGCCUGCGCUUUGGGUAACUCUUGGAGGGGCGUUCGAGUUUAUACUCUUCGGCCGCCAGGACUUCGGUCCAUCUGUCGGCUAGUAGGUCUUGGUCAGCUCUAAGGUUUCUGCUGUUUUUUCUUGAGGCUGCUUGUCGUGGCCAUAAGCCUGCGUUUGAAAUGCUCUUGUUCGACGGGAUCCUCUGGCACAACGAAUUCGUCAUCGUCGAGGCUUGCCUCGUCUUCGGAGGGAGGCAUAUAAUUGUCGUCCUCGACCUCUAUGCCUGCCGCUCUCUCAUGAGGGCUGGCUCCUUCGUCCUCCCACGCUGAAUCCUGCUGGAGGGGGUUGUCUUCGGCACUGUCUGAGGUGUUGAUGUCUCCGGUGCCGGAUUCGCCGUUCUUGCUUUGGCGGGAUUUAGAGCGGCGCUGCUGACAUCGGCGCUUGGGUUGCUUCUUGGAGGGGUCAUCCUCCGCUUUUUCAUCGCCAUCCCCUGCUUUGGGCGUGUCCACCAUGUAUAUGUCAUAUGACAAGGUGGCCUUCCAGUGCCCUAUAGGUGCUGGUUCUUGGUCGUCUCUCACAUCGGCGUCCAUACCAUCGAUGUCUUCGGAGUCGAAGUCGAGCAUGUCGGUUAGAUCGUCGACAGUGGCUAUAAAGUGGGUGGUGGGUAGGCUUCGAAUUUCCUCGUCGUCCGCAUCCCAACCCUGCUGACCAUUGUCUGGCCAGGGCCCUCCUGACAAAGAGAGAGACUUUAGUGAAUCCAGGAUAUCGCCAAAGGGCGAGUGCUGAAAGACGUCCGCGGUGGUGAACUCCCUGAUCGGAGCCCAAUCAGGUUCGAUCGGGAGAGGUGUAGAAUAUUCGUAGUUCGGAACACUAGUCCGGCACCUUGGAGUCACGGGCCUUGCAAAGGACUAGGCUGGUAUUCGGCUCUAUCGCCGUAGAGAUUGCGGCUUCAGGGGCGGCGUCCAACCGUCCGUCCCUGACUAGCGCAGUCGGCUCCGAGCUAAUGGUCGGAGCGGACACCUGAGCGGCACUCUGGGCGCUGCCCGGCGGCAGAGCUAUAUCAUGCCCAUCGAGGCAGUGCGGUUGGCUCGGCCGUGGCUCGAAUCCAUCGAAGAUCAAGUCCCCGCGGAUGUCGGCCAUGUAGUUUAGGCUUCCAAACCUGACCUGAUGGCCAGGGGCAUAGCUUCCGAUCUGCUCCAGAUGGCCAAGUGAGUUGGCCCGCAGUGCGAAGCCGCCGAAUAUGAAGAUCUGUCUGGGGAGAAAAGUCUCACCCUGGACCGCGUCGUGGUUGACGAUCGAAGAAGCCAUCGGGCCUCAAGGUGACGACACAGAGGAACUCUCAAUGAAAGGACCAAUGUCGGUGUCAAAACCGGCGGAUCUCGGGUAGGGGGUCCCGAUUUGUGCGUCUAGGCGGAUGGUAACAGGAGACAAGGGACACGAUGUUUUUACCCAGGUUCGGGUCCUCUCGGUGGAGGUAAAACCCUACUCCUGCUUGAUUAAUAUUGAUGAUAUGGGUAGUACAAGAGUUGAUCUACCACGAGAUCAGAGAGGCUAAACCCUAGAAUCUAGCCUAUGGUAUGAUUGUUGUUCGUCCUACGGACUAAAACUCUCCGGUUUAUAUAGACACCGGAGAGGGCUAGGGUUACACAGAGUCGGUUACAAUGGGAGGAGAUCUUCAUAUCAUAUCGCCAAGCUUUCCUUCCACGCCAACGAAAGUCCCUAUCCGGACACGGGAUAAAGUCUUCAAUCUUGUAUCUUCAUAGUCCGGGAGUCCGGCCAAAGGUCAUAGUCCGGCCAUCCGGACACCCCCUAAUCCAUGACUCCCUCACGCGGCAUGAUCACCUUCGUCACCGGCAUGACACCAUGAUCUCCAUCAUCGUGUCUUCAUGAGGUUGUCUCGCGAACUAUUACUUCUACUACUAUGGCUAACAGUUAGCAAUAAAGUAAAGUAAUUACAUGGCGUUAUCAUUGACACGCAGGUCAUACAAUAAAUUAAGACAACUCCUAUGGCUCCUGCCGGUUGUCAUACUCAUCGACAUGGAAGUCGUGAUUCCUAUUACAAGAACAUGAUCAAUCUCAUACAUCACAUAUCAUUCAUCACAUUCUUUUUGCCAUAUCACAUCACAUAGCAUACCCUGCAAAAACAAGUUAGACGUCCUCUAAUUGUUGUUGCAUAAUUUACGUGUCUGCUAUGGGUUUCUAGCAAGAAUGUUUCUUACCUACGCAACGGCCACAACGGUGAUAUGCCAAUUGCUAUUUACCCUUCAUAAUGACCCUUUUCAUCGAAUCCGAUCAGAUUAAAGAGGGAGAGACUGGCACCCGCUAGCCACCUUUAUGCAACAAGUGCAUGUCAGUCGGUGGAACCUGUCUCACGUAAGCGUACGUGUAAGGUCGGUCCGGGCCGCUUCUUCCCACAAUACCGCUGAAACAAGAUAGGACUAGUAACGGUAAGCAAAUUGAACAUACCAACGCCCACAACUACUUGUGUUCUACUCGUGCAUAGAAUCUACGCAAUAGACCUAGCUCAUGAUGCCACUGUUGGAGAACGUAGCAAUAAUUCAAAAUUUUCUACGCAUCACCAAGAUCAAUCUAUGGAGAUUCUAGCAACAAGAGAGGGAGAGGAUGAGCAUCUUCAUACCUUUGAAGAUCGCUAAGCGGAAGCGUCACUAGAACACGGAUGAGGGAGUCGUACUCAUGGCGAUUCAUAUCGCGGAAGAUCCGAUCUAACGCCGAACGAACGGCGCCUUCGCGUUCAACACACGUACAGCCCGGGGACGUCCCCUCCUUCUUGUUCCAGCAAGGGGAGAGGAGAAGUUGAGGUAGAGCUCCGGCAGCACGACUGCGUGGUGGUGGAGCUUGCAGUUCUCCGGCAGGGCUUCGCCAAGCACUAUUGAGGAGGAGGUGGAGUUGGAGAGGGGGAGGGUUGCGCCAGGGGCAAGGGGUGAAGCUCCCAUGCGCCUCCCCACUAUAUAUAGGGGUGGAGGGGGCUGGUUUCUUGACCUCCAUGUCCAUUGGGGCGUUGGCAAAGGUGGGAGGAAAGAAAUCCCAUCAUUUCCCUUCCCCACCGAUUGUUAUCCCCCUUUUUUAGGGAUCUUCAUCUUAUCCCUUCGGGAUAUGAUCUUAUUCCUUCUAAGGGGGGAUCUUGGUGCGCCUUGACCAGGGGUGUGGGGCCUUGCCCCCACUACCCACGUUCAUGUGGGUCCCCCCAUGCAGGUGGGCCCCACUCCGGAACCUUCUAGAACCUUCCCGGUAAAAUACUGAAAAAUCCUACACAUUUUCCGGUGGCCAAAAUAGGACUUCCCAUAUAUAAAUCUUUACCUCCGGACCAUUCUAGAACUCCUCAUGACGUCCUGGAUCUCAUCCGGGACUCCGAACAACUUUCGAUAACUGCACACUAAUUCCCAUAACAACUCUAGCGUCACCGAACCUUAAGUGUGUAGACCCUACGGGUUCGGGAAUCAUGUAGACAUGACCGAGACAACUCUCUGGCCAAUAACCAAUAGCGGGACCUGGAUACCCAUGUUGUCUUCCACAUGUUCCACGAUGAUCUCAUCGGAUGAACCACGAUGUCGGGGAUUCAAUCAAUCCCGUAUACAAUUCCCUUUGUCAAUCGGUACGUUACUUGCCCGAGAUUCGAUCGUCGGUAUCCCAAUACCUCGUUCAAUCUCGUUAUCGGCAAGUCACUUUACUCCUUCCGUAAUGCAUGAUCCCGCGACUAACUACUUAUUCACAUUCAGCUCAUUAUGAUGAUGCAUUAUCGAGUGGGCCCAGAGAUACCUCUCCGUCAUACGGAGUGACAAAUCCUAGUCUCGAUUCGUGCCAACCCAAGAUACAUGUAGUGUACCUUUAUAGCCACCCAAUUACGUUGUGACGUUUGGUACACCCAAAGCAUUCCUACGAUACCCAGGAGUUGCACAAUCUCAUGGUCUAAGGAAAUGAUACUUGACAUUAGAAAAGAUUUUAGCAAACGAACUACACGAUCUUGUGCUAUGCUUAGGAUUGGGUCUUAUCCAUCACAUCAUUCUCCUAAUGAUGUGAUCCCGUUAUCAAUGACAUCUAAUGUCCAUGGUCAGGAAACCAUGACCGUGAUCAACGAGCUAGUCAACUAGAGGCUCACUAGGGACAUGUUGUGGUCUAUGUAUUCACACAUAUAUUAAGGUUUUCGGUUAAUACAAUUAAAUCAUGAACAAUGGAUAAUUAUCAUGAACAAGGAAAUACAAUAAUAACCAUUUUAUUAUUGCCUCUAGGGCAUAUUUCCAAUAGUGAGCUCUUGCCCCGAUCUUGCUGGAACGUAGUAGAGUUGUGUAGAAGGUGGACUUCUGGGUUGUUUUGUCGGCCCAACUCAUAUGAUAUAUUCUUACCACUACUUAUAUAUUCUUGUGUUCUCACAAGGUAAAAAUAACCAAGAACAAUAGGAGGCCCUGACCUAUUUAGAGCCAGCCCUAUGUUUCGGGAGGCCCUAGGCGAAAUCGACGACAUGGGCCCCUAUGUCGUAAGACCAUAUAUAUGUAUGUGUGUGGGUGUGUGUGUGUGUGUGAUACAUAAACAUAUAUACAUAUUAGGAGUAACUUUCAACCAGACAUCUUUUGUUUAAGAUUUGACUAUAAUAAUUGUUGGACCACUACUAGGAAAAGGCCUACUAAUGGCGCACCGGUUUUGCCUAGUAAUGGCGCACUACCGGUGCGCCAUUAGUAGCACGCCACUAGUAUUUUUUACUAAUGGCGCACCUCUGGUGCGCCAUUAGUAUCUGGUGUACUAAUGGCGCACCAGGAAGUGCGCCAUUAGUAUGUAACACCGUGCGCCAUUAGUAUGCCUCCCGGGGGCCCAUACGUAACCAUGUGCUUCGUCAUACUAAUGGCGCACCGUGCCUUGAUGCGCCAUUAGUAUCCUUUUGGCAUACUAAUGGCGCACCUUGUGGUGAUGCGCCAUUAGUAUGAAUAUUUGUUUGUUUUUUUUGCUUUUCUAAUUUUUGCACAGGUUACAAAAUAUAUUAUUGGACAGAAUAUAGACAGCAGCACACAACAACAUCAGAUUCAUCGAAUACAAUAGAAGAUUAGUCUCCGGAUACAAUUCAUCAUAUUAGUCUCCGAAUUCAAAAGACCGAACAAAGAUAAAACAUUACAAGUCUCAAGACCGCGAGUAUCGAGUUUGUUUUCACAUUACAGGUCGAUAUCGAUCAUCUAAACUACCAUCACAUAAAAGAGAGUUGUGGUCAUCACGAUGAGCAUCGUCGCGAUCAAACUGGUCUUCAUCCGGUUCCUCCAACGCUCCCUCCUCUCUCCCGCUAGAUAGCGGGCAUAUCUAGAUUCGGCCUCCGCCCUAGUGGUGUACCCUUUGUAACUGUUACCGCUGAAACGGUGAACCUGUCUCUGACACUCCUCCCAGUCGUCGUAGACUCCGGGAACCUUACCCUUGUACACGACAUACGACGACAUCUCUAUGCACAAGCCAAACAAUAUACAAUACAUAAGCAAUAUGUAAGUAUGCAACAAAAGGAUCGGAAGAGAAAAGCAAGACAUUAAUAGCACGAUUCAUGGUCCUACUAAUAAAUAGCAUCGAUUACAUCUAAGUUGAACGACUGUCCAAACCAAAGAGACAUACGAAUGCAUUAAACUUUAAUUACAACAUGAGCCAAUCAAUGUUUCAGAACUACACAUCACUACUUUCGACUCGACUCAUCGGACAGGAGCUUGGAUGAAGCCACCGUCUGUCGUGAUGGUCAUGAAAUCGCGGUCUUGUCACCCUGCAUUUGUAGGGUUCCAUCUAUCUCAUUGUUGGAUGGUUGAUAUCUGAGGUAGAACUGCCCCGAGGUAUGAAGGACAUCUUGAUGGAUGAUGUCCGCAAACUCCGACUGGAUGCGAAAGAAUUCUUGUCUGAGUUCCGCGUCCUAGAUUGCCGACAAGUUUGCGGCCCAACCUUUGAGAUUAUCUGGUAGCAGAAGUUGAUGAUGGUCCCUUACGAUCACCCGCAUGUGAUGGAGGGCGUAGUAGGCAUCCUUCCGACCGCCAGGCGGCUGCUUGACGCAGCAGAACUUCGUAUUGUUUGAGAACAUGUGCUUGCCGUACUUACGAAACGCCCUGGUGAAGGUGCCUCCAGAUUUGGCGUAGCCGGGGAGAACAUCAUCAAGAACUUUCUUGACAUUUGUGUAGGCUAUUUUGGAGUUACAGUUCGGGUCGAAAUACAUUGCCAUGGAAUAUUUCGGGCUUAAGAGGAUGAGUCUGCAAUGUGUGUCACUGCACAAAACACGGAGUGUUAGAAAAAAAAGAACGAUCGAAAUCUAAGAAAUCAUAUGUUACGGGGCGGUUAAGGGAUCACUUACUCAGGAAAGUAAGCCACAAGGAAGUUAUCCUUAUCUGGGUUUGCCAGAAUGACGCCUUCGAGGUGUGAACUCCCAACUUGGCGGUCCCCAGCGCUACUCAAGUGCUUGGCAUGCAUGUACAAGGGGUCGACUAUCACGAUGUACGGGGUCUUGUCUCUAAUGAUCCGCAUCUCCAUACUCAGCAAAAACAGCCGAACAAAGGUGUAGUGCAGCAGAUGAAGGUUAAACAUAGCAAAGAUGUCAUCAAACCACAGGACGAUCGUACCCCCGAUGUCGCCAUCCACAAAGCCCUUGCCCUCUAGGACCAUGUCCACGAAAACCGGGUAUGCCACAUCCUUCUCUCUGAGAUGCCGCUUCUCCAAAGAAAGAACACUGUCGUGCAGACUCCGCAUAGCACCGGUUGCAGCAUUCAGCAUAUUUGGCGGUAGCAUCGCCCUACCCGCCACAUGCACCCUCCUCGAGAUAUCCUUAUGUGAAGGUGGCCCGUCCUGAGCACGGAUUGAACUCGGUGCCGGCUGGCUCGCACCGGCGCCCUUGUUAGUCUUUCGUUUCCGUCCCUUCUUCUUGAUCUCCUGUAAUGGGACCGAGUUCUGCUCACAGACUGCCUUCUUGAGCUUGUUGGGGCUGAUAAUAUUUCGCACCUCAGCUAUCUAAGGCUCGGUGAAGGCGGGAGCUGGAGGCGUCUCCUAAGAACUGAACGCCAGACAACGCCUAUUGCAAUUGGAUUUCUCCGCCGUACCAGCUAGAUUGCGGUCGUCUUGGUUGGGUUCUUGAGAAAGAGGCUCGUAGAACUCGUUAGCGUACCCAUGUUCGGCAAAGUACUUAUCGACUUUGGUAAAUGUACCGUCGUUGUUGUUGUCGUCGUCCGGAUCCUGUGCCAUAGGGCUGUCCAGAUCCUGUGCCAUAGGGAUGUCCGGCAGGUCCGGUAGCGUUGCGGCGUUCUUGCCAUGGCUUGGCGCCGACACGACUGGCGGUCUUGUCUGUGGGGUGGUGUCCCCCGCCCCCAAACGAAUCUGGCUCUUCGGCCAAAGCAGGGGCCAGUUUACGCAAGCGCUGAGGGUCAUCUCAUCUUCUUCGUCGGCCCCAGCGGGUCGAACCGGAGGUAACAGCUCGUCGCAGCCAGGCAGCACCCGAACCACUUCAACCCUAUACACUAUGGGUGGCAUCGGAUUACCGUGGAACAUGGGGUUGCCCGGUUGAACGAUUCUGGCCUUGGCGACAUCGACCAACUCGACGCCCACGAAGUGCAGAAGAGUGCAAGGAAUGUCGGCGGUGCCCUGCGAAAACAUGUAUAGGGCAUGAGGGAUGCCCAGUCAAAGGCAAGGAGAUGAAGUCAUCGGCCGAGAGGCUUAGUUACCGUGAUGCCGUCGAGCUCGGCUAAUGUCGAGGCACCGCCAACGGCGGGUGUGCAACUGACGGAGGGGCGCUUGCUGGCGAGGUGCCGGCCGGCGUACACCCGGGUGCAUUAAGCUCCAAUGCCCGUGCCGGCGCCGGAGACACGAAUACCGCCUCCGCCGAAGACACCAAUGGCGCCGCCGCCGGAGACACCAAUGGCGCCGCCUGCGCGUUGUGCGAGUUGCUGGCCGUGAAGCUGGGAACCGGGGGAGGCCCCUGUUGGCCGCCUGCAAUCCACGUCGUCAGCCCAUGAAUCAACGUAGGCACCAUGGCGUUGAGCUUCGUUCCCAGUUGUUGUUCCACUUGCUCUUGGACAAGCUCCAGAAUCCGCGCCACUUGUGCCUUGAGUGCUUCAACCUCGCGCGUCUGGCUUUCCGAGCUGGCCUUUUUCUCCUUCCGCACACCAACGGUAUAGUAUGACCCCCAUUUUGUGGACAAGCCUUUGCCGGCCACACGACCAGCUGACGUCGGCUUAGUGAGCUUAUCCUUGCUUUUCAUUAUGUUCAACGCCCUAUUUAAAGGGGUGUCGAAAGGGGAGCUUUGAGACGACCCCGCGCUACUGCUUUCAGUGUCUUGCGAAAGGAACGUGAACCAUUUAGAAAUAUUGGGGAUUAAUUAGAGUGCAACCAUAUGGAGCUAAUUACGCGGGGGUGUAUUCCUUACCAGAACAAGCUCAAGCGCCCUGGUCUUCGAAUCCAUGGUAAGCUCCUUUGUUAUCGGGUCCUCCUUGUACCGGGCCCUAACAUAGUUCCUGGUCUGCUUGUCACCGCUGUAUUUAUCGAAGCGGGGCGGUAGGCCUUGCUCGGCACGCUCCGCGUCCUCCUUGUCCCAUAUAGGCUCCGCCACUCUGUAACCGCCGGGACCGAGUUUGUGUUCCCCUAAGUUCAACUCCCGCAUUUCUUUCCCCCACUGACUUGAUUCAGAGGUUGCGCUACUCUCGCACUUGAUCUUGAACUCCUUGUACUCAUCUUCGCUCAUCAAAGGAUAUUUCGCCUUGAUCUUCUCAUAACUAUCACCUUUAUCAAUCAUUCUCUUCACCGCGCUUCUCCAAGUAGAUAGGGCCGUGCUCAUCUUCGUGAGGGCGGCACUGUUCACUUUAUUCCCUGAGAGGCGUGUGUUUUCAAAUUCGGCGGGGAACUUGUAUCGUUCAUGCAACUUCGUGAAGAGGAGGUUGCGCAAAUUCUCAUGGUCCUUAUUCCUAAGGUUAUCGGUGUUGAUCGAGACGGUGCUUCGGAGAAUGCAGCCAAGCUGAAGUGCGUACCCCUUGACUAUAUGUUUGGGCUCCGUUGGAUUCCCGUUGGAGUCCACUUGAGAGUGAAUUCCUCCUUGAGGGUGCGGAGCGCAUUCGGGCGCCGGUCCUUCCUUUGCUUCUUCGGUUGGCUGCCAUCUGUGUGUGCGCCGCCAUCAUCAGUGGUGGCAUCCUCGGUGGCACCAUCAGUGGUGUCAUCCCUGAAGCCACUAGGGGUUGUGUAGUCAGGAUCGGUGUCUUCCGCGGCGUCCUCGUAGAGGUGAGGUUGUUCCUCCAUCUCCUGGGACAGCUCCCAGAAUUGCUUGCCGCCCGAACCACUGGCCUCAUCGUUGUGGGCCAUGUUUUGCUCUAAAUAGGAAAAAAGUUUGGUCAAAAAGUUGGUUAUUGUCAAGGAACAAGAUCAUGGUCUCAUCAUUUAGGGUUUGUCGACACCGAAGCAUCCUAAAAGCUAAGCUUUUAUCAUUUAGGGUUUGUCGACGCCGAGGCACCCUAAAAGCCUAAGCGUACAUCAUUUAGGUUCUCAUCAACACCGAGGCACCCUAUAGAAGCCAAGGUUUCAUCAUUUAGGGUUUGUCGACGCCGAGGCACCCUAAAUGCUAAGUUAAGUUUUCAUCAUUUAGGGUUUAUUGAUGCCGAGGCACCCUAGGUUGGGCCACCUAUGUUGGGUUUAUCAUCUAGCGUUUAUCGGUGCUAAGGAGAAUUCUAAGUUGGGCCUGAUCACUUGGCUCUAUUGCCACCUAUGGUUUAAUGCAGCAAGAAUGGCGGGGCAGUUGAUCCUACUGAACUAAGUACUAAGAUACCCCGGCACAUGCAUUAGUCGCAAGUACCCCAUAUGUCCUAUUUUUAGCAAAGUCAUGCUAAAAUUCACGGAAAAUUUCAGCAUGACCUUUGCUGAAAAUAGGACAUAUGGAGUACCCGAAUUUGCCAGAACGGAAGUUAAUCGACAUUCCGAAAAACUCAAGGGCCUCUCGGGGUACCUGCAAAAUCAUUAUCCCCGCGUAAUGAAGUCGCCAAUGGGUCAUUUCAGAAGAUCACAAGUAGCAUCAUCACAAGUACAACAUCAUCACAAGUAGAGCAGCAGCAGUAGUGAAUACAGGCAUAACAAUAGCAAAACUGACGUGCUGUUAAUGAACAGUGGCUAAAGAUAUAUAAAACUACAUUGCAAAUGUGCCAUCUCAAUAAAACAACUCAUGGAAGUAAACUACUAGCAGGCUCAAAAGUCAAGUAAACUGAAGAUUAUGACAGCUUGCAAACACAGGGCCAUGUCAUUAUCAUGGCAGUCCACUAUAUAUUUUUGUGACAAAAUACAUCAUUAUCAAGGCACAUUAUGGCCAUUUUCUUACAUGAUGCUAACUGUACCUAACUGAAUUUUUUGACAGUAGCUCAAGUUUUUCACAGUAGCUCCUCACUUUCUGUUGCCUGCAACACUUUUUAUGCUAGCAGCUCAAGUUUGUGCCAUUGGAGCAAAUAAGCAGGAACCAACAUAUGUAAGGUUUCAAGAAGACUCAUCAUCAGUAUAUAUAAGGAGGAUCUUUGUAAACAAACGAACACUAAGAGCAGAAUGUUCUUGCAACAAACAUUAUUGUGUGACAUCGAAAGGCAUCACUCUGCUUAAAGGGAAGGAUGACUUAAGUGGCAGAUGUAUAUGAUUGCACUGAUCUGCACUUCUCUAUAUUAUAUGAUGUACUGAAGAACUUGAGCAAAAAAAGAUAAAUAGGAACAUAUUUCUCACCUUGGAGGUGUUGCUGCUGCUGCACUGUCUGAACUUCACUUCCUUUACCUCCUCGGAAACCUGAAAUAUGCAGAUGUUAGAAAGGUUAAUGAACCAACAAAUGCCCUAAUGGAAGUAAUAACAACAUGACAGCAAACAACCAACAAACAUGAUGGGCUUAAGAUUAAUGAACCAACAUCGACAAACUAGAUGAAUAGAGAUGUAGUGAGAGGAAAAUUAUUUUCUGAAUUUUUUAUUUGUCUUUAAUCUGUUCCCAAAGUCAGCCAGAACAAACACAACAUUAUUAUAUAUGAUGCGCUUGCUCCUUGCUGCCUUGUACACUUAGGAGCUCACUGAAAAGCAAUGACAUAUUCAUGAUCUAGUUUAGCAGCAGGUUGCAAUAUUCCCCCUAAUUGCAAGAUGCAUCAUUUCUAAUUAAUUAGGAGAACCUACCUAGCGAGUCUCUAAUUCGUUUAUACCAUCAAUAAAAAAAAUUCUACAAGAAAAAAAGGUAGCCCAAAUAUUCAUGCCACUUCCAUUAGGGCAUCAUCUUCCUACAACUACUCAUCUUCAGCAGCACAUUAUACUACUACUGUAUCUAGUGCAACAACAUGACACUUGUUACUUUAUCUAAUGUUCCUACAACUACUGUAUCUACAAUAGUAGCACAUGAUACUGCUACUGCAUCUACAACUACAACUACUACAACAGCAUAAAACUACUAUGCAUCAUCUUCCUACUAUAAUUGCUACUCAUCUUUAGAACCAAACACCAGCAAAAACAGAACCAAACUACUAUCCAUCCAUCUAGCAAGCAACUAGCACAACUCAUCCAUCCAUCCAUCAAGCAUCAUAUACCUAACUAACAUCAACAUACAUACAUCUAUCUAACAUCCAUUGAUCCGUGUAACAAGAGAGGAACAGGGAACAGUGACAUGGACAAGAAGCAUAGAGGCAAGGAAGAGAGGCUCACCCCAGGCCGCGGUCGAAGGAGAGCAGCCGCUGGCCACGUGCAGGAAGAGACGGCGGGAGGUGGUGGCCAGGGUCACGGCACCGUCAUUGGCUCGCCGGCUGCUGCGGAGGUGACCGGUGGUGGAGGACGGCAGGGGCAAGCGGGGUGGGCGUGUCGGGGCCGCGCUCGCUGGCUGCUGCAGGGGCCUGUACCGGAGGCGGGGCAGCGAAGGGUUCGGCCGGCUGGGCGCGCCGCGGCGGCUGGCUGGCAGCGGUGGCGGCGGCUAGGAACCCUAGCUGUCGCGCUCGGGAGGGAGGUUGAUGCAGGCGGGGCCGCGGGGGGAGGGGGACGGCGAGGGCGCGGGCGUGGGCGGAGGGGGGACGGUGAGAGAGGUGGUCGACGGCGGAAGGUGGUCGGGUGCACGGCCGGGGACGGCGAGCACGGGGGAAGUGGUGGUCGGCGGGUGAGAUGAGGCAGGGGAGGGAUUAGAGUGUGGAUUGGGGAUUAGGGACUUUAGUGUGGGGGGAGGCUUAGCAAUGGCGCACCACCCAGGGGUGCGCCAUAAGUACAUACAUAGCAAUGGCGCACCACCGAGGGGUGCGCCAUAAGUAAUUUAAUCUAGCCCGACUUGUCAGGUUAUAUACCACCUAACCCUAUCUACAAUAGAACCCGCCCACUAGCCUGGCUGGUCAGUACGCAGCACACACACCAAGAGGUCCUGGGUUCGAUUCCCAGGCUCCCUAAUAUAUUUUUUAUGCAUUUUAAAUCCUGUUUGAUAUUUAUUUGUGUUUAAAUAUGUUCAAACUUGUUUAAAUCAUAAUAGUAAUAUUUUUUUAUAAAAAUAGUAAUAUUUUUUAAAAAAAUAUGUUCAAAUUUGUUACUUGANNNNNNNNNNNNNNNNNNNNNNNNNNNNNNNNNNNNNNNNNNNNNNNNNNNNNNNNNNNNNNNNNNNNNNNNNNNNNNNNNNNNNNNNNNNNNNNNNNNNNNNNNNNNNNNNNNNNNNNNNNNNNNNNNNNNNNNNNNNNNNNNNNNNNNNNNNNNNNNNNNNNNNNNNNNNNNNNNNNNNNNNNNNNNNNNNNNNNNNNNNNNNNNNNNNNNNNNNNNNNNNNNNNNNNNNNNNNNNNNNNNNNNNNNNNNNNNNNNNNNNNNNNNNNNNNNNNNNNNNNNNNNNNNNNNNNNNNNNNNNNNNNNNNNNNNNNNNNNNNNNNNNNNNNNNNNNNNNNNNNNNNNNNNNNNNNNNNNNNNNNNNNNNNNNNNNNNNNNNNNNNNNNNNNNNNNNNNNNNNNNNNNNNNNNNNNNNNNNNNNNNNNNNNNNCGGUUGUGGAGCGGGGGAGGGUGCGGGGGGUGCCCAUUGGCGGCGGUGGAGCGGGGGAGGGUGCGGGGGUCCGGGUGCUCGUCGGCGGCGGUGGAGCGGGGGAGGGUUGCGGUGGGUCGUCGGCGGCAGUGGAGCUAGCGGGGGAGGCUGCGGGUGGGAUCGAGAUCGAGAUAAAAAAGUGUCCAUGAAAUUUAAAAAUAUUCAUGAUAUCAAAAAGUGCCCACGAAAUACAAUCAAGAAAUGAAGACUACGAUUUAAAUACAAUCGAUCUUAGCUAGCUAUCUGUUCACAAUCUUCUUUCCCUUCUUUUUCGCAAAUGGAGUUCUUCUGUGGAACGGACGUCCUUUAGGUAGGGUGGUCCUGCUUCUUCUUGUGGUGUGUGCUGCUACUUCAUUGUCGUCGUCAUGUUCGAUCUUCGGGUCGCCGUACUUGUCGAAGUCUUGCUCAUUGGCUACUCCAUCCAUUUCGAUGAUCUUCCUUUUGCCUCUCCUCACGACAACACGACUGGGCUUUGACGGGUCGGUAAUGAAGAAGCAUUGGUCCACUUGGGAAGCCAGUACCCAUGGCUCAUUUUUCGCGGUGACGUUUGCGCCCGCGGUCUUGGAUUUGGCUUCGGGUAUAACCAUGGUGGUGAAAUACCGGUCUUCUUUUAGGACGCUCUUGGCCCAUCUAACACAGAACAUCGGGACCUUCUCUCCAGCGUAGCUCAGCUCCCAGAUCUCCUCGAUCCUUCCGUAGUAUCUGUCCUUGUCGUUGCCGGUGUAGGAUUCCAUCGUUACCCCAGAGUUCUGAUAACCAUCGCUCUUCAUGUCCUUGUUCUCGGUUGUCACGCCCAAUAUGCGACCCUAUCCAAAAGGAACUCGAAGGUCCCACCAAGGAUAGACCCGCAUAUUGAAACGCUUUUGCAAGGUGGAUAUCAUUACAUCAACAUUACAUAAUAGAUGGGGAUACAUACAAGAGGCAUACAAUGCCACAUGAAAACAACAUCACAAUACAUCAGAGCAUCAUCCGACUACGGAUGAAACACAAACAGAAACUCAAACGACAUCCACCCUGCUAGCCCAGGCUGCCGACCUGGAACCUAUCCCCUGAUCGAAGAAGAAGCAGAAGAAGAACUCAACGCAAGCAAGCAUCGCUCUCGCGUCAUGAUCAUCGCAUAAACCUGUACCUGCAACUGUUGUUUAGUAAUAUGUGAGCCACGAGGACUCAGCAAUCCCAUUACCACGGGAAUCAAGACUAGCAAAGCUUAAAGGGAAAGGAAGGGGUAAAGUAGUGAGGUUGCAGCAGCGACUAAGCAUAUAUAGUGGCUAUCAUACGCAAAGAAGAGCGAGAAGAGAAGCAAAGGAACGGUCGUCAACUAGUAAUGAUCAAGAAGUGAUCCUGAACUCCUACUUACGUCAAACAUAACCCAGAAACCGUUUUCACUUCCCGGACUCCGCCGAAAAGAGACCAUCACGGCUACACACGCGAUUGAUGCAUUUUAAUUUGUAUCUGGUGUCAAGUUAUCUACAACCGGACAUUAACAAAUUCCCAUCUGCCUAUAACCGCAGGCACGGCUUUCGAAAGAUUAUACCCUGCAGGGGUGUCCCAACUUAGCCCAUGACAAGCUCUCGCGAUCAACGAAGGAAUAGACCUUCUCCCAGGAAGACCCGAUCAGACUCGGAAUCCCGGUUUACAAGACAUUUCGACAAUGGUAAAACAAGACCAGCAAAGCCUCCCGCUGUGCCGACAAAUCCCGAUAGGAGCUGCACAUAUCUCGUUCUCAGGGCACACUGGAUGAGCCAGACAUCGGGUUGGCAUAGACCCUGGUUGCCCAGGGGGCGCCGGACAUCGCUCGGUUUGGACCAACACUUAGACAAGCACUGGCCCGGGGGGGUAAAAUAAAGAUGACCCUCGAGAGCGCGAAUCCCAAGGGAAAAAGGGCUAGGUGAGGCAAAUGGUAAAACCAAGGUUGGGCCUUGCUGGAGGAGUUUUAUUCAAAGCGAACUGUCAAGGGGGUCCCAUAAAUCACCCGACCGCGUAAGGAACACAAAAUCCGGGAACAUUACACUGGUAUGACGGAAACUAGGGCGGCAAGAGUGGAACAAAACACCAGGCAAAAGGCCGAGUGUUCCACCCUUUACCAAGUAUAUAGAUGCAUUAAUAAUAUAAGAGAUAUUGUGAUAUCCCAACCAAAAUCCUGUCCACCAUGGAGAAAUCUUCAACUUCACCUGCAACUAGCAACGCUAUAAGAGGGCUGAGCAAAGCGGUAACAUAGCCAAUCAAUGGUUUGCAUAGGAAAGGUGUCAAAGGUUAGAGGUUCAUGGCAAUUUGGGAUGGCUUGAUAAACAGGUAAUAGGUAGCGCAGCAUAGCGAUAGAACGAAGCAACUAGCAUAGCAAUGAUAGUAGUGAGAUCCAGGGUAGCGGUCAUCUUGCCUGAAAUCCCGCUAGGAAGAAGAACGAGUCCAUGAAGAAGACAAACGGAUAAAGCUAAACCAAGCGUAGACGAAUGAAUCCUCACGAUCGCAACGAAAUAGGAACUAUCGAAAAGAAGCACACAACAUAGUACAAGACAUGAUGCACAACAAGCAUGAUGCAUGACAAAGCUACAUGAAGCUACUCAUGGCAAGGGAUGAUGCAAAACAAGAGCAACACAUCAAGACAAGUUUAAAUGAGGCCGGGAACAACAUAUAACAAUUCCGGUAAGUCCUCAUAUGCAAAUUUCGAAGUUGGUCCAGAUCUGAAUAAACCUUAUGUUCAAGUUGUUAAACAGCAAGUUAAGAUGCAACAAGAUGAUCUACAUGAAAUUCUAGUCAAGUUACAUAUAAAGUUCAUGUAGUUCGGAGCUACGGCCUAGAAGAUAUGAGCAAAACAAGAUAAACAUGGCAUUGAUGCAAAAUGCACCCAAACAUCAAGCAAACACACCAAAACAAGGAUUCAACAUAAUAAUAUGAAGCUACAUGCAAAAUCAAGCAAGUUCAUAUAGAGCACACUCAAAACGGAGCAACGGUUCAACACAUGCACUCUAUACAAGUUUAAAGGACAAGCUGUCCAAAACAGCAACUAGGCAUAUUACAAGCAUCAAAACAACAUGCUACAGGAUCUCAACAUAAUAACAAAAGGCAUGGGCAUGAUAUACAGGUAAAGCACAACAAAACAUGAACACUGAGCUAUCUCCAGAAAUCACUAGAACAUGCUCAAACACACAUGGUAAGAUUGCAAGUUAUAACAAUUUCAGACUUUGCAGAAAAUAACAUCACGAUGCAAUGUUUAGAGCUAUCAAACAACAUGUUACAGGAACUUAUCAUGGCAAAAAAGGCAUGGAAUGAAUCUACUCAAAGCAUAGAUCAAAGUCCUUUAAUGACCAUAAGCCAAAAAGAAUCAGAAAAUAUGAUGGCACCCACGUAAACAUAGCAAGUUAUUAUACAGAUUCAUACAUGGCAGAAACGGAAUUAUGAAGGCAUGUAGAUGAGCUUGUGCAACUCACUACAGAGAAAAACAUGGCAGGGAAAGGAAACCAACAGUAAGAAGGCAUGUUUGUGAAGUUAAUAAUGGCAAGAGCAAGGUCAUAGGGUGCAUGGAACACUAGGAAAACACAUGGCAACAACUGAACUUAAUGUUAACAGGCUGACAACAACAUUAUGAAGCAACUUUGGAGCAAGAUUACAACAAGUUAAAGCAGGCUAUAAAUGCAACCAGGGGAUGGAUGGAUAUAGCAUGACAUGUAGAACAAAACAUGUUUAGUGAUCAUCUCCAGAUUAUGCAUAGAAUGAUUAGUAGCAACAUGUUUACAUGGCAUCACGAAAUAACAGAUUCAGCCUAGCGAAACAGCAACAGCGAGUACACUACUUAACAAGCUCGAUUCACUCACCACAAGUCAUUGCAUGACAAGAUAAACAUAUAAUCAUCAAGAAGACAUGUUUGUGAAACAAACCAAGGCAAGAACAAGUUCAUAGCAUGCAAGGAUCAACUACAACAACCUUGGCCAAAUUGAAUAACAAGUAAACAAUCUGCCAGGAAAUAUUUUGAAGCAAACGUAGAGCACGAAAAUGACAUGCUAGACUACUCAAUAAUUACAAACAGGGGCUUGAAUGGAUAGAGAACAACCAUAUGUUCAAAACAUCCUUACUGAAGUAUCUCAAAAUAUGCAUGGAUCUCUCUGUAGCAUCAAGUUUACAUGGCAUCAAAAUAACAGCAGAACAGGGACUAAAAACAGUAACAUCACGAUGUGUAGUUUGCAUGCUUGUGCUAGUCACCAUAUUGAUCACAAAAAUACAUGGUAAGCACCUCUGUAAAGAAGACAUAGCAUAGAUCAAAACACAUGAAGACAUCAACCUCAUAGGAUGCACACAUCAAUCAUGGCAAAAAAGACAAAAGAGCUCGUUCUGUUAACAGACAGCAGAAAACAUCAUGAAGCACUCUUAUAACGAUGAUUCAGGCAUCAAUAUGUCCUCAAAUGAAUAUGAUGCAAUGGAAUGAAAUGAUGUACUCGUCGAGGCGAACAAUUUGACAUAUUACACGCGCAAAACGGAGCUAUGGAUGCAGAGAUACAACAUGAUGAACAAGGCAUGAUAAUUACAAAAAUCUGGGACUUGGGCAGAAUUUCACCUUCGGGAAAAAAGUCAACGCGGCCGGGAUCUCCCCGGAGAGCUCGCCGGAGAAGAUGGGGAAGACGGCCGGAGACGAGGGAGAGGCCGGGGAGGCGCGACCGGAGCAGGGCCGGCCGGAUCCGGGGCCGGGGAAGGCCGGGGAGGCGGCGCCGGUGACGAGGGCGGCGGGGCCGAGCCUUUCUGGCGGCGGCGCGGCCGGGCACCGGCGAAGGGCGGCGGCGCCCGCAGGAGGAGGCGCNNNNNNNNNNNNNNNNNNNNNNNNNNNNNNNNNNNNNNNNNNNNNNNNNNNNNNNNNNNNNNNNNNNNNNNNNNNNNNNNNNNNNNNNNNNNNNNNNNNNNNNNNNNNNNNNNNNNNNNNNNNNNNNNNNNNNNNNNNNNNNNNNNNNNNNNNNNNNNNNNNNNNNNNNNNNNNNNNNNNNNNNNNNNNNNNNNNNNNNNNNNNNNNNNNNNNNNNNNNNNNNNNNNNNNNNNNNNNNNNNNNNNNNNNNNNNNNNNNNNNNNNNNNNNNNNNNNNNNNNNNNNNNNNNNNNNNNNNNNNNNNNNNNNNNNNNNNNNNNNNNNNNNNNNNNNNNNNNNNNNNNNNNNNNNNNNNNNNNNNNNNNNNNNNNNNNNNNNNNNNNNNNNNNNNNNNNNNNNNNNGGGCCGGGCGGCGGCGCCAGAUGGGCUCGCGCGGGCCCGUACCGGGUCCCGCGGGCCAGCGGCGAAGGAGAGAGAGAGAGAAAGGCGCGGGCGAUGACGUGGCGGAGCGGGUUUGGCUGGGCACGGCGGCGGCGGACAUGUCCGGCCAUCGCAGACGCGUCCGGUGGCGGUGGUGGGCGAUUUUAGGGUUUCGUCUGCGAUUUGAUCCGCGAAUUUCGGGGGAGGGGCUAGUUUUAUAGGUAGAGGGAGCUAGGAGAGUCCAAAUGAGGAGCGGUUUUCGGCCACGCGAUCGUGAUCGAACGACCAAGAGCAUGGAAGGGAGUUAGAUGGGUUUUGGGGCACUUUGGAAGGGGUGUUGGGCUGAAAGGAGAAGGAGGCUUUAGCGGUUACCCGGUUAACCGUGGGAGUAUCAAACGAACUCCAAAUGGCACGAAACUUGACAGGCGGUCUACCGGUGGUAUACCAAGGCCGCUUGGCAAGACUCGGUCCAUUCCGAGAACAUUUAACACCCACUCACGAAGAGAGAGAAGAGGGGGACACCGGAAGACAUAGGAGCGCCGGAUCGCAAAACGGACAACGGGGAAAAGGCUCGGAUGCAUGAGACGAACAUGUAUGCAAAAUGAAAUGCACAUGAUGACAUGAUGAAAUGAUGAAAUGCAACACGCAAGCAAAUGACAUGGCAACAAUGGAGAAUAACUGGCAGACACCUGGCGCAACGAAUCUGGGGCGUUACAACACUCCUCCACUAACAAGAGAUCUCGUCCCGAGAUCUUAGGACCGAGAUGGAAGAGAAAAGGGAUGAGGUGAAACAAGAACUCAAAAGGAGAAUCAAAGAAUCGAUAGCACUCGAGAAGAAGAGAGGAACGACGAGAAAGACGAGAAUCAAAAGCUCACGGAAUCAGAUAGACUAUGAAACCACUCCGGUUAGAACGAGAUAAGAAACGAAUAAGACUGAAAGGAUUUAGGCAGCACUCCGGCUGAACAAGGAAAGAAUAGAACACGAGCUUGAGAGGAUGGAAAGAUACUUGAUGAGAGGAACAACACAAAAUCUCCGGAAGAAUUGGAAUAAAGGAAUGAAAAUAACUUAGAAGGAAGGGUUGAACGGAGUUGUUGAGAAAAUCAACAACGAAAGAAUAAGCUUGUCGUGGACUUAUGUAUAACAUCUCAGAAAUUAUGAGGUGAUAAUCAGCCGCAAACAGAAAUGAUUGAAUAGCUGAGAAGAACGAAGGAAUGCAAAACUCCACUUCAAAAGAAUAUGAAGAAUUAAUUGCACUUCGAGACGCGAGAAGAAAAGAUACUUGAACUCCACCAACAAGACUCUUGAUGAACACUUGAAGAACGAAUUAAAUCAUGACGAACCACCAUGAAGAACUCCGGUGACAAAAAUUUGAUGAGAUAGAAUGAAGUAUGAAAGAAUAAGAUGAGCCUUGCGAUGAUUUAGAUGGAGGUUCCGAUAAAAUGGCCGAGGAAAUUGAACUCCGGAAAAGCAAAGAUGAAAACAAUUGAAACUAGAAUUUAUUCAUCAAGAACAAACUCCGAAGGAAGGGAUUAAUCACUUUGAUGAAAUAAGAAUAAGAUUUAUUGUAUGCCUAUCCUUCAUCAAAUUAAAUUGAUGACAAUCAAUGGAUUUUGCAUAUUACUUAUUCUUCUUGAAAAGGAUUGAGAAGUGGCAUAUCACAAACUUGAGAAGGUCUUCAUGAACCACCGGUAGGAUUGAAAGAAGGAAUGAAUUAAAAUGAUAACCAAGGAAAAAAAGGAAUCUGAAGAAACCACCGUAAGAAAUCAAAAAUGACUGACGAAAGAGAAUGAAUCACCGGGAAGAAUUAGAAUAACCAAUAAGCAAGAGGGGAUUUAGAGAGACGAGAACUUAGAGAUUGCGAACUGAUUGAAGAAUACGUGAACGAAGCACCGGGAUAAUUAGAGAACGAUAACUGGAAUGUUGGCCUCCGGUGAAAAGAAAUGGAAAAAACAACUCCUGACAAACUCCGGAUGGUUGAAAAGAAUAUCUGACAAAUGGAAUAAUUCGAGAGGAUGACAUGAAGCUAGAACCACGAAACUUCGAAAGAACGGGCAAGAUUUAGAAGAAAAACUUUUCUUCGAUCUUCAAAUGUUGACGAGAAACUACACCAAGAUAAAUGAGGUACUCCGGGAGAAUGAAAAGCAGAGAGGUUGAGCCAACAAUGAAAUGAUUUGAAAUCGAUCUUGAAAAGGCAUGUGACUGAUGGAAUCCAUUCUUACGUCACACCUGGAAAGAAUUUGAGAAUAACUCCGGGGGAAUUAGAAGAGUCAGGUAAGAUCUUGGGAAAAGACCUGUGGGUUAGGGCCCACUGAAGAGAUAACACCGUUGAAAAGGAUUGUUGAAAAGAUUGAUGAUGCACCGAAACACUUGAAAUAUUUGGAUGAGGUGACAACCUCGAAUUAAUUGAAACACAAACGAAUCUCCUGAGAUGUCUUACGAACUCCGGAAUGAUUAACUGGCGAGAGGCGAACGAGCAGGGAAAACACUUGAGCUGAGGGAAAGAAUAUAAUCAACCCGAAAAACUUGAAUUGAAUCCACCGGAAAAGAGAUGAAGAAUGACGAACGAGACGAGAAUUCACCGGUUGAAAAGAUUGAGGGAAGACUUAAGUGGCUCCACACGAAUGAAAUAGAUGGUCGAGAGAGAGUCAGACUCUGGGAAGAAAAAGGGUGGGAGGGCGGGAAAACAAAGGUAACUUGGAAGGGAGAACCAACGAAUAACUUGAAGAGAAAACACCGGUAGAAAUCAUUGAGGAGAGAGAGCAAAAACAUCGCACGAGUAGGAUGGAUACUCGAUUACGGACUCUGGUUCCGAGAAGAAGAAGGGUGGGCGGGUGGGAAAGAAAACAACUGAAGAUUGAACUCAAUGAUGAAGAGGCUCGAGUCGACUUGACGAGAAAUGCACCGGAUCAAAAGAGCUGAGGAACAACUACCGAAAAACCAACUGCGUGAUCCUAAAGAAAAAUUUGAAGGGGAAGAGGAGUAAUUCAAAACACCUACGUCAAGAUUCCUUACCAGAGCGACGAAGGGGGCUGAGGAGUAAAAGAAUUCCUACUCUCCGAUAUAACUAGACUCCGAAAACAGUUUUCUUCUAGACUCAACAACGGCCAAACUACACGAUCAAUCAAGGGGGCUCCUAGGGUCGGUCGAGGCACAUAUACCAACUUGUCACGCCCAAUAUGCGACCCUAUCCAAAAGGAACUCGAAGGUCCCACCAAGGAUAGACCCGCAUAUUGAAACACUUUUGCAAGGUGGAUAUCAUUACAUCAACAUUACAUAAUAGAUGGGGAUACAUACAAGAGCCAUACAAUGCCACAUGAAUACAACAUCACUAUACAUCAGAGCAUCAUCCGACUACAGAUGAAACACAAACAGAAACUCAAACAACAUCCACCCUGCUAGCCCAGGCUGCCGACCUGGAACCUAUCCCCUCAUCGAAGAAGAAGCAGAAGAUGAACUCAACGCAAGCAAGCAUCGCUCUCGCGUCAUGAUCAUCGCAUAAACCUGUACCUGCAACUGUUGUUGUAGUAAUCUUUGAGCCACGAGGACUCAGCAAUCCCAUUACCAUGGGUAUCAAGACUAGCAAAGCUUAAAGGGAAAGGAAGGGGUAAAGUGGUGAGGUUGUAGCAGCGACUAAGCAUAUAUGGUGGCUAACAUACACAAAUAAGAGCGAGAAGAGAAGCAAAGGAACGGUCGUCAACAAGUAAUGAUCAAGAAGUGAUCCUGAACUCCUACUUACGUCAAACAUAACCCAGAAACCGUGUUCACUUCCCGGACUCCGCUGAAAAGAGACCAUCACGGCUACACCCGCGGUUGAUGCGUUUUAAUUCGUAUCUGGUGUCAAGUUAUCUACAACUGGACAUUAACAAAUUCCCAUCUGCCUAUAACCGCAGGCACGGCUUUUGAAAGAUUAUACCCUGCAGGGGUGUCCCAACUUAGCCCAUGACAAGCUCUCGCGAUCAACGAAGGAAUAGACCUUCUCCCAGGAAGACCCGGUCAGACUCGGAAUCCCAGUUUACAAGACAUUUCGACAAUGGUAAAACAAGACCAGCAAAGCCUCCCGAUGUGCCGACAAAUCCCGAUAGGAACUGCACAUAUCUCGUUCUCAGGGCACACCGGAUGAGCCAGACGUCGGGUUGGCAUAGACCCUGGUUGCCCAGGGGGCGCCGGACAUCGCUCGGUUUGGACCAACACUUAGACAAGCACUGGCCCGGGGGGGUAAAAUAAAGAUGACCCUCGAGAGCGCGACUCCCAACGGAAAAAGGACUAGGUGAGGCAAAUGGUAAAACCAAGGUUGGGCCUUGCUGGAGGAGUUUUAUUCAAAGCGAACUGUCAAGGGGGUCCCAUAAAUCACCCGACCGCGUAAGGAACGCAAAAUCCGGGAACAUAACACUGGUAUGACGGAAACUAGGGCGGCAAGAGUGGAACAAAACACCAGGCAAAAGGCCGAGUCUUCCACCCUUUACCAAGUAUAUAGAUGCAUUAAUAAUAUAAGAGAUAUUGUGAUAUCCCAACCAAAAUCCUGUCCACCAUGGAGGAAUCUUCAACUUCACCUGCAACUAGCAACGCUAUAAGAGGGCUGAGAAAAGCGGUAACAUAGCCAAACAACGGUUUGCAUAGGAAAGGUGUCAAAGGUUAGAGCUUCAUGGCAAUUUGGGAUGGCUUGAUAAACAGGUAAUAGGUAGCGCAGCAUAGCGAUAGAACGAAGCAACUAGCAUAGCAAUGAUAGUAGUCAGAUCCAGGGUAGCGGUCAUCUUGCCUGAAAUCCCGCUAGGAAGAAGAACGAGUCCAUGAAGAAGACGAACGGAUGAAGUCGAACCAAGCGUAGACGAACGAAUCCUCACGAUCGCAACGAAACAGGAACUAUCGAAAAGAAGCACACAACAUAGUAAACACACCACACAUGAACAAGACAUGAUGCACAACAAGCAUGAUGCAUGACAAAGCUACAUGAAGCUACUCAUGGCAAGGGAUGAUGCAAAACAAGAGCAACACAUCAAGACAAGUUUAAAUGAGGCCGGGAACAACAUAUAACAAUUCCGGUAAGUCCUCAUAUGCAAAUUUCGAAGUUGGUCCAGAUCUGAAUAAACCUUAUGUUCAAGUUGUUAAACAGCAAGUUAAGAUGCAACAAGAUGAUCUACACGAAAUUCUAGUCAAGUUACAUAUAAAGUUCAUUUAGUUCGGAGCUACGGCCUAGAAGAUAUGAGCAAAACAAGAUAAACAUGGCAUUGAUGCAAAAUGCACCCAAACAUCAAGCAAACACACCGAAACAAGGAUUCAACAUAAUAAUAUGAAGCUACAUGCAAAAUCAAGCAAGUUCAUAUAGAGCACACUCAAAACGGAGCAACGGUUCAACACAUGCACUCUAUACAAGUUUAAAGGACAAGCUGUCCAAAACAGCAACUAGGCAUAUUACAAGCAUCAAAACAACAUGCUACAGGAUCUCAACAUAAUAACAAAAGGCAUGGGAAUGAUGUACAGGUAAAGCAAAACAAAACAUGAACACUGAGCUAUCUCCAGAAAUCACUAGAACAUGCUCAAACACACAUGGUAAGAUUGCAAGUUAUAACAAUUUCAGACUUUGCAGAAAAUAACAUCACGAUGCAAUGUUUAGAGCUAUCAAACAACAUGUUACAGGAACUUAUCAUGGCAAAAAAAGGCAUGGAAUGAAUCUACUCAAAUCAUAGAUCAAAAGUCCUUUAAUGACCAUAAGCCAAAAAGGAUCAGAAAAUAUGAUGGCACCCACGUAAACAUAGCAAGUUAUUAUACAGAUUCAUACAUGGCAGAAACAGAAUUAUGAAGGCAUGUAGAUGAGCUUGUGCAACUCACUACAGAGCAAAACAUGGCAUGGAAAGGAAACCAACAGUAAGAAGGCAUGUUUGUGAAGUUAAGAAUGGCAAGAGCAAGGUCAUAGGGUGCAUGAAACACUAGGAAAACACAUGACAACAACUGAACUUAAUGUUAACAGGAUGACAACAACAUUAUGAAGCAACUUUGGAGCAAGAUUACAACAAGUUAAAGCAGGCUAUAAAUACAACCAGGGGCAUGGAUGGAUAUAGAAUGACAUGUAGAACAAAACAUGUUUAGUGAUCAUCUCCAGAUUAUGCAUAGAAUGAUUAGUAGCAACAUGUUUACAUGGCAUCACGAAGUAACAGAUUCAGCCUAGCGAAACAGCAACAGCGAGUACACUACUUAACAAGCUCGAUUCACUCACCACAAGUCAUUGCAUGACAAGAUAAGCAUGGCAUCAUCAAGAAGACAUGUUUGUGAAACAAACCAAGGAUCAACUACAACAACCUUGGCCAAAUUGAAUAACAAGUAAAUAAUCUGCCAGGAAACAUUUUGAAGCAAACGUAGAGCACGAAAAUGACAUGCUAGACUACACCAUAAUUACAAACAGGGGCAUGAAUGGAUAGAGAACAACAUAUGUUCAAAACAUCCUUACUGAAGUAUCUCAAAAUAUGCAUGGAUCUCUCUGUAGCAUCAAGUUUACAUGGCAUCAAAAUAACAACAGAACAGGGACUAAAAACAGUAACAUCACGAUGUCUAGUUUGCAUGCUUGUGCUAGUCACCAUAUUGAUCACAAAAAUACAUGGUAAGCACCUCUGUAAAGAAGACAUAGCAUAGAUCAAAACACAUGAAGACAUCAACCUCAUAGGAUGCACACAUCAAUCAUGGCAAAAAAGACAAAAGAGCUCGUUCUGUUAACAGACAGCAGAAAACAUCAUGAAGCACUCUUACAACAAUGAUUCAGGCAUCAAUAUGUCCUCAAAUGAAUAUGAUGCAAUGGAAUGAAAUGAUGUACUCGUCGAGGCGAACAAUUUGACAUAUUACACGCGCAAAACGGAGCUAUGGAUGCAGAGAUACAACAUGAUGAACAAGGCAUGAUAAUUACAAAAAUCUGGGACUUGGGCAGAAUUUCACCUUCGGGAAAAAAGUCAACGCGGCCGGGAUCUCCCCGGAGAGCUCGCCGGAGAAGAUGGGGAAGACGGCCGGAGACGAGGGAGAGGCCGGGGAGGCGCGACCGGAGCAGGGCCGGCCGGAUCCGGGGCCGGGGAAGGCCGGGGAGGCAGCGCCGGUGACGAGGGCGGCGGGGCCGAGCCUUUCUGGCGGCGGCGCGGCCGGGAACCGGCGAAGGGNNNNNNNNNNNNNNNNNNNNNNNNNNNNNNNNNNNNNNNNNNNNNNNNNNNNNNNNNNNNNNNNNNNNNNNNNNNNNNNNNNNNNNNNNNNNNNNNNNNNNNNNNNNNNNNNNNNNNNNNNNNNNNNNNNNNNNNNNNNNNNNNNNNNNNNNNNNNNNNNNNNNNNNNNNNNNNNNNNNNNNNNNNNNNNNNNNNNNNNNNNNNNNNNNNNNNNNNNNNNNNNNNNNNNNNNNNNNNNNNNNNNNNNNNNNNNNNNNNNNNNNNNNNNNNNNNNNNNNNNNNNNNNNNNNNNNNNNNNNNNNNNNNNNNNNNNNNNNNNNNNNNNNNNNNNNNNNNNNNNNNNNNNNNNNNNNNNNNNNNNNNNNNNNNNNNNNNNNNNNNNNNNNNNNNNNNNNNNNNNNNNNNNNNNNNNNNNNNNNNNNNNNNNNGCGGCGGCGCUAGAUGGGCUCGCGCGGGCCCGAACCGGGUCCCGCGGGCCGGCGAUGGAGGAGAGAAAGAGAAAGGCGCGGGCGAUGACGUGGCGGAGCGGGGUUGGCUGGGCGCGGCGGCGGCGGACAUGUCCUGCUGUCGCGGACGCGUCCGGUGGCGGCGGAGGGCGAUUUUAGGGUUUCGUUUGCGAUUUGAUCCGCGAAUUUCGGGGGAGGGGCUAGUUUUAUAGGUAGAGGGAGCUAGGAGAGUCCAAAUGAGGAGCGGUUUUCGGCCACGCGAUCGUGAUCGAACGACCAAGAGCAUGGAAGGGAGUUAGAUGGGUUUUGGGCCACUUUGGAAGGGGUGUUGGGCUGCAAGGAGAAGGAGGCUUUAGCGGUUACCCGGUUAACCGUGGGAGUAUCAAACGAACUCCAAAUGGCACGAAACAUGACAGGCGGUCUACCGGUGGUAUACCAAGGCCGCUUGGCAAGACUCGGUCCAUUCCGAGAACGUUUAACACCCACUCACAAAGAGAGAGAAGAGGGGGACACCAGAGGACAUAGGAGCGCCGGAUCGCAAAACGGACAACGGGGAAAAGGCUCGGAUGCAUGAGACGAACACGUAUGCAAAAUGAAAUGCACAUGAUGACAUGAUGAAAUGCAACACGCAAGAAAAUGACAUGGCAACAACGGCGAAUAACUGGCAGACACCUGGCGCAACGAAUCCGGGGCGUUAUAUCGGUGUAGAAUGUGUAGCCGUUGAUAUCGUACGCCUCAUAUGUCAUCAGGUUGUGCUCGGCGCCCUGUGACAAGGCGAAUAUGAGUUGUCCUUCCGCAGAAGAAUCCUCAUGUAAAGGGUACGACAGAAGCUUCUGCUUGAACCAACGCGUGAAACAUGAGUUGUGCUCUUUGAUUAUAUCUCCGUCCGUUCUCUGUUGGCCUCGGUCAUUGUACGUCUUCUCAAUAAAGGUUUUGUUCUCUACCACCCAAGGAUCGACCAUGUCUAUGUGUUGUAGCGCGACUAGUUUGCUCUUUCAAAGUCGGCGAGUCGACCCUCGAAGUCGACAUGCAUUUCGCGGCGACCCUCACGGUGACCCCAUCCAGCGAGCCUGCCUAGGUGCCUGUUGACGGGCAGACCAACGGGGUUCUCGAUGCCUAGAUAAUUCGUGCAGUAGGAGAUGCACUCUUCGGUCAGAUAGCCCCUGGCUAUACUUCCCUCUGGACGUGACAUGUUGCGAACGUAUCCUUUGAUGACACCAUUCAUCCUUUCGAACGGCAUCAUGCUGUGCAGGAAUGUCGGCCCGAGUUGGAUGAUAUCCUCCACGAUAUGGACCAGAAGAUGCACCAUAACGUUGAAGAAUGCGGGCGGGAAGUACAUCUCAAGCUCGCAUAGUAUCACCACGAUCUCUUCCUGUAGCCUUCUGAGUUGCCUCACGCCAAUCGACUUCCAAGAGAUGAUGUCGAAAAAGUUGCAUAGGCCAAAUAGCGUUUCACGGACGUGCGCGUCCAUGAUCCCAUGGAUUGCAACUGGAAGUAUCUGCGUCAUCAGCACGUGACAAUCGUGAGACUUCAUCCCGCUGAACUUCUGCUUCGCUGGGUCUAGGUAUCUGCUUAUCUUCCCCGCGUAACCGUAAGGAAGUUUUACUCCUAGGAGGGAGGUGAAAAACUGCUCGAUCUCCUCCUGACUUAGAGUGAAGCACGCGGGAGGGUAGUCAUUUCCUGUCUUCUUGGCCUUUUUGCCUUUGUGACGACUUUCUGUGUCCUGCUUCACCUCAUCAUCAUCAUCAUCAUCAUCAUCAUCAUCAUCAUUAGCGUGAAGCUCCUGCCUGAUGCCCAUUGAUUUCAAGUCUGCCCUUGCUUUCGGCCCAUCUUUGGUCCUCUCUGGCAUGUUGAGCAGGGUACCAAGCAGACUCUCGCACACGUUCUUCGUGAUAUGCAUGACAUCAAGGCUGUGAGGCACACGGUGGAUCUUCCAGUACGGCAAGUCCUAGAAAACAGACCUCGUUUUCCAUACCUUCAGCAGUGGCUCUGGCGCCUUUCGCUUUUUUCCCGGCUCUAGCGCCUUUUUCUUCUUUCCCGGCAGUGGGCAGUCUUUCCAAUUUUUCAACAGCUCGUCUAUUUUCUCGCCGCUCCUCGUACACGGGCGUUUUCGGGGUUCGGUUUCACCAUCGAACAGAUCCUUGCGUUUCCUCCACGGGUCAUCGUCGCGAAGCCACCUUCGAUGUCCCAUGAACACGGUUUUCGAAGACCCGGGAUCUCUAUCUAGCUGGUGAUACGUUGUGUCAUCCAUGCAUCUUACGCAUCCAGAAAAUCCGUGGACUACCUGCCCCGCGAGAUAUCCGUAACUGAGAUAGUCGUGCACCGUCAUGAGCAGUGCGGCUCUCAUAGGGAAAUAUUCUUUCUCUGCGGCGUCCCACGUAUUGGCUGGCAUUUUCCACAGCGUGUCUAGCUCCUCCUUCAGCAGCCCCAGAUACAGAUUGAUGUCGUUCCCUGGUUGUUUUGGCCCUUCAAUUAGCAUACUCAUGUGAAUGUACUUCCUCUUCAUGCACAACCAGGGGGGAAGGUUGUACAUCCACACAAACACAGGCCGGGUGCUAUGUGUGCUUCUCUGGCUGCCAAACGGAUUGACUCCAACGGUGCUCGCGCCCAGCACGAUGUUCCUUGUAUCCUUCCCAAAUUUUGGGUAUUCGAAGUUCAACGCUUGCCACUGGCUUGCAUCCUUAGGGUGACUCAGCAUCUUGUCUUUUUUAUUUAUCUCUGGAUCAUUUCCGUCAUCUUCCCGCUUCUUAUCCUCCCUAUCCGCGUGCCAACGCAGGAGCUUUGCUACCUUAGGGUCCGCGAAAUAUCGCUGCAGACGAGGAGUGAUCGGAAAAUACCACACCGAUUUUCGAGGAGCUUUCUUCCUCUUCUUGUAUCGAGUGACGUCGCACACCGGACAUAUGGUAGACUCCGCGUGCUCGUCCUGAUAAAUGAUGCAAUUGUUCAUGCACACAUGGUAUUUCACGUGCGGUAAAUCCAAAGGACACACGAUUUUCUUCGCCUCCUCGAAACUGGUCGGGCACUUGUUCCCCUUGGGAAGACGUUCGUGCCAGAAUGACAUGUUCUCGUCAAAGCAUGCAUCGGUCAUUUUGUAUUUUACCUUCAUCUCCAGAGCCAUGAGCGUUACUUUCAGGCGGGUAUCCUCGGGCCUGCAUCCUUCAUACAAUGGAGUAACCGCGUCUAUCUCCAGUUGAUCCAGCUUGGCUUUCUCUCGGGCGGCAGCUCUUGGGUUAUCCGUCUGCUUGAGAAGCAGCUCUUGAAUAUGAGGGUCCUGCACCCAGCCUCCAUCGUCGUCUGCUCCGGCAUCUUCAUCUUCAUGAUCAUGCCCUUCGUCUUGAUCUUCCUCAUCGUCAUGUACGACAUCUUCUACAUGAUGACUGUGUACAGCAUCACCGCCGUGAUCAUGUCCUGGAGAUUCUUCGUCUUCUCGCCCGCCCUCGUCGCGGUGGUACUUGUCCUGUUGCCCUUCCUUAUUUCUUGCCCGGCCCCCAUGGACGACUUCAUAGUCAUCUUCAUCACCUUGCCACUGAUAGCCAUCCAUGAAACCACGCAAGAGCAGGUGGUCCCGCACCUGCCCGGAAUCCGGGUCCGCAAUAAGGCUCUUCAGCUUGCAUCUUCGACACGGACAUCUUAUCUCCGUCUCGUUCUUUUGAAGCAUCUCGGCCUUCGCUGAGCUGAAAAACCUAUUCACGAUGCCUUCGGUCAUCGUGCGGACCAUGGUUGCCUGCGGGGUAGAGCAAAACGAUAUUUUAGAACUAAGAAAAAAUUUGGCAUGACCUUCCAUAAAAAUAGGACCAAAAAGAAUGCAUAGUGCCAAAAUUCUCGCCGAAACGGAAAUGAAUCAACAUUCCGGCAAAAUAUUGGCAACUAUCGCAUUUCAAAUACCGGUACUUGCAAACACAAACAUAUAUGCAACACCACAAACACAAGCAACACCACAAACAUACAUAGAUCUAGCUAGGCCACAAAAAGUGCAUGUGCACGUUGUUGGAGCGAGCUAGGGAGAAAAAAAGUAGAUCUACAUCAUGAAGAUAGCUUUCCCCUUACAUACCUAUCAAAAAAAGGUAAUUUCACUACUUAAUUUUGAUGAAUCUAUGAUGGAAAUGAGGUGAGGAGGAGGAGGCAGCCGAGACAAGCUUGAAGGAGGAGGUGGAGAGAAUGAAGUGGCGAAAGUGAGUGGGUAGGUGGGUUGUCCAAAAUAUCUUGUUGGUCCCAGGUUACUAAUGGCGCACCACCAGCAAAUGCGCCAUUAGUAACCCUGGUUACUAAUGGCGCACCUGCGGUUGGUGCGCCAUUAGUAGUUUUUGCAGAAAAGUAAAAAAAUAUAUACUAAUGGCGCACUGUGGAAAGUACACCAUUAGUAGUUUAAACUAGUAAUGGCGCACUUUGACACGGUGCGCCAUUAGUAGUUUUGNNNNNNNNNNNNNNNNNNNNNNNNNNNNNNNNNNNNNNNNNNNNNNNNNNNNNNNNNNNNNNNNNNNNNNNNNNNNNNNNNNNNNNNNNNNNNNNNNNNNNNNNNNNNNNNNNNNNNNNNNNNNNNNNNNNNNNNNNNNNNNNNNNNNNNNNNNNNNNNNNNNNNNNNNNNNNNNNNNNNNNNNNNNNNNNNNNNNNNNNNNNNNNNNNNNNNNNNNNNNNNNNNNNNNNNNNNNNNNNNNNNNNNNNNNNNNNNNNNNNNNNNNNNNNNNNNNNNNNNNNNNNNNNNNNNNNNNNNNNNNNNNNNNNNNNNNNNNNNNNNNNNNNNNNNNNNNNNNNNNNNNNNNNNNNNNNNNNNNNNNNNNNNNNNNNNNNNNNNNNNNNNNNNNNNNNNNNNNNNNNNNNNNNNNNNNNNNNNNNNNNNNNNNNNNNNNNNNNNNNNNNNNNNNNNNNNNNNNNNNNNNCUAAUGGUGCACUGUCUAUAAGGUGCGCCAUUACUAGUUAGAACUAGUAAUGGCGCACUUUGACAUCAUGCGCCAUUAGUAUGUAUGGAAAAAUGAAAAAAAAAAUCAAUACUAGUGACACACCGUGUGUCUGGUGCGCCAUUAGUGUCUUCCACACUAAUGGCGUACCUCCAACCGGUGCGCCAUUAGUAUAUAGUAGUGGCGCACUACUUACCUGAUGCGCCAUUAGUAUCAAUCCUAUCUAUAGCCUUUUUCCUAGUAGUGGACAAUGCCAUAUUACAACAAAAAUACUAAAAAGAUAGCAAAAUGAAAGUAACAUGUUAUGAUUACCUCAAAUAAUAACCAAAUUCGACUGACUCCAUCAACAACAAUACUACUUCAGUGCUUCAGAAAAAGAUUCUUCGGGCGUUUCUUGAUGCAAAGUCAUUAAGGGGACAAUCAAGAUCAACAUUGUCCAAGAUAUCCUUCUCAAUGCAGCACAUAGCCAAGCCAUUCAAUCUAUCUUGCAACAUAGUUGUCAUCAACUAUUUUUUCACUAGUUUCAGUUUAGAGAAACUUCUUUCAGCUGAGGCUACAGUCACAUGCACUGUUAAGAGGACCCCGUAUGCAACAGAGACAUUUGGAAAAGCCAUGCCUCGCAUCUGGCAUGAAUCAUGCCGCGUGACGCUUCGCUAAUCGCUAGCUAUCAGAUGGGCCAAGCCCAUCUUGUUUCUUUUCUUCCGUAAAAUUUUUUCCACCUGUUUUUCGUUGGGCUAGACUAUAUAUGUAUACUACAUCCUGGACCCCCUUCCAGCCUGGGCCUUGGGCCGUCACCCCACCGGCAAUACACAUCAGGGCCGGCCCUGGACCUAUUUAGAAACAUGACAUGUUAUUCAGAAAUAAAAGGUUGUUCUUCUUCUUCAUAAGGGGAGCCAUAUACAGAUGUAAUUGCAAUGGCAAAGUCAUUCUGUUCCAGUAACAAAGAAGGUUAUGAUCUUCGAGCUAAUUGUUUCUAACACAUCAAUAUUCACUCAAAAAGAAAAAUGAACACUCGAGUCAAAAUACCACAUUUUAAUCUUCCUAGGGAUCUCCAGGUUUUGCUGCAUGGGGAGGUUUUUUUGCUUUGUCCAUUGUACACGUUUUAUGUCAAUUCUUGUGCUUUGUCUUGUGGGCCCAACCACCGACCCUUCAUAUCUUCGGUUUUUUAUUCCAUCACUUUCAAAGCACCAACUCCAAAAUUGUCCCACUAAGCUCAAGUUUGUGUGCUUCAAUCUAGCGUAUCAAAGUCAGACCCGCACGAAGAGAGCUCGAGCGUUCAAACCUAUACCUAAUAAUGAAGGGGCUAUUGCUUUUUACCACUGUAAUUUCGUCCGUCAUUUUCAUUCGUCCACCCUGCCCGUCCAGUUUCGUACGUCCGUCCAUCUUCAAAAUCCGUUCGUACGCCUAGGCCACGUCGCCUUAUGGGCCUGCAAGGCUGUGGGCCUGCAUGCACGCGUCUCGCGUUUGUCUGCCCCACCCGGGUUUCGUGUGUGUAUUCGCGAUAACAUAGUCCCACCUCGAUUGCUUGCAUGGCAUCUUAUCAAUUUAUAUACAUAGGAAUAUUGCGAAGGACAGAAAGACAUAGGGACUGCAACCCGACACGAGGAAAGAAUCAAAUCGAGAAAAGAACAACAUAUGAAUCAACCCGAGGCCUAGGAAUCCUACAAGGAAGGAGGACGGAACGACGGACGUGGCGGCGCGGCAUGAUUUGGACGGCGCGACGGCUUUUGCCCUAUUUCGAAUACAAAUGCAAUAAUAUAAAUUUUGUAACAAAUUCUUUCUAUUUUGUUAGUCUUAUAGUGUGUCAAAGUUUAACACAAAAUACGAUGGGGCCCAAUAAACCCGGACGGAGGUAGUAGCACAACACUAAAACCGAUUAUGUAUAUUUUCUCUUUUUUCUCUAUUUCCACUUAUGUACAAAAAUCGUAAAUAAGGAUCUGGCAGGAAUAAAGAAGGGUGUCUGAUGUUGCUUUUCUCACAUUGCAAUGCACGGGCCAUGUGUUAGUUAAACCAAUGCAAAGUUAUUCUAAAACCGGUCAUCUGUCUUCCUCACGAAUUUUUCAAUGAAAACAACAAAUAAUUUACAAGAUAGCAAAAGGACAUGUGAAAGGGAAAACACAACGCACCCAGUAGUAAGAGUUUAAUUAAAGUCCGGGACAAGCUAGGAAGAGAAUUUGCGACACCCACAUGCAGGGGCACCAAGCCUCUCCAAUUUAAAUACGUUUUGAUGUGUUUUUAAAAAUACUAUUAAGUUUCAAAACUUAGUACGAGCGACCGACGAAAUCACAACUUUAGUACCUACGACUGAAAAAGCAUGUUUCAAGUCUCAACUCUGAAACUUGAUAUACUAGUAGAAUGCCCGUGCGUUGCCACAGGCUGUUAAUUUAUUCUUUUUGAUUACGCAUAUAACGUACAACCUCCAUCAAGAAAAAAUUGUUGGAGAAAUAGAUAAAAAUGGAUGUAUCUAGAAUUAAAAUACGUCUAGACACACCAAUUUCUCUGACAAGUUGACAGAAAAAUUAUAUCAUAUUUUGCAUGCAUAGAAAUGAUAGCGUAUAACAAUUGGAAAAUAACUAAAAUCCACUUCACCUACAAGGUAACUUGAUGAUAUACACAGAGAGACAUGAUGCGCUUAAGAUAUUAUGUAUUACAAACUAAGAUUUACUUACAAGGUAGGAAUGUUGUCUUUAGGUUUGUGUGCACGGUACUUCGACAAGUAUAAUAAAAAUCUAUUGUAUAAUUAAGACAAGCAAACAAGCCAUCACAUUCAUCCACACAGAUUAAAUUAUCUUGACCGUAAACUUUAACUUUCAUAUAGGGUUCACGGGCAUCCAUGAGCUCCUAUGUAUUUUCCCAUCAAGUACACCACGGCAUUUUCCUUCUCCAUUGUUCGCCUGCACGAUCAGCCACUAUUUUGCACAAUUGUAACAUCACAUGAUGCAACAUAAUGAAGGAAGGUAAACCUAGAAAAGACACGGCAGGCAACCUGCAUAUAUUAUUGAUAGAUAAAAUAGUUUCAUUUAGAAACAAAAUAAUUUCAUAAUCAAUACAUGCCCGUGAUAUUAUAAUACAUAAACAUGUUCAAAAUGACCCUAGAACAAAUAAAGGGACCUUUCUAUACAUAGAGAAUGAUAUUUCUCGUACAUUCGUCGCCCACGCCGCCGUCCUCGGCUCCUCGCGGGCAUGCAGCACGCACCCCCCGACCGUAGAACGUUACGACUGAUCACCGCAUAGCCAGAGUCAGCUAGCGCCUCCCCCGGCUGAACUCCUUCGACGCCGCCGUGCAUGCCGUCAUCCCCCGCCCCGUGGCCUCGCAUCGUUCGUACCAGCAUAUCACGACCUAUCAUGCCGUCAUCCCUUCGCUCCCUCCACCUAUCACGACCCAGCACCGAUUAAAUCGUCGUCUUCCACCCUGCCACCGCGACCAACACCAUAUCGAAUUUGCUCACUACCACUACCCAGCACUCAGCAAGCACACAUAGUCUCUGUAGAUAUAUAUAGGUUGCCAGACUCAGUGCCAGUGCAAACAUCAGUCAGUCCGACAACGGACCACUCCCUCGCGCCUUUAGAAAGCCACGUACGUACGCACCGUCGAUCGACCUUGAUUGAUUACUCCCUCGGCCCCGGCCGGUCAUGCGGAGCUCCGUGCACGUCCCAGCCGCGGUGGAGGCGCUGCUGGGCCACCCGGUGGCGGCACUGUCGGAGAGGCCGGCGCCGCGGCUGUCGCGGCUGCUGGUGAACGUGACGGUGGAGCGGAGCCUGUGGCCGGUGCAUGUGGUGCUGGGCGCCGACGCUAAGGUGGCCGACCUGGCGCGUGCCACGGUCGACGCCUAUGCCGCCGAGGGUCGCAGGCCGCCGCUCCCGGCCGAGGACGGCGCAAUCGACAAGGCCGCACGGUUCUUGUUGCACCUCUCCAAAUACGCCCUCGACGGUAAGUAAGAUCCAGAGGCCGCGUUGCGUAUGCCUUCCUUCCAGUUCCUCCUUUAAACCUCCCCGGCCGCGCGCCUGAAUUGAUCAAGAUUCCGUUGAUGCAGCUCUGGACCCGGAGGCGAAGGUGGUGGACUUGGGCUCUCGCAACUUCUUCCUCUGCGCCCCCAGGUCGACGCUGAGAUCAGAUCAUCAUCUGCUUCUUCGCUCAUCGCUGACAUGUCUUAUGUCUGAAGGAAAGUAGCGUGUGCCCUGUAAAACGAGUUGGCAUAUCGGCAUGUGUCCAGUAUAUACAACUGAAGUUCGAUCCUUCUUUGGUUGAUCCGUCUGUCAGAUCCUCUGGAUCAAUGUGUACGUAGUGUUACCUUAGGUACGUACAGUUCGGCCAAGGAACGAUACAUGUAGAUACAUGUCCGUUUUAUUAUACGAGCUCGAGAUAUGUACCUUGCGACGCUGUAUGUAGUAUAUAGCUGCAAGUUGCAACGUAUAUGUAUAUGUACCUAGUGCCAUGAGGGACCAUCUUGUCCGUGAGGCACACGAAACUGAAGUAUGUAAUCUGUGCUGUUGAUUAUGUUUU
This 127855-nucleotide long non-coding RNA is filed under the name Triticum aestivum (bread wheat). RNAcentral's name for it is "long non-coding RNA (TAES_LNC002234)". The record is from RNAcentral. Lineage: Eukaryota; Viridiplantae; Streptophyta; Magnoliopsida; Poales; Poaceae.